UAACAAUCCAAACAAGUAUUGUAUUUAAACUAACUAUACAAUAUAAAGGGUAACUACCAUCCAAACAAGGUGUUAAUGUAAAAGCAUACAAAAUAUCAUAUAAUAAAGUUCAUAUGUCAAUGCAAUGGAUCCAUUGAAUUUUUUUUUUUGAAGUACACACAAAACUCAAAAACAAGAAAAUUAUCCAUCUAGCUGGAUAUGAUUAUGCAUAAUGAACAGAGGAAACAGCUUAAGAGAAAAACUGGUCCAUUAGAUCCCCUCUUUCAAUCGCAAUCUUCUAUUUCUGCACAGCAAAGAAACACUUCUCAAAUAUAUUUUACGAAAGAUUUAACAGGUAAAAGUGUACAAGCUCAAAAGAUGAUGCAAUUAAUCUUGAGUCAGUUACCUGUUAAACCAGUGUUGCCGUUUUUUAUAUGCAAGGGGUAAAUAAGGACCUUGGGCUCUGCAUUUCCAUAUCCUUCUUGCACUUCUUUAAAGUCCUUGACUGACUUUUCAAGAGACUCACCACAUCGUUUCACUUCAACUAUCUUUAGAGUACGAAUAUCUCCAACUGGAAUUUCUUGAAGAUUAAAGCAGUUUUCUACCAGAAGCUGUUCGAGGUUAAGCAAGGACUCAUCUGAGGCAUUCCAUGUUGUUAUUGUAAGGGAUCUUAAUUUAAGAACCUUGAGGUUCAGAAACUCUUCAUCUUUGAUCUCCCAUUUUUCCUGCUGAAAUGCUCUAUGUUCCAACUUGAGAACCACUAAAUUUGGUAAUCUUCCGAUAUUAGACAGUUCACUUUGUGGCAACAAAACAUCUGAUAGAGUUAGCUUUGUUAGUGUCGCGGGAAAGGUGAAAUUCAAAAUCUUACCGUUUACACUGAGUGUUUCAAGUUGAAGAGCAUGUAAUUUGAGUUUGAGAGGCUCUUUACAGUGGCAUUUGAGCUUUCGCAGUCUGCUUGCCUUCUUGACCAUGUAGUCUACUAGCUCAUUAGUGAGAGACACUGUGGCCAAGGUCUCUAUGUUUGUCGAUGUCUGAGGAAUGCGUCCAUCAAAAGAUGCAACAGGUUCAACAUGUACAUGCUUUAGCCUUGGCAUAUUCCAGAUGGUCAUCGGUAAAAUUGUGCCACUGCCUACUGUUAUUACAAGCAAUACCUCUAGGUUUGAAAGGUUCGAUAUCCAUAAUGGCAUAGAUACCAUAUAGCCUUUGAUUCCUAAGUACUUCAAAUGGAUCAGCUCUUUUGAUCUCUGGAAUGAACUCUCCGACAUAGUACAUUCCAUUUGUAGUACUCUUAAUAGUUUAAAGUUCUCAAGAUCAAGAAAUUCCUGGCAGCCAGAUUUCGGGGGUCUGAAGAAUGCAGAUCGAACUUGCAUGUUUCCAAUCUUCCCUGCCCAAUAAAGGCUAUGAUGAAUGCAAAGCCUCCGGUGCUCAUAAAAGGAACUAGACAAAUCAGUCUUCCCGGUGCUUGUUAGUUGCAUAAACUUCUCUUCCUUAGACUUUGUCAUGCAAAAAUCAUGUAACAUAUCAUGAAUGUGGCAUGUUCUGACUCCUCCAGUGGACUUUCUCUUGCUCACCAUUAUCAAGCUUCUACCGAUGAGAUCAUUCAGUAAAAUUUUUGCAUCGAGCCCUAUGUUUGGCACCAAUCCCUCGAUAGUCCAUAACCAUGCCAAGUUUGAGAGUGGAAUUUCUUCAUCCUCCUGAAAUGAUGCAAAAUAUAGAAGGCAGGGUUUGAGAUGAUCUGGCAUGUGCUUGUAGCUCAGUUCUAUAACCUCCAUGCACUCUUUUGCACUAGUAACAGUAUCUAACUUUAUACUCUCUGCGACUCUUCUCCAACUUCCCUCAUUUUUGCUUAUCCCAGACAAAACUCCAGCAACCAAAAUCACAAGGAGAGGUAGUCCUUUACACUUACUUGCGAUGUUUUCUCCUACUUUUGAUAGGUCUGGUGGGCAAGUUUGUUCCUUGAACAGCUUGAUUUUCAUUAGUUCCCAACUUUCAUUUUUGUCAAGAAAACGAAGUUCAAGAAGUACUCUUUCAAAUUUAAUGUUGGAAGCCACAUUAAUGUUUCGGCUGGUUAAUAAAAUCCUGCUUCCGUUUUUAUUAUCCGGUAAGCAUCUGCUCAAGUAUUCCCAUGUGUCAACACUCCAUAUGUCAUCAAUGUAGAGAAGGUACUUCUUUCUUAACAGAAAUUUCCGCAAAGCAUCUGCUGGAUUUUUCUCAUUCUGUUGGUUAGAACAUUUGACUUGAUUUAAAAUUCCGAGCAGCAACUUUCUUUUGUCGUAAGUUUGGGAAACACGACACAUAGCUUGGAUGUCAAAAUAAAGCCGCAUUUUCUCAUCAUGAAAAACUUUCUUUGCUAGUGUAGUCUUUCCAAGACCAGGCAUCCCUACAAUAGACACAACAACUAGGCACUUUGGUCCUGUAGUGAGCUGUUCGAUUAGCAAGUCAGCCUCGUUCUUAAAACCCACCAUUACCUCAUCAGGUAGUGUAGUCUCAACUACUUGUCUGACAGGAUUUGGUGCUUGUUCUUCGAUUGGGACUUCAACUUCUUGCGUAAUCGUAGCAUGGAACUCUUUCAAAUGAUCCCUUACAACCUUAGUUUCUGUUGUGAUCUUACAUAACAAAUGUAGAUACCAAACAGGAUAAUCUCCGGUAACCAGGCAAUCAAUUAUGCAUUCUGCCUGGUAUGCUAGAGAUAUGACUUCUGUCCAUAGAUCAUGUUUCUUCACCUCCUCAAACUCAUGUUUUUUCUUCUCAACUUCCUUCAAGAAGUAUCUUAAGAGAUAUAACUCUUCCUGAGCUUCUUCAAUAAGAUGCUUGACAACAGAAUCACACUUUCCGUCUUGCAGCAGCUCUUUCAGAUAGCGUAAGAGAUAAUCGAUAAACCCCAAUCCAUUUGUCCUAGGAAAAUUACAUUUUGAUGACACUACAUCUUUCAGAAUCACAUCUUUUAGAUCUUCCAUGACAUGUUCAAUCUUUUUUAACAAGUCACUGAAUACCGAGUUAACUUCUGCUGCUUUGUCAACGGAGAAAGAGAAAGCAGCAGAUACUACCUCAGCAAUCGAAAGAGAAAGCAACAGAUACUACCUCAGCAAUCAGACCUUCAAUGCAAGUAAGUUUGUCACUCAUUUUUUCCUGUAUAACAUAUAAAUCUUCUGGUGGACAAAUGAGCAAAGUUACCAAUUGCUUUGAUGCUUCGGCAAGGCUUUUGAUUUGAUCCUUUUUAAGAGGAAGCAUCAAAGAACAUGCCUCACCGUCUGAUAACUCCAACAAAUCCUUGAAGAUGAAAUGAACAAAACCUUCAACAAAUUCUAUCACAUCCCGGCUGUAUUGGAUUUGCAAUUUAACUGAACCUCUUAGAGCUCCAGUAUAGAUUUCUGCAACGUCCGGAUCAAUGGGCUUGAUAUAUUUCAAAACAUGAGAGAUUUGAAGUGUCAACACAGAUGCUGAAUCUCCAUCCAUUUCUUCCACAUAACAAAGGUAACAUAUGUAUGCAGCAUUCACUGUGAUGCCCUCUAUAUGAUUAAAAAGAAUGUUGGAUUUCUCUAGCUCCAUGCUUGCAUCUUUUAUGAAAUUGAGGAAGGUUUUUAGAUAUUUUAGACUUUCUUCAAGGACUUGAAACUCUUUCUUCAGAAGUACAAACUUGUCGAAAUCUUUCUUGUUGAUGAGAAGAUCCUUCACAUUCUGAAGGAUGUGCUCAAUGAAUUUCUGAAACACUGGGCUGCAUAAAUUUGGUAAAGGCCACCUCCCUGGAACCAAUGAAAGGAGAAACUUAUAACCUUCUUUGACUUCAGCAGAAGAUAAGUCUGCCCUUGGUCCCGAGACAGUGUCACCGACUUGCAUUCCAUGUUCGCGCAAUCUCCCCUCCUUAAUCCUUCCUUUUUGAGUUGCCCAAAACAAAAAAGUACCAAGAAAUCUCCUCUCUAUUUCAGACAUUUGUUUUCCAGCAGAAUUUCCUCAGAGUGGAUAUAUGUCGACAGCUCUGCAAGCAAAGAGAUUAAAAGCAAAUCACAUUCUAGGACAAACAAUGCAUACUCCAUAAUCUAGUUGCUCUUCAUAUUGCGUGAAAUUAACACAGAAUUCCUUUAUAUGUUGAUUGCACUCUUCCUCUUGUAUCAGAACAUUAUGCUUGAUUGUAACUAACAAACAGAUAAUAUUUAAGAAAAAGAUGUGUGUGAUCACAAAUAACAAAAACUGUUUGGUUGCACUAAAUGUUUUCUGGAAAAUGUGAAGUUAUAUCUGAAAGUCACAAUGCAUACUCUUAACUCUACACAACUAGGGGAAUGGGGAAAAAAGUCACCAGGAAAAACAAUAACAGAAAAAGAACUGGUUCCAAAGAGUUCUGAUUGUCUACUACUUACUUUUGCCUAAACUAGUUACCCUUUGUUAAUCCAAGCAAGUGAAAUUGUACAAUAACUGAUACUAGGGUCAACCUUCAAUAUUUCUUAGAGAAUUGUCACGAUUUGUUUUUUGAUGCUCAGGACAAAAUAGUGACUUUAUAUAUCAAUGCUACUUAUGUGAUUUUGAUUGUCAGGAAGUUUGCUUCAAAAUAGUUAUUACUAUAUAAAUAUUUUCCUUUUGUUUUUCUUAUUUACUAUUUCUUAAUAUUUCAGUAUUUUAGACGAAGAAAGGUUCAUAUGACUUGUAAUAACGCUAGUUGAAGUUUGUAUUAGUUUAAUACUUAUUAUUUAUUUAAUAGCUAAUUUUUAUGCUAUAAAUAUUUUUAUUAAUGCAAAUAUCUCUCUCUCUCUCUCUCUCUCUAUAUAUAUAUAUAUAUAUAUAUAUAUAUAUUUGUAUUUAAAUUAAGGUAUUAUAUAUGUCACGACUCACAAAUGUAUUAUCAAGUUAACAAAAUCUUCUAACUUCAAUAUAUAUUAUUUUAAAAUGUUCCGAGUUCUUUUUUUUAAAAAAAAAAACUCACAACAAAUGUGAAAAUAUGUGAACAUAUAUGAAUCAUUUAAAAUUUAUCAUUAACAAAAUAAACUUUAUAAUCUGUAAUAUAGAAUAAACAUUUUCAUUUUGUCCCUACACUAAAUUAAAAUCUAAUCUAUCUAUCUAUAAAAGGAGAAGAAAAAGUGCCACGUGUCAGCACCACAAAAAAACUAUAAUUAUUAUUAUUUAAAAAAUUAAUUAAAAAACUGAUGGUAAAAAAACAAUAAUUACCAUUAAAAAAAUUUAAAAACUUAUUUUUAAAAAAUAUUUAAAACGGUCAAUUAGUAGUUAGUUGUAGAAAUGGGGUAGUUUUUUUUCCAUUCACUUUUAAAAUUUAUCUAUAUAUAUCUAAAAAACAAAACAUUUUAAAAAAACAUAAAUAAAAAACAGUUUUUAAAAAUUGUUGACCAAUAAUUUUUUAUAUUAUUAUACAGCCCCUAUAUAUGUGAUAACAUGGUGUUAUUUUUCCUUGGAUGAAUUAUGCUUAAGUUAAUAAAUUGAAAAUCGUUUACAAGUAUAUGAACUAUAUCUUUGUUGGGUGUAAGAUAAACAUGUGAUUAUAUAUAUGAUUUCACAAAUAGAAUAUAUUCUUUAAUUUUAAUUUUUAGUUUUUCGGGUAAAAAAAAAAAGGAAACUUUUCUCAGUUAACUAUGGACAGUUAGAUAACUAUCUUUGAUUUAUGUACACAAUCAAUCGAGAAGUCAAAUAUGAGAACCAACAACAAGAAUGUCAGUUAUUAUGUUAUAACUUACAAAAUAAAAAUUAAUAUACAAAAAAUAGUUCUAAAAAAUAAAAUUUUGUUGUUUUCUUCACAUGCUCAUAUGGCAUAUAAACAGUUUAACAUGGAAUACACGUGCAAAACACAUCUGGUUUGACAAGAAAAAUACACAACAAAUAUCGUCUAUAAGGUAAUAUUAGUGAGAUACGACUAAUUACAUGAUUGAACCUCAUCAAAUUGAAAUAAAUAUAUACAUUAUUGCAUUUAACUAAUAAAUUUCUUCAUUGACCAUCUUCAUAGGUUCGCGUGAAUAAAAGAUAUAUAUGACGAUCCACAUUGAACAUUCACAAAAGAAUUUGCAGUAUUAUUUUGUGCAAAGCUUAUUAUUCAAAUCUUCGCUUAAUUAAGCUAGCGGGUCACAGACGGAUUUCUCGGUUAUCAAAAAAAAAAAAAAAACUAUUUACUAUAACAUAUAUUUUUUGAAUUGGUAAUCACGUAUCGAAAAACUAGUUAAUACAAAUUAAGUUUGUUCAAAAGUCUAUCACGUACCUUUUGUAACAACUUUGACAGAGCAGAAAACAGUGAUCCAGGUUUCACUACUUUGUUCUAUACUUUUAACCAGAAAGAAGAAUGAACAAGAGAUUUUAGGACUCCGGAGAGCAAAGUCCCGUACUUGCUUCCCUGACUAAAUAUUUUCACUUAAUAUAAAGCAUAAUAAUGAAAUUAAAUUACACCUAAUGAAGAAUUAAAAAUGAUUCAACUUUAUUGUUGCAUUAUACCCCAAUACAUUGCAUUUCAUUAUGGCCACUUGUGAUGGUUAAGAAAUGGAAAAAAAAAAGAGUUGACCUUAAUACAUAUAUAAUCUUAGAGGUGUUGCUUUCAGCUAAUGCCACUUGCACAUAGAAAAUAUGGCUGAUAGCCUUACCAGGAGACCAUUUAUUAAAAUAUGGCAGGAAGUUAGUCAGAUAUAGCUCUAAGGUCACGACUCGGUAUCAUAUUAGAUCAUUGACAUCCCACAUUACCUUUUCAUUACUACUAAAUACCAACUGCCUAUAUAGAAAAUUAGUUCAAAGCCCUGCUUUUCGCCAACUUCAGAAUUUUGGAAAUAGAAAGGAGAGUUGACCUUACCUUAAUCAACGGAGUAUAUAAUAUUGAUCUUGGAGAAGUGUCUACGAAAUUUACCUUUUCGUAUGGUAGGAAAGAUGGUUUUUCUAUAUAUAUGUUCAUUUUUUCUUACACAACUCCAUAGCAGCCGUCUCUCUCUCUAAUUAGAUCAUUGAAAUAUCUCAUGAUUUACGGAAGAAAGUCCUCAUUUGCUGCUACCAAUUUCACCACUUUGUCAAACAUCAGUUAAUUGGCAAAGAAAAGUCAAAUAAGACAAAGUUAAACAUUCAUCUUGUCAUUGAUUUCACUCAUGAUAUUAUUAGUAUAGAAAGCAGAAUGAGGUAUACCAUAGACUGUACAAAAAAAUAGUCUGGUAAGAAAAAUAGAGCGUUAGCGAUCAUCUGUUAUCGGAACUAGCAAUAUGGAUCCUAACUCAUUAGAUCUUAAGCUAGCCAACUUGUAUAGGUGUUUCAGUACUAAUUCCCAUUUGAGAGAGAAUUUUAAACUUGUUUGUUGAAAUUAAUCCAACACAUUGACGGUGAAGCAAUAGUCCAUUACAUUGAUAUAUUACACCCUAUGUUCCUAAACACGUUGAAUGAUUCCCUGGUUAAUCUAGACGUGAAGAUCACUGCCCUGACGGCGAUGAGUAACUUCAUUCAACGGGUGGGAGUUCAAAGGUAGGGAGAGGUUUCAGGAUCUGUUGCCUGCGAUGAUGGACAUGCUGAAUGAGGCAUUGGAAGAAAAUUGUGAGGCAUCAGCUCAGUCUGAGUUCGAGAUUUUGAUUGAGUUGGCCAAGAAUGAGCCUAGCUUCUUCAGGAUGCAGCUUGUGGUUGUGGUGGGUUCCAUGUUUGAUAUAGCUGAAUGUGAGAGUUAUGAAAAGAAAACGAGACAUUUGGCGGUUGAAUUCGUGAUGACAUUGGUUGAGGCCAGGGAGAAGACCCCUGGCAUGAUCAAGAAGUAUCCAUUGUUUACUGAAAAAUAUUUUGCAAUUUUAUUGAAUUUGUUAAAGGAUGAGGUUUAUGACCCUCUCUUGCCUGAUCCUUAUGGUAGAUGGGAUAGCAAUGAUGAUUUAGUUUUUCUUAAGAUGUGUUUAAACCGGUUGUCCAAUGCGCUGGGUGGUAAGACUGUUGGUCCUGUUGCCUUUGAGCAGCUCCCUGCUUACUUGGCUGACGACUCGUGGCAGAAGCCAUGCGCAGCACUCUAUGCACUUGCUCAGAUUGUUGAAGGCUGCUCAGAGGUGUGUAUUUAUUGAUACACUACUAAGAAUUGCAUUUAAACUGAUUAGUUAACGAUCUUGGGAUAGCAGAAGGUCACCUUGAUUAUACUUUCUUCUGUUAUUCUCUAGACUAAGUACUUUGCUUGCUCUCAUCUCUUCUUCAUUAUAAUAGGUGAUGAUUAAGAAUAUGAAUCUAGUGGUGACAAUGGUUCUGGAUUGUAUGGGACAUCCUCAUCCUGGAGUCAGAUUCGCCUCCAUGGAAGCAAUUCGCAUGUUUUUGCGUUUAAUGCGUCCCCAUUUUCAAGAACAAUGUCAUCACCAAGUAGUGCCAGCAUUAACCAAAGCUAUGGAUGAUGACAGUGUACAAGUGCAGGUCUGUAUGUCCUACGAUGAUAUGAACUCCUUUGGAUGCUCGUAUCAUAUGUCCCAAAUUACAGUUGCAAAAUUUUCUUACUGAACCUUCUCAAUGGGCUUAACUUUAACUUUAUUAGAUAUAAUCCCUGCUCUAACUUUACUAUCUUCAUAUUUUCCUAGGUCAGUGUCAUACGCACGGUCUGGAAGUUCCUUGAGGUUGGCACGCCUGAAUAUUUGACACUUUACAUCCAUGGAUUACACAAUAAAUUGCUUCAACUGUCGUCACAUACUGUUGCGGCGGUACGUAUUGUAGACUAAGUGCAAGAGAAAUCAGAUCAUUUUCUUGAACAAUGAACAGACAAUAUUACGAAUACAUUUAAGGGAAACAACCAUAAUUUCCAAGUUCCCAAUAUAAUUAUCCCGCCCUCCUUUAUAAAUUCAAAGCUUGUUACUCCCUUGAAUGUCCUUGAGGUCUUUACUUGCCUGAUUUUUUUUUUUUGUUUUUGACAUGAAAGGUCCAAAAAUCAGCGUCACUUGUACUCGAUCGUUUGCCUAAGCAUUUUAAGGUAUUACCUAGUAAUUCUGCUUCAACUUUUAUUAAGAGUAUGUUGUAUUAAGCUGGUUAUAUAUAUAUUAAUAUUAACAUUACUUCAACAGGAGUUCUAUGGGAACAACUACGAAUCUAUUAAACCACUUUGGAAAGCUUCCCUGGUAGAAGCAAAUUUUCCAAGUAAAGAUGUAGAGAUGAUCAUGUCAAUGCGCAAACCUGGCAGUUCGGUAUUUCCAAAACAGGUCUUCCACCAGUUAUACCAAAUGGAUUCUAUACAUCUCACUGAACUUAGAGCUUAUUGUUUAUUCGUUUUCUAUUUUUCUAUUUAGAACUUAGAGAUUAUGGAAGCAGUUAUGUCAUUACAAGGAUCACAAGAGGAUGAUAAGGAUACAAGUACGAUCUACAAGCUAGAGGUAUGUGUUGUUGAGAAUAUCGUUAACUAAUAAAAUGGUGUUCUCUCUAAUAGCUUAAGCUUUUAGAUGAGAUGGUCACGCACUUCAACAUGUUAUCAGAGCAGGCAGAGGCCCUGGGAUCAAAUCUCUUCGCCACCUUUCAAAUUAAAAAGAAUUUCCACGUGCUAAUCAGUCAGACAUUCUUUCAAGAUUGGUCUCUCUAUAUUUCUUGAUCUCAUUGCAGGCUAUUAGUGUAAUUUGUGAGGACAGAGGGAAAGAUUUUCUUCCUUGCACCAGCAUUGUCAUGCCCCUUUUGUUUCAAUGUGCUCAACUCGAACCUGAUAAAAUCAUAUUAUCUCCAGAUUCAGACCAUACUUGUUUAGCUGAUAAUAGGUACGCCUUUUUGUCUGAUCAUUGCUCUGAGUGAUCGCCUUUUUAUGUACAUUAUAACAUCUUGCAGUAUACACAGAGUCAAGGUUGGCAAUUCAACGAUAUGUAUAAAAGAAAGUUCCCUAAAGAAGAAAGCUUUAGCAUGUAAAGCCCUAGUCAUGGUUGCUUACAAAUUGAAGGAAGACUUUUACCCAUGGAUUUUCCAGGUUGUCACACUUGGACUUCUCUCUUUUUCUUUCUUUCUACCCGUGCUUUUGAUCGCGAACUGAAAAUUUGACAAGUGGUUUCAAUGGCCUAAUGCUUGAUAAAUGAUACAGACUGCUUCAAUUUUAUUUCCACUUUUGAAAUUCCAUUUCAAAGAGGUCAGGUUCCAUACAGUUGAAGGUGAGAUUUCUCAGGAUUUCACAUAGUUAAUUUCUCCGUCUUUUAUAACUAUCUGAUCACCUCCAAGACUUUUUAAUUUGUAAUGUUUAUAGCGAUGAAGCACCUUUUGCAAUCUGCUAAACUGGCUGAUGAGAAAGGGAUUGCUCCAGGUGAAAGCCAUUCGGAUUUCAAGCAGUUUUCGGACAGUAUAAUACUGAAUUUGGUGGAAGCUUUGCAUGAGGUUUACUUUUAACAUUAAGCUUCUUCUAUUUGGAUAAUGAGAAAGUAACACUUUGAUUUCUAUAUAAUGCAGGAGCUUGAAACAGAGAUAUAUGUACAUAUGUUGUAUACAUUACGACUGUGCCUUCAGGUUCGUGAUCUUUAAACACUGCUUAUUUGUUUUGAUCCAAAGUUUUCAGUGUUUCACUAUGAGCUAGGUAUGAAGUUUUUUGAAAAUGUUGCCUAUGUGGACCACUUCUCAAUGAAGAUCAGCUUCGUCCAGUCGUGGAUGAGAUAAAGCAUGUCAUUACAGAAAAUUUAAAUAGCCAAGGAAAACUCACAGAGAGAGAAAAAACAGAAGACUUCGAUGCUGAGGAAGCUGAAUUGCUGAGAGGGGAAAAACAUCAACAAGAUCAAAUAUUUAAACUUGUAUGUUCUAUAUUAAAACAGGAACUAAAGUGAUACACUGUUGUCUUUAUAUAUUCAAGCAUUUUCGCUUUGGUUCUGCUGUUAUUCUUGAACAGGCUGGUGGCAUAUUAGGUAGACUAAUCGAAUCAUUCAAGGUUGUUUUCUUGCCUUACUUUGACGAGCUAUCAUUAUAUCUGAUUCCGAUGUGGGUAAGUUCAUUGACACUAUUGUAACAUGACGUUAGUUUAUCAUUAUUCAUAUCUAGCAUAUCUUAUUGUUUCCGAUUUUUGUUAAGGACAAAGAAAUGACAAGUCUAGAGAGAUGUACAUCACUUUAUAUCUUUGGUGGUCUUGUGAAGCAUUGCUCUGAAGCAGCUCUAAAGUGAGUUUAAUUUAUCUGUAUGAGUUUUUCUUAAAUUAUUGGGGUGUCACCAUUUUGAUAAAUCACUUACUUCCUAUGCCAACUAGGUACUGUAAUGAAUUUCUACCUUUGCUUCUGAAAUCAAGCAAUGACGAAAACCCAGCAGUUAGACAGGUUUGGAUCAUCGUGAUUGCUUACAUUCCUGUUACUCAAGUUGGUUGCUCACAGUAUGGUUUAACCAAAACACCAAUGACUUCAUGUUCAGAAUGCUCUACAUGGACUUGGGUUUUAUGCAGAAUAUCAUGGUUCUGUUUUCAAACCUUUUGUUAGAGGUAUUAAUAUUGUUGAAUGUGAUACUUCUAAUCAAGCAAGUGUUUUUGUUAACUUACGCGUUUAUGUUCAGAGGCUAUGUCACGGAUCAAUGUAGUGAUAAUGCAUUUACGUGCUCGUGAACCUGAGAAUGAACUUGCAUAUGAUAGUGCUGUUUUUACCCUUGGUAAAAUAUUUCAGUUUCAUCGAGAACUUAUCGACUCAGCCCAGGUUUGUCCUUCUCAGAAUCCCUAAUGUUAAGUCUUGUUAUAAUUUCUGAUUCUGAAUCCUUGUGUAGGUCAUUCCCAUUUGGUUGAAUUGCCUGCCUGUAAAAGGUGACUAUGUUCAUGGUCAACUAUGUUCCAUGGUUGAAAGGUAUUGGAUUUGUUUGCAAACUCUAAUAUGUCAUAUCUUCAUAAAAUGCAGGAUUUUAUCCCACGUUUAGUUGAAAGUAUUAUGUAAUCAUAAGACUAUUUAUCCCACCAUUUAUACCUUAGUGAUGUGAUAAGUUAUUUCAUUCCGAAAUAGUUGAUGUCAGGAUAACUUAUUCCAAACCAAAUGACCCAUUAAUGAUUUAUCAAAUUUUCUCAAUUUCAGGUCAGAUAGAGAACUUUUGGGUACCAAUUAUGAACACUUCCCAAAAAUUAUGUCAAUUUUUGCAGAGGUUAGUUCCAUAUCAGAAUCUAUAGAUGCCAGUUUGAGUUGUUUAUUUGCUCCUGAUAAAUAUUAAAUGAGAUAAGUAUUGAAAACAUUCUUAGAUUAGGUGUAAAUUAUUAAUUUCAUAAUCGAACUAUUGACAAUCUUAAAAACACUCAAUUCUUUGACUAACUAAACUUACACUUCUGAUCUUGCAACAUGACCGAAAUACAUCCCUAAUUUAGGGGUGCUUUCAACACUCCUCUAUGAAAUAUGGCAGAUCAGAGAUGUAUCUAAGUUUAAUCUGGUCAAAUAGAGGUGUAUUUUUAAGACUAUCAAUAAUUCAAGAACGAAACGAACAAUUUGUGUCAAGUUUAAGAGUGUUUUUGAAUCAAACUAAAGACUUUUUUUAUUCAAUUUCGUAUAGUUAAUUUAGUUUCACUUUUUAAGGUUAUAUGUGGUGGAAAACAUCUUGCUACAGAAGAAACAACAAAGUGUAUGAUUAAUCUGUUGAGGAAUCUUCUUAAAGAACUACCACCAGACACUUUGACAUCAGCAUGGUCAUUGAUAUUGCCUCAGCAAGAAAUGGAACUAAAAGCCAUUUUAUUUCCUGGAAUACUUCAUGUGGUACGUUUUCACAACAAAACAUUUUGUAUGCUUGACACUGAUACCAAUGAAAGCUCUCCCCCUUACUCUUUACCAUCCAAAAUUGUCAAACUUCUCGAGGAAGAACAUCAGAAAAAUAGUAUUAUUGUUCCACAAAUGUAACUUAUAAACCAUAAAUUGUUUCUUUAAAGUUUUGUAUCAUUUAAGUAUACAAGAUGAUACUAUAGUUGAUUUGUGGGGAAUUGAAUAUGUAAUUAUCAUUAGACUAUCUAUGUUAUAUCUUUUUACGAUUUAUCUAUCCAUUUGGAAUUUCUUUAUUUUAGUUUUUCAUAAGUUGAAAUUCAUAUUGUGGCAUAUAAUUUAAAUAAUUGUUUAUUAAAAUUAAACAAGUCAAACCUUAAGGACCUAAAAUCUAAACCUGACGGCAUAAACCCUGAGAGGUCGUUUGGUGUGAAAGAUAACUUUAAAUAGUCCUACGAUUAAAUUAUAAUGUCACUAAAUUUGUUGUUUGAUUGGCAAUUUCGUGAUAACUUAUCUCAUGAUUAAUAAUUAAUACAAGGAUAAAUUAUCCCUUCCCUUGGAUGGUACAAUAAUCCCGAGACAAUUUAUCACAAGAUAAAAUGACUAAAUGACAAAAAUAUCUUUUUAAACACUUUUUAUACAUUAUUUUUCAUAUUCAUGAACGGUAUUUUUGUAAGCAUAUAUGUUGUUCUUAAGAUUUAUUAUUUUGAAUACAACAAACCAAAAAUUCAAUAAAAAAUAAUAUCAAUAUAACUUAUUCCAUCAUAACUUGAAUUCAAACCAAACGACUGCAUCUUAGAGCCCAAAAAAUAAACUCAAAACUCAAAAUCAUAAACCCUAAACCUUAAACCUUAAACCUUAAACCUCAACCUUAAAGUCUAAACCAUAAACCCAAAACUCAAAAGCUUGGGGCCUAAAACCUAAGAUUUACGAUUUAUGGUUUAGGAUUUAGACCAGGGCUGUCUUAACCCCUAGGCCACUAAAGCCAUCGCUUGGGGCCCCAUAUAUUUUGGGGCCCCCAUUUAAAAAAACAAUUACUUAUAUAUGUUAUUUAAAAAAUAAUAAUUAUAUGUAUUAUGAGUGUUAUGAUUUCUACUAAGGAAAUUGCAUAUGAGAUGAAAAUAAACUGAAUUUCGUAAGAAACAAUUUGAUGAAAAUGUGGAUAGCGAAAUCACAAAGUCCUUUGAAGAACCUUUUAGAAUUGGUUGUUUUAUAUAUGUAGAGUAGAUCAAACUAUUUUUUCACUUCAAAAUAGAUUUAAAUCAAUUGAAACAUAUGGAAAUAUUUUUGAUUUCUUAUUUAGUGGUAAAAUAUUGAGAUCACUAGAUGAACAUAUGGAAAUAUUUUUGAUUUCUUAUUUAGUGGUAAAAUAUUGAGAUCACUAGAUGAACAUAUGGAAAUAUUUUUGAUUUCUUAUUUAGUGGUAAAAUAUUGAGAUCACUAGAUGAUGAGAAUUUUUUUUUUUGUCUUAACUUUGAACUUUCUUUAUCAUGUGAUAGUUAUUAUGAUAUUGAUGGUUUAGAUUCAUUUUUUGAAUUAAAAGUGUUAAGGGAAAUAAUACAAGUAGAAGAUAAUGAUCUAAUGAAAAUNNNNNNNNNNNNNNNNNNNNNNNNNNNNNNNNNNNNNNNNNNNNNNNNNNNNNNNNNNNNNNCUCAAUCAAAUAAAAAGACUUGAUUCUUUUCCAAAUACUCAUAUUGCUUAUAGAAUAAUGUUAACAGUUCCUGUAACUAUUGUCUCAGCCGAAAGAAGUUUUUUGCGAAAUUAAAAUUGAUUAAAUCUUCUUUAAGAUCAACAAUGUCUAAAGAGAGAUUGAAUGAAUUAGCUAUAUCAUCAUUUGAAAAGAAAUUAUUAAAACAAAUUGAUUAUAAUAUAGUACCUAAUGACUUCACAUCUAAAAUAGCUAGAAAAGUAGAUAUUAAAUAAAAGUAUUUAUGAUGAAAAAAAAUUAGGGCCUCUCUCUUAAGUUUCGCUUUAGGCCCCCAAUGUUGUUGAGUCGGUCCUGAUUUAGACUCUAAGAUUUAUAUUUUAGGGGUUAUAGUUUAUAGUUUUGACUAUAAGAUUUAGGAUUUAAGAUUUAUAAUUUUAGAGUUUAGGCCUUAUGGUUAAGUGUUUAGAGAUUAAGAUUUAUAAUUCAUGUAUAAAUUAAAAUAUAGGGUUUAGGUCCAAGGUUCAUAUGGUUAUUUGAGGUCAAUCUUUAAGAAUAAUUGAACCAAACCCAUUUGAACCCAAAAUAAAUUUGAACGCAUUGAUCAACUUCGUGAUUUUUUUCUACACUUUUGACUCUUCAUCACCUUUCUACAAUUACAAUUGUUUCACAAAUCCUUUUUUAAAAUCUUUCAAAACAUAAUUAUAAAAAAUAUCUUUGUAAAUCCAUUCUAUUUCCUAAUCCCUUUCAUAAAACAAAUAAUCAAAAUAGCCUCAGAAGGAAGGCAGUAGUAUAGUCAUAAUCAUUAUUUUGAUCAUUAACGCAAAUCUACUCAUCAUCGGCAAAAAAAUAAUAAUUAAAAGAAACAAAAAAACAAUUAUUAUUGUAAUGCUUGAAAGUUUUGCAAUUUUCCUAAUUCAAAAUUAUUGACUAUCGAUUUUGAUAAUGUAUUUCUCAAAAUUGUUGUGUGAAAUACAUGAGUAAAAUUUUGACUAUCAAUAAUUUUGACAUGAGUAAAAUACAUCUGAACUCAAAAUUCAAAAUACAUUUCAAAACUCAAAAUUAAGAGUCAAAUUUGAGCAUAAAAUUUAGGACUUGGAAUCUAAACUCAAAAUUUGAAAGCAUAUACCUUAGGGCAUAGACCCUAAACCUUAAGAGCCUAAACUCUAAACAUUAUGUCCAAUUUUAUGAACCCUAAAUCUUGAACCUUAAAUCCCAAGUCAUAAACCCUAAAAUCUUAGAACUUAACCCAAAACUCUAAACCUUAAAGCCUAAACCUUAAACCUUAAACCUUUAAAUCCUAAAUCUUAAUGUUUAGGAUUUAUGAUUUAUGGUUUUAGAUUUUAAAAUUUAAGAUUUAGAGUUCAGACAAUAUGGUCAAGAGUUUUAAGUUUUAUGAUAUAAGAUUUAGGCCUUAAAAUUUGAAGUUUAGAUUUUAACAAUUAGCCUCUAAACUUUAAGAUUAAAAAUACAGCAUUUGAACAUUAUUAUAAUAAAUAAUUAUGUAGUACCCCAACGUCCAAAUACACCACAAAAAUUAGAUGCAGAGGAUAGCGAGGGGAACAUUAUUAUAGCUUCACUUGCUAAAGUACCACACCAUAAAAGUGUAAUCCACAAAAUAUAAUUAGCAAAGCAUAGAACAAUUAACAACAACAUACCCAAUAAAAUCCCCACAAAUCCACGCAAACCUUAUCAUUAUCUCGUAAAAAAAAAUAAAAAAAUAUGAAAUUAAUUCAGUCCCUUAGAUGUUCAAUUAAUUGCGAUCAUCUUCGCAAAUCAUUACAGGUCUGUAACUGUAAAAAAUUAAUCAUCAUUGUUGUUUCAGAAAAGGGUCAAAAUUGUCCCCGAACUAUAUGAAAUAGACCAUUUAUACCCUUCGUUACAUUUUGGGAUCAAAAAUGCCCCUGCUGUUAUCCUAAGAGACCACAAAUACCCUCAAGAGUUAACACCCCAAAUUUUUGUUGAUGUGGCAAGCCACAUGGGACUAAUCCUUCCACCUAAGAGUUGCCAACUAGGAUUCACUACAAAAGAACUAGACUUUUAGCGGCAAUAACAGUCGCCACAAAAGCCCAGAAAAUCGUCACUAAAAGUUUUUAACAUUAAAUUCUAAUUUUGUGUUUUUUUCUUCAUUGUUUUUAAAAAACCAAAUAUGAUAUCGAUUAAGUAGGAGUUUGAAGACACUAUAUGUUUUAUUUUUAUGUCAUAUGUAAAUGUAUAAAAUGUACAAUGAUGCAUUAUAUAUAUAUAGUAGGAGAUUUGAAUCGAGAAGUAAUUUUGAUGAUUUUUCGUAAUAAUAUUGGAUAUUUUUAAUAUUGAUAUUGCAAAGUUAUUUAUUUUAGAAAAUUAGGUUGCAAUCGAAAAUUAAUUAUCAUAUUAUUUUGUUGAAAAAAUAGGUUUUACUAGCGAAUGGUUGUUGGAGCGUUAGUCGCCACUAAAAAUCACUCAUAACCUUUAGUGGCAAUAUUUUGAGGUUUUGUGGCGACUUUGUCGCCACUAAAAGUCAAGUUCUUUUGUAGUGAAUCUUAGUUGGCAAUGCUUAGGUGGAGGGAUUAGUCCCAUGUGACUUGCCACGUCACUAAAAAAUUGGGGUGUUUAACUCUUGAGGGUAUUUGUGGUCUCCUGGGAUAACUGCGGGGGUAUUUUUGAUUCCAAAAUGUAAUUGAGAGUAUAAGUGGUCUAUUUCGCAUAGUUCAGGGUCAAUUUUGACCCUUUUCCGUUGUUGUUUUCAUAUACAAUGAUUAGAAUAAAAUAUAUAUAAAAAUUUUUGAUGAACAAACUCAGUCCCUUAGAUGUUCAAUUUUUUGCGAUCAUUUUCGGCAAAUCAUUACAGGUCUGUAACUGUAAAAAAUUACUCAUCAUCGUUGUUCAUCAUCAAAAAACUAUUAUGAAAAAAAUUAAAAAAAAAGUUGUGGCUGCACCAAUUGUUCUCCACAGAUUAAAUUAAAUGAAGAGAAAGAUGAAAAAGGAACAACACACUUAUUAAUGCUUCAAGGGAACGAGUUGGUCAAAAAUAAAUUAUUUCUUGCCAACCAGAUUAAAGAAGCAUAUAACUCAAAAUAUAUACACAAAAAUAAUAAAUUUAUUUAGAGUUUAGAAGAUAUAUCACCAUCUAGCUGGAUAUGAUUAUUAUGCAUAAUGAAUAAAGGAAACAGCUUAAGAGAAAAACUGGUCCGUUAGAUCUCCUCUUUCAAUCGCAAUCUUCUAUUUCUGCACAGCAAAGAAACACUUCUCAAAUAUAUUUUACGAAAGAUUUAACAGGUAAAAGUGUACAAGCUCAAAAUAUGAUGCAAUUAAUCUUGAGUCAGUUACCUGUUAAACCAGUGUUGCCGCUUUUUAUAUGCAAGGGGUAAAUAAGGACCUUGAGCUCUGCAUUUGCAUAUCCUUCUUGCACUUCUUGAAUGUCCUUGACUGAUUUUUCAAGAGACUCACCACAUCGUUUCACUUCAACGUAUCAGAGCCUAAGGGCUCAAAUCUUUAGAUUCUCUAAAACAAAAUUUCAAUAAGGGGUCUACAGUAUAAAUAAAAUUUUAAUAUUCAAACAUUUCAAUAUUAUUUAAAUUAAUUUACCUUAGAGAUUGACAUAAUUCGAAAACCAAAUACCGAAUAAAUAAUUCAUAAAACUGAAAUUAUCAUCGCCGGACCAGUGACCACUAGUACCUCCAAACAACUCAAAAACAAACUACCACCCGAUCACACCAAAUCGGUCGUUACAUGAAAUGAGACAUUUCAUGGUAACGAUGGAUCUAAAUGAUACAAUACAAUAAAAUUUAAGUAACAAUCAACAUAAGUAUUGUAUUUAAACUAACUAUACAAUAUAAUGGGUAACAACCAUCCAAACAAGGUGUUAAUGUAAAAGCAUACAGAAUAUCAUAUAAUAAAGUUCAUAUAUCAAUGCAAUGGAUCCAUUGAAAGAAAGUAUUUUGAAGUACACACAAAACUCAAAAACAAGAAAAUUAUCCAUCUAGCUGGAUAUGAUUAUGCAUAAUGAACAGAGGAAACAGCUUAAGAGAAAAACUGGUCCGUUAGAUCUCCUCUUUCAAUCGCAAUCUUCUAUUUCUGCACAGCAAAGAAACACUUCUCAAAUAUAUUUUACGAAAGAUUUAACAGGUAAAAGUGUACAAGCUCAAAAUAUGAUGCAAUUAAUCUUGAGUCAGUUACCUGUUAAACCAGUGUUGCCGCUUUUUAUAUGCAAGGGGUAAAUAAGGACCUUGAGCUCUGCAUUUGCAUAUCCUUCUUGCACUUCUUGAAUGUCCUUGACUGAUUUUUCAAGAGACUCACCACAUCGUUUCACUUCAACCAUCUUUAGAGUAGCAAUAUGUCCAACCAUGGAAGGAAUUUCUCGAAGAUUAAAGCAGUUUUCUAUAAGAAUGUGUUCGAGGUUGGGAAAGGACUCAUCUGAUGCAUUCCAUGUUGUUAUUGUAAGGGAUCUUAAUUUAAGAACCUUGAGGUUCAGAAACUCUUCAUCUUCGAUCUCCCAUUUGUCCUGCUGAAAUGCUCUAUGUUCCAACUUGAGAACCACUAAAUUUGGUAAUCUUCCGAUAUUAGACAGUUCACUUUGUGGCAACAAAACAUCUGAUAGAGUUAGCUUUGUUAGUGUCGCGGGCAAGGUGAAAUUCAAAAUCUUACCGUUUACACUGAGUGUUUCAAGUUGAAGAGCAUGUAAUUUGAGUUUGAGAGGCUCUUUACAGUGGCAUUUGAGCUUUCGCAGUCUGCUUGCCUUCUUGACCAUGUAGUCUACUAGCUCAUUAGUGAGAGACACUGUGGCCAAGGUCUCUAUGUUUGUCGAUGUCUGAGGAAUGCGUCCAUCAAAAGAUGCAACAGGUUCAACAUGUACAUGCUUUAGCCUUGGCAUAUUCCAGAUGGUCAUCGGUAAAAUUGUGCCACUGCCUACUGUUAUUACAAGCAAUACCUCUAGGUUUGAAAGGUUCGAUAUCCAUAAUGGCAUAGAUACCAUAUAGCCUUUGAUUCCUAAGUACUUCAAAUGGAUCAGCUCUUUUGAUCUCUGGAAUGAACUCUCCGACAUAGUACAUUCCAUUUGUAGUACUCUUAAUAGUUUAAAGUUCUCAAGAUCAAGAAAUUCCUGGCAGCCAGAUUUCGGGGGUCUGAAGAAUGCAGAUCGAACUUGCAUGUUUCCAAUCUUCCCUGCCCAAUAAAGGCUAUGAUGAAUGCAAAGCCUCCGGUGCUCAUAAAAGGAACUAGACAAAUCAGUCUUCCCGGUGCUUGUUAGUUGCAUAAACUUCUCUUCCUUAGACUUUGUCAUGCAAAAAUCAUGUAACAUAUCAUGAAUGCGGCAUGUUCUGACUCCUCCAGUGGACUUUCUCUUGCUCACCAUUAUCAAGCUUCUACCAAUGAGAUCAUUCAGUAAACUUUCUACAGCAAGGUGUAUACUUUCUACCUCUAUGUUUGGCACCAAUCCCUCAAUAGUCCAUAACCACUCCAAGUUCGAGAGUGGAAUUUCUUCAUCCUUUUGAAAUGAUGCAAAAUAUAGAAGGCAGGGUUUGAGAUGAUCAGGCAAGUGCUUGUAGCUCAGUUCUAUAACCUCCAUGCACUCUUUUGCACUAGUAACAGUAUCUAACUUUAUACUCUCUGCGACUCUUCUCCAACUUUCCUCAUUUUCGCUUAUCCCAGACAAAACUCCAGCAACCAAAAUCACAAGGAGAGGUAGUCCUUUACACUUACUCGCGAUGUUUGCUCCUACUUUUGAUAGGUCUGGUGGGCAAGUUUGUUCCUUGAACAGCUUGAUUUUCAUUAGUUCCCAACUUUCAUUUUCGUCAAGAAAACGAAGUUCAAGAGGUUCUCUUCCACGUGUAAUGUUGGAAGCCACAUCAAUGUUUCGGCUGGUUAAUAAAAUCCUGCUUCCGUUUCCAUUAUCCGGUAAGCAUCUGUGCAAGUAUUUCCAUGUGUCAACACUCCAUAUGUCAUCAAUGUAGAGAAGGUACUUCUUUCUUAACAGAAAUUUCCGCAAAGCAUCUGCUGGAUCUUUCUCAUUCUGUUUGUUAGAACAUUUGACUUGAUUCAAAAUUCCGAGCAGCAACUUUCUUCUGUCAUAAGUUUGGGAAACACAACACAUAGCUUGGACGUCAAAAUGACGCCGCAUUUUCUUAUCAUGAAAAACUUUCUUUGCUAGUGUAGUUUUUCCAAGACCAGGCAUCCCUACGAUAGAAACAACAUCCAAGUACUUUGGUCCUAUAGUGAGCUGUUCGAUUAGCAAGUCAGUCUCAUCCUUAAAACCCACCAUUACCUCAUCAUGUUGUGUAGUCUCAACUACUGGUCUGACAGGAUUUGGUCCUUGUUCUUCAAUAGGGACUUCAACUUCUCGCGUAAUCGUAGCAUGGAACUCUUUCAAAUGAUCCCUUACAACCUUAGUUUCUGUUGUGAUCUUACAUAACAAAUGUAGAUACCAAACAGGAUAAUCUCCGGUAACCAGGCAAUCAAUUAUGCAUUCUGCCUGAUAUGCUAGAGAUAUGACUUCUGUCCAUAGAUCAUGUUUCUUCACCUCCUCAAACUCAUGGUUUUUCUUCUCAACUUCCUUCAAGAAGAAUCUUAAGAGAUAUAACUCUUCCCGAGCUUCUUCAAUAAGAUGCUUGACAACAGAAUCACACUUUCCGUCUUGCAGCAGCUCUUUCAGAUAGCAUAAGAGAUAAUCGAUAAACCCCAAUCCAUUUGUCCUAGGAAAAUUACAUUUUGAUGACACUACAUCUUUCAGAAUCACAUCUUUUAGAUCUUCCAUGACAUGUUCAAUCUUUUUUAACAAGUCACUGAAUACCGAGUUAACUUCUGCUGCUUUGUCAACGGAGAAAGAGAAAGCAGCAGAUACUACCUCAGCAAUCAGACCUUCAAUGCAAGUAAGUUUGUCACUCAUUUUUUCCUGGAUAACAUAUAAAUCUUCUGGUGGACAAAUGAGCAAAGUUACCAAUUGCUUUGAUGCUUCGGCAAGGCUUUUGAUUUGAUCCUUUUUAAGAGGAAGCAUCAAAGAACAUGCCUCACCGUCUGAUAACUCCAACAAAUCCUUGAAGAUGAAAUGAACAAAACCUUCAACAAAUUCUAUCACAUCCCGGCUGUAUUGGAUUUGCAAUUUAACUGAACCUCUUAGAGCUCCAGUAUAGAUUUCUGCAACGUCCGGAUCAAUGGGCUUGAUAUAUUUCAAAACAUGAGAGAUUUGAAGUGUCAACACAGAUGCUGAAUCUCCAUCCAUUUCUUCCACAUAACAAAGGUAACAUAUGUAUGCAGCAUUCACUGUGAUGCCCUCUAUAUGAUUAAAAAGAAUCUUGGAUUUCUCUAGCUCCAUGCUUGCAUCUUUUAUGAAAUUGAGGAAGGUUUUUAGAUAUUUUAGACUUUCUUCAAGGACUUGAAACUCUUUCUUCAGAAGAACAAACUUGUCGAAAUCUUUCUUGUUGAUGAGAAGAUCCUUCACAUUCUGAAGGAUACACUCAAUGAAUUUCUGAAACAAUGGGCUGCAUAAAUUUGGUAAAGGCCACCUCCCUGGAACCAAUGAAAGGAGAAACUCAUAACCUUCUUUGACUUCGGCAGAAGCUAAGUCUGCCCUUGGUCCCGAGACAGUGUCACCGACUUGCAUUCCAUGUCUGCACAAUCUCCCCUCCUUAAUCCUUCCUUUUUCAUUUGCCCAAUACAAGAAAGUACCAAAAAAUCUCCUCUCUAUUUCAGACAUUUGUUUUCUAGCAGAAUUUCCUCAGAGUGGAUAUAUGUCGACAGCUCUGCAAAGAGAUUAUAAACAAAUCACAUUCUAGGACAAACAAUGCAUACUCCAUAAUCUAGUUGCUCUUCAUAUUGCGUCAAAUCCGGUGUAUCAUGAAAAAACUAAACAUAUUGAGGUUGAUUGUCAUUUUAUUCGUGAGAAGAUUCAGGAAAACAUGAUUUCCAUUGGCUACGUGAAGACAUGAGAGCAACUAGCUGAUCUAAUUUUAUUGAAUUUUGUUCUUUGGUUUUACAUUGGUUUAGACAAUUAAAAUACAUAAUUUAAUUUUAAUUUUCCUUAAAUAUUUAGUAAUGUAACUAAUACUUAUUAAACUUGUAAUUUUAGCAUGAUUUAGUACUUUUAAAUUAUGAUCAUUUUCAUUAUGACUUUGCAAUAUUUAUUUUAUAUAAUGAUUUCAUUAUUAUUUUUUAUUGAAUAUUUUUGUUCAUCAGUACUCAUCUCAUAUUUUGUGUUAUUUUUUUUUAAGAAAUACCUUAGAUAAUUGUAUUUUGGUUGGACUAAAGAAAUAUUUGGAGCACAAGUUAAUUAUAUGUUUGUAUGCAAACUUUACCGAAAAAAUCCAAAAAUCUAAAAAAAUCCGAGGUUUAUUAGUUUGGUUUGAUUUAUAAAUUUAAAAAUUCGACACAAUGGUUUGGUUUGGUAUUUGAAAAACCUGAAAAAAUCCGAAUUUUAUUAGUUUGGUUUGGUUUAUAAAUUUAAAUUUUUUACACAAAUGGUUUGAUUUGAUAUUUGAAAAACCCAAACCAAUCCGGUCAUGUACACCCCUAAUUGCAAUUAUAACUUGAUUAUGUGGAGUAUAGAUUUCAUAAGAAUAAUACUACUUGUUUAAUGUAGAAAAAAAAUAUAUGUUACUUAAUUCUAUGCAAAGCAUGUUAGCCCCAUAGAAUCGGGUAAUUUUGAUAAUGAAACACUUAAUCGACUUGUGACUUAUUGCAGGCAAAUAAGGAAAGAAAUGAGCCAAGCAUACAACACCUAAAUUAUGAACUAUGUCUAUUUGUAUAACAGAUGAAUGAAGAAUAUAAAAUGAUGCAACUUCAUUGUUUCAUUAUGGCCACUGGUAAUGGCUAAGAAAUGAUUUUUUCCCCUCUGUUUCAAUUUGUUUGACCUAUUUUGACUUGACAUGAAAUUUAAGAAAGUAAAAAAGAUUUUUGAAUCUUGUGGUCUUAAAUAUGUCGUGUAGAAAAUUGAAGUUAAAGAGUUGCUAAAAAAAGAAAAGGUCAUUCUUUUUUAAACAGACUAAAAAGAAAAGUAAAUCAAACAAAUUAAAAAGGAGGAAAUAAUUGAAAGUUUAAACCUACUAAAAAGAAAAUUAGGUGAAGAGUCAGUGUCAUACUAAUUAGAUCAUUGAAAUAUCUCAUGAUUUACGGAAGAAAGUCCUCAUUUGCUGCUACCAAUUUCACCACUUUGUCAAACAUCAUUUAAUUGGCAAAGAAAGUCAAAUAAGACAUUUGCAAGUUAGAUAUUAUUCUUGUCAUUGAUUUCACUCAUGAUAUUAUUCGUAUUAGAAAGCAGAAUGAGGUAUACCAUAGACUGUAUAAAAAAAUAGUCUGCUAAGAAAAAUUGAGUGUUAGCGAUCAUCUCUUAUCGGAAAAGGUCGGAAUCUAAGUCAAUGAUGAAGCAGAAGGAUCCCUAACUCAUUAGCUCUUAAGCUAGCCAAGUCUCUUGGCUCUGAUCAGCUAGCUGCUGCACUUCAUCCUGACAACAACUGGCCUAAAUUAUUACCAAUCUUUUAUAGAUGUUUCAGUACUCACUACAAGAAAAUGUACAUACGGCGACAUUAAUUUGGUGACAUUUGAAAUAAAUGUCGGAAAAUAAAGAAUUUUACGAUAUUUAGGAACAAAAUGUCAUAAAACAAUGACAUUUGAUGUCAAAUGUCGUAAAAAUAAUGACAUUUGGUAUCAAAUAUCAUAAAAAUAAUGACAUUUGGUCCAAAAUGUCACUAUGAUAAUGACAUUUAUUGCAAAAUAUCGUUGUUUUUAGCGACAUUUAGCAAAAAUGUCAUUUAAAUGAUGACAUUUGCUACAAAUGUCGAAUAUAAUAUGACAUUUACUACAAAAUGUCAUUGGUUUUAGUGACAUUUAGAAAAAAUAUCGCUUAAAUAGUGACAUUUAAUAUAAAUGUCGAAUAUAUUAUGACAUUUACUGACAAAUGUCAUUGAUUUUAGUGACAUUUAGAAAAAAUGUUACUAAAAUAGUGACAUUUGUAGUAAAAUGUCAUUGAUUUUAGCGAUUUUUAGCAAAAUUGUUGCUAAAAUAGCGACAUUUCAUACAAUUGUCGAAUAUAUUACGACAUUUAUUGCAAAAUGUCAUUGAUUCGAUCGACAUAUAUAGUGAAAAUUUCCCUAAAACAGUGACAUUUUUAUACAAAUAUCAAAUAUAUUAUGUCAUUUGUUGAAAAAUGUCAUUGAUUUUUAUGACAUAUGAUGAAAAGUACUGUUAAACNNNNNNNNNNNNNNNNNNNNNNNNNNNNNNNNNNNNNNNNNNNNNNNNNNNNNNNNNNNNNNNNNNNNNNNNNNNNNNNNNNNNNNNNNNNNNNNNNNNNNNNNNNNNNNNNNNNNNNNNNNNNNNNNNNNNNNNNNNNNNNNNNNNNNNNNNNNNNNNNNNNNNNNNNNNNNNNNNNNNNNNNNNNNNNNNNNNNNNNNNNNNNNNNNNNNNNNNNNNNNNNNNNNNNNNNNNNNNNNNNNNNNNNNNNNNNNNNNNNNNNNNNNNNNNNNNNNNNNNNNNNNNNNNNNNNNNNNNNNNNNNNNNNNNNNNNNNNNNNNNNNNNNNNNNNNNNNNNNNNNNNNNNNNNNNNNNNNNNNNNNNNNNNNNNNNNNNNNNNNNNNNNNNNNNNNNNNNNNNNNNNNNNNNNNNNNNNNNNNNNNNNNNNNNNNNNNNNNNNNNNNNNNNNNNNNNNNNNNNNNNNNNNNNNNNNNNNNNNNNNNNNNNNNNNNNNNNNNNNNNNNNNNNNNNNNNNNNNNNNNNNNNNNNNNNNNNNNNNNNNNNNNNNNNNNNNNNNNNNNNNNNNNNNNNNNNNNNNNNNNNNNNNNNNNNNNNNNNNNNNNNNNNNNNNNNNNNNNNNNNNNNNNNNNNNNNNNNNNNNNNNNNNNNNNNNNNNNNNNNNNNNNNNNNNNNNNNNNNNNNNNNNNNNNNNNNNNNNNNNNNNNNNNNNNNNNNNNNNNNNNNNNNNNNNNNNNNNNNNNNNNNNNNNNNNNNNNNNNNNNNNNNNNNNNNNNNNNNNNNNNNNNNNNNNNNNNNNNNNNNNNNNNNNNNNNNNNNNNNNNNNNNNNNNNNNNNNNNNNNNNNNNNNNNNNNNNNNNNNNNNNNNNNNNNNNNNNNNNNNNNNNNNNNNNNNNNNNNNNNNNNNNNNNNNNNNNNNNNNNNNNNNNNNNNNNNNNNNNNNNNNNNNNNNNNNNNNNNNNNNNNNNNNNNNNNNNNNNNNNNNNNNNNNNNNNNNNNNNNNNNNNNNNNNNNNNNNNNNNNNNNNNNNNNNNNNNNNNNNNNNNNNNNNNNNNNNNNNNNNNNNNNNNNNNNNNNNNNNNNNNNNNNNNNNNNNNNNNNNNNNNNNNNNNNNNNNNNNNNNNNNNNNNNNNNNNNNNNNNNNNNNNNNNNNNNNNNNNNNNNNNNNNNNNNNNNNNNNNNNNNNNNNNNNNNNNNNNNNNNNNNNNNNNNNNNNNNNNNNNNNNNNNNNNNNNNNNNNNNNNNNNNNNNNNNNNNNNNNNNNNNNNNNNNNNNNNNNNNNNNNNNNNNNNNNNNNNNNNNNNNNNNNNNNNNNNNNNNNNNNNNNNNNNNNNNNNNNNNNNNNNNNNNNNNNNNNNNNNNNNNNNNNNNNNNNNNNNNNNNNNNNNNNNNNNNNNNNNNNNNNNNNNNNNNNNNNNNNNNNNNNNNNNNNNNNNNNNNNNNNNNNNNNNNNNNNNNNNNNNNNNNNNNNNNNNNNNNNNNNNNNNNNNNNNNNNNNNNNNNNNNNNNNNNNNNNNNNNNNNNNNNNNNNNNNNNNNNNNNNNNNNNNNNNNNNNNNNNNNNNNNNNNNNNNNNNNNNNNNNNNNNNNNNNNNNNNNNNNNNNNNNNNNNNNNNNNNNNNNNNNNNNNNNNNNNNNNNNNNNNNNNNNNNNNNNNNNNNNNNNNNNNNNNNNNNNNNNNNNNNNNNNNNNNNNNNNNNNNNNNNNNNNNNNNNNNNNNNNNNNNNNNNNNNNNNNNNNNNNNNNNNNNNNNNNNNNNNNNNNNNNNNNNNNNNNNNNNNNNNNNNNNNNNNNNNNNNNNNNNNNNNNNNNNNNNNNNNNNNNNNNNNNNNNNNNNNNNNNNNNNNNNNNNNNNNNNNNNNNNNNNNNNNNNNNNNNNNNNNNNNNNNNNNNNNNNNNNNNNNNNNNNNNNNNNNNNNNNNNNNNNNNNNNNNNNNNNNNNNNNNNNNNNNNNNNNNNNNNNNNNNNNNNNNNNNNNNNNNNNNNNNNNNNNNNNNNNNNNNNNNNNNNNNNNNNNNNNNNNNNNNNNNNNNNNNNNNNNNNNNNNNNNNNNNNNNNNNNNNNNNNNNNNNNNNNNNNNNNNNNNNNNNNNNNNNNNNNNNNNNNNNNNNNNNNNNNNNNNNNNNNNNNNNNNNNNNNNNNNNNNNNNNNNNNNNNNNNNNNNNNNNNNNNNNNNNNNNNNNNNNNNNNNNNNNNNNNNNNNNNNNNNNNNNNNNNNNNNNNNNNNNNNNNNNNNNNUAUGACAUUUACUACAAAAUGUCAUUGGUUUUAGUGACAUUUAGAAAAAAUAUCGCUUAAAUAGUGACAUUUAAUAUAAAUGUCGAAUAUAUUAUGACAUUUACUGACAAAUGUCAUUGAUUUUAGUGACAUUUAGAAAAAAUGUUACUAAAAUAGUGACAUUUGUAGUAAAAUGUCAUUGAUUUUAGCGAUUUUUAGCAAAAUUGUUGCUAAAAUAGCGACAUUUCAUACAAUUGUCGAAUAUAUUACGACAUUUAUUGCAAAAUGUCAUUGAUUCGAUCGACAUAUAUAGUGAAAAUUUCCCUAAAACAGUGACAUUUUUAUACAAAUAUCAAAUAUAUUAUGUCAUUUGUUGAAAAAUGUCAUUGAUUUUUAUGACAUAUGAUGAAAAGUACUGUUAAACGACUACAACAUUUUAUGUCUACAACCACCCUAGAAAAGUGUGGCCUUUGAUAAAAGGCCACACUUUUUGACUUUAAGCCACGCUUUUCCAGGGGUGACCGAAAGAAGCAUAACCUUAGAGUUUAGGCGACACUUUUCAAGUGUUGCCUUAUCAGCUACGCUUAAAAGCGUAACCUAAAAGGCAAAAAGGCCACGCUUUGUAGUACCUCAUAUAGCUUAACAUUUCUAUCUCAUACAGCUACACUUUCAAGGGUGGCCUUUGCUUCCUUAUUGCCCACGAUUUUAAAGUGUUGCCUUUUCUAUCUUAUGUAUGACAACACUUUGAAGUGUAGUCCUUGCUCAUGUGCAUACCACAAUUUAUAGUUAUUUGGCUGCACUUUUAAGUGUGGUAAUAUUAUUUUUACUAUAAAAUAUUUAUAUGCCACAAUUUCUAAUUAAAAACAUCAAUAUUAUUUUGCAAUAAAUAAUCUCAAACACUAAAUUAGCUAAUAAGUAAUUCAAAUAUAUAGAUUUACAAUAAACUUCAAAAGAUAGUAUGCUAAUCAUUGUUGCCUUAAUCUGUGUGUCAUUUUUUAAAGUGGACAACUAAAUAGGGAUGGAAGGAGUAAUAAACAAUGACUAAGAAAGACUAAUUAAUUAUUUUUCUUGUUCUUUCCUCUAAUGGAGGACAGAUGGAAGAUUAAUAAAAUAUUAUUUAUCUUCUUAAAAGUUUUAGAGGCCCACUUAAUAAUUGCUACAAAACAAAGAUGCUAAUCAGCUAAAGGAUAUAUUGUAGAAUAAUAAUUUAUACUCCCUUCCUUCGUUUUUAUUUGUCCUAAUUUUACUUGACACACCCAUUAAGAAAAUAAUUAUUAAUAUAGAUAUUUUAUUAAAUUGUCCCUAUUAAACGAUGUUUAGUAUUAAGUAUUGGAAAGUGACUUGGAAAUAGAGUAUUUAAUAUUGAGGGUAAAAUAUGGAAAAAUAUAAUUGUCUUUUUAUGAUAUGUCAAAAGCAACAAAUAAAAUGAAAAUUUAUUUUAGGAAUAAGUGAAAGUGAACGGGAGAGUAUUAAUUUUAUCUACCCGAGUUAAGAGGUUCGAAUCAAUGAUUUCUUUAUCUUGUCUUUUUAGCAUUGCAAUUAGGGGUGUAUAAAAUCGAACCGAAAAUCGAACCAAGCCGCAAACCGAAAAAAAAACUUGACUAGUGGUUUGGUUUGACUUGAUUUGGUAUUGGAAAAAAAAACCCGACUAUAUUUGGGUUGAGUUGGUUUUAACUAAAAAAAACCAACCCGAGACCAAACCAACCCGACAUUUAUUAGUUUGGUUUGAUUUAUAAAUUUAAAAAUUCGACACAAUGGUUUGGUUUGGUAUUUGAAAAACCUGAAAAAAUCCGAAUUUUAUUAGUUUGGUUUGGUUUAUAAAUUUAAAUUUUUUACACAAAUGGUUUGAUUUGAUAUUUGAAAAACCCAAACCAAUCCGGUCAUGUACACCCCUAAUUGCAAUUAUAACUUGAUUAUGUGGAGUAUAGAUUUCAUAAGAAUAAUACUACUUGUUUAAUGUAGAAAAAAAAUAUAUGUUACUUAAUUCUAUGCAAAGCAUGUUAGCCCCAUAGAAUCGGGUAAUUUUGAUAAUGAAACACUUAAUCGACUUGUGACUUAUUGCAGGCAAAUAAGGAAAGAAAUGAGCCAAGCAUACAACACCUAAAUUAUGAACUAUGUCUAUUUGUAUAACAGAUGAAUGAAGAAUAUAAAAUGAUGCAACUUCAUUGUUUCAUUAUGGCCACUGGUAAUGGCUAAGAAAUGAUUUUUUCCCCCUCUGUUUCAAUUUGUUUGACCUAUUUUGACUUGACAUGAAAUUUAAAAAAGUAAAAAAGACUUUUGAAUCUUGUGGUCUUAAACAUGUCGUGUGGAAAGUUGAAGUUAAAGAGUUGCUAAAAAAAGAAAGGGUCAUUCUUUUUGAAACAGACUAAAAAGAAAAGUAAGUCAAACAAAUUAAACGGAGGAAGUAAUUGAAAGUCUAAACCUACUAAAAAGAAAAUUAGGUGAAGAGUCGGUGUCAUACCAAUUAGAUCAUUGAAAUAUCUCAUGAUUUACGGAAGAAAGUCAAACAAAUUAAACGGAGGAAGUAAUUGAAAGUCUAAACCUACUAAAAAGAAAAUUAGGUGAAGAGUCGGUGUCAUACCAAUUAGAUCAUUGAAAUAUCUCAUGAUUUACGGAAGAAAGUCCUCAUUUGCUGCUACCAAUUUCACCACUUUGUCAAACAUCAGUUAAUUGGCAAAGAAAAGUCAAAUAAGACAAAGUUAGAUAUAUUUUCUGAAAUGGUAAUCACGUAUAGAAAAACUAGUUAAUACAAAUUAAGUUUGUUCAAAAGUCUAUCACGUACCUUUUGUAACAACUUUGACAGAGCAGAAAACAGUGAUCCAGGUUUCACUACUUUGUUCUAUACUUUUUACCAAAAAGAGAUUUUAGGACUCCGGAGAGCAAAGUCCCGUACUUGCUUUCCUGACUAAAUAUUUUCACAUGUGUGUUAAUCAUGGAAGACUUUGAGAUCAGGAGAAGGCCAUUAUUGUCACUUAAUAUAAAGUAUAAUAAUGAAAUUAAAUUACACCUAAUGAAGAAUAAAAAAUGAUUCAACUUGAUUGUUGCAUUAUACCCCAAUACAUUGCAUUUCAUUAUGGCCACUUGUGAUGGUUAAGAAAUGGAAAAAAAAAAGACUUAGCUCUAAGGUCACGACUCGGUAUCAUAGUAGAUCAUUGACAUCCCACAUUACCUUUUCAUUACUACUAAAUACCAACUGCCUAUAUAGAAAAUUAGUUCACAGCCCUGCUUUUCGCCAACUUCAGAAUUUUGGAAAUAGAAAGGAGAGUUGACCUUACCUUAAUCAACGGAGUAUAUAAUAUUGAUCUUGGAGAAGUGUCUACGAAAUUUACCUUUUCGUAUGGUAGGAAAGAUGGUUUUUCUAUAUAUAUGUUCAUUUUUUCUUACACAACUCCAUAGCAGCCGUUUCUCUCUCUAAUUAGAUCAUUGAAAUAUCUCAUGAUUUACGGAAGAAAGUCCUCAUUUGCUGCUACCAAUUUCACCACUUUGUCAAACAUCAGUUAAUUGGCAAAGAAAAGUCAAAUAAGACAAAGUUAGAUAUUUUUUCUCAAACAUCAGUUAAUUGGCAAAGAAAAGUCAAAUAAGACAAAGUUAGAUAUUAUUAUUGUCAUUGAUUUCACUCAUAAUAUUAUUAGUAUAGAAAGCAGAAUGAGGUAUACCAGUCGUAUAAAAAAAUAGUCUGGUAAGAAAAAUAGAGCGUUAGCGAUCAUCUGUUAUCGGAACUAGCAAUAUGGAUCCUAACUCAUUAGCUCUUAAGCUAGCCAACUUGUAUAGGUGUUUCAGUACUAAUUCCCAUUUGAGAGAGAAUUUAAACUUGUUUGUUGAAUUAAUCCAACACAUUGACGCUGAAGCAAUAGUCCAUUGCAUUGAUAUAUUACACCCUAUGUUCCUAAACACGUUGAAUGAUUCCCUGGUUAAUCUAGACGUGAAGAUCACUGCCCUGACGGCGAUGAGUAACUUCAUUCAACAGGUGGGGAGUUCAAAAGAUAGGGAGAGGUUUCAGGAUCUGUUGCCUGCGAUGAUGGACAUGCUGAAUAAGGCAUUGGAAGAAAAUUGGGAGGCAUCAGCUCAGUCUGAGUUGGAGAUUUUGAUUGAGUUGGCCAAGAAUGAGCCUAGUUUCUUCAGGGUGCAGCUUGUGGUUGUGGUGGGUUCCAUGUUUGAUAUAGCUGAAUGUGAGAGUUAUGAAAAGAAAACGAGACAUUUGGCGGUUGAAUUCGUGAUGACAUUGGUUGAGGCCAGGGAGAAGACCCCUGGCAUGAUCAAGAAGUAUCCAUUGUUUACUGAAAAAUAUAUUGCAAUUUUAUUGAAUUUGUUAGAGCAUGAGGUUUAUUACCCUCUCUUGCCUGAUCCUUAUGAUAGAUGGGAUAUAAAUGAUGAUUUGCCUUUUCUUAAGAAGUGUUUAUGGCGGUUGUCCCAUGCGCUGGGUGGUAAGACUGUUGGUCCUGUUGCCUUUGAGCAGGUCCGUGCUUACUUGGCUGACGACUCGUGGCAGAAGCCAUGCGCAGCACUCUAUGCACUUGCUCAGAUUGUUGAAGGCUGCUCAGAGGUGUGUAUUUAUUGAUACACUACUAAGAAUUGCAUUUAAACUGAUUAGUUAACGAUCUUGGGAUAGCAGAAGGUCACCUUGAUUAUACUUUCUUCUGUUAUUCUCUAGACUAAGUACUUUGCUUGCUCUCAUCUCUUCUUCAUUAUAAUAGGUGAUGAUUAAGAAUAUGAAUCUAGUGGUGACAAUGGUUCUGGAUUGUAUGGGACAUCCUCAUCCUGGAGUCAGAUUCACCUCCAUGGAAGCAGUUCGCGAGUUUUUGAGUUUCAUGUGUCCCCAUUUUCAAGAACAAUAUCAUCAGCAAGUAGUGCCGGCAUUAAUUAAAGCUAUGGAUGAUGACAGUGUACAAGUGCAGGUCUGUUUGUCCUACGAUGAUAUGAAUUCCUUUGGAUGCUAGUAUCAUUUGUCCCAAAUUACAGUUGCAAAAUUUUCUUACUGAACCUUCUCAAUGGCCUUAACUUUAACUUUAUUAGAUAUAAUCCCUGCUCUAACUUUACUAUCUUCAUAUUUUCCUAGGUCAGCGUCAUAUGCGCGGUCACGGGCUUCCUUCGCGAUGACACACCUAAAUAUUUGACACUUUACAUCCAUGGAUUACUCGAUAAAUUGUUUCAACUGUCAUUACAUACUGUUGCGCUAGUACGUAUUGUAGACUAAGUGCAAGAGAAAUCAGAUCAUUUUCUUGAACAAUGAACAGACAAUAUUACGAAUACAUCAAGGGAAACAACCAUAAUUUCCAAGUUCCCAAUAUAAUUAUCCCGCCCUCCUUUAUAAAUUCAAAGUUUGUUACUCCCUUGAAUGUCCUUGAGGUCUUUACUUGCCUGAUUUAUUUUUAUUUUUGACAUGAAAGGUCCAAGAAUCAGCGUCAGCUGUACUCCAAUUUUUGGCUGACCAUUUUAAGGUAUUACCUAGUAAUUCUGCUUCAACUUUUAUUAAGAGUAUGUUGUAUUAAGCUGGUUAUAUAUAUAUAUAUAUAUAUAUUAAUAUUAACAUUACUUCAGCAAGAGUGCUAUGGGAACAACUACGAAUCUAUUCUACCACUUUUUAAAGCUAUCCUGGUACAAGCAAAUUUUCCAAGUAAAGAUGUAGAGAUGAUGAUGUCAUUCCUCAAACCUGGCCGUUCGUUACUUCCAAAACAGGUCUUCCACUAGUUAUACCAAAUGGAUUCUAUACAUCUCACUCAACUUAGAGCUUAUUGUUUAUUCGUUUUCUAUUUUUCUGUUGUUGACAUAAUGUCACUAUAAGAUUAUGGAAGCAGUUAUGUCAUUACAAGGAUCACAAGAGUUUGAUGAGGAUACAAAUACCAUCUUCAAGCUAGAGGUAUGUGUUGUUGAGAAUAUCGUUAACUAAUAAAAUGGUGUUCUCUCUAAUAGCUUAAGCUUUUAGAUGAGAUGGUCACACACUUCAACAUGUUAUCAGAACAGGCAGAGGCCCUGGGAUCAAAUCUCUUCGCCACCCAAAUUAAAAAGAAUUUCCACGUGCUAAUCAGUCAGAAAUUCUUUCAAGAUUGGUCUCUCUAUAUUUCUUGAUCUCAUUGCAGGCUAUUGGUGGAUUUUGUAAGGCCAUAGGGAAAGGUUUUCUUCCUUGCACCAGCAUUGUCAUGCCCCUUUUGUUGCAAUGUGCUCAACUCGAACCUGAUAAAAUCAUAUUAUCUCCAGAUUCAGACCAUACUUGUUUAGAUGAUAAUACGUACGCCUUUUUGUCAUGACGUUUCGCCUUUUUGUCAGAUCAUUGCUCUGAGUGAUUGCCUUUUUAUGUACAUUAUAACAUCUUGCAGUAUACACAGAGUCAAGGUUGGCGAUUCAACGAUAUGUAUAAAAAAAAGUUCCCUAAAGAAGAAAGCUAAAGCAUGUGAAGUCCUAGUCAUUGUUGCUAACAAAUUGAACAAAGACUUUUACCCAUGGAUUUUCCAGGUUGUCACACUUGGACUUCUCUCUUUUUCUACCCGUGCUUUUGAUCGCGAACUGAAAAUUUAACAAGUGGUUUCAAUGGCCUAAUGCUUGAUAAAUGAUACAGACUGCUUCAAUUUUAUUUCCACUUUUGAAAUUCCAUUUCAAUGAGGUCAGGUUCCAUACAGUUGAAGGUGAGAUUUCUCAGGAUUUCACAUAGUUAAUUUCUCCGUCUUUUAUAACUAUCUGAUCACCGCCAAGACUUUUUAAUUUGUAAUGUUUAUAGCGAUGAAGCACCUUUUGCAAUCUGCUAAACUGGCUGAUGAGAAAGGGAUUGCUCGAGGUGAAAGCCAUUCGGAUUUCAAGCAGUUUUCGGACAGUAUAAUACUGAAUUUGGUGGAAGCUUUGCAUGAGGUUUACUUUUAACAUUAAGCUUCUUCUAUUUGGAUAAUGAGAAAGUAACACUUUGAUUUCUAUAUAAUGCAGGAGCCUAAAACACUGCUUAUUUGUUUUGAAACAGAGAUAUAUGUAGAAAUGUUGAAUACAUUACAUGUGUGCCUUCAGGUUCGUGAUCUUUAAACACUGCUUAUUUGUUUUGAUCCAAAGUUUUCAGUGUUUCACUAUGAGCUAGGUAUGAAGUUUUUGGAACUGUUGCCUUUAAGUCUAUUGCUUAAAAUGUUCCAUUAGUAUCAUCGAAGUGAGAAACUAGCAAUGGUGACAAAAAUCGAGUUAGAAUGGCAAAAUAGGAAUUUUCAGGUUGUAUAUGGUCCUUGUGUUUCUUCUUUCAGAUAUGUGGACCACUUCUCAAUGAAGAUCAGCUUCGUCCGAUCGUGGAUGAGAUAAAGCAUGUCAUUACAGAGAGUUCAAAUAGCCAAGGAAAACUCACAGAGAGAGAAAAAACAGAAGAUUUUGAUGCUGAGGAAGCUGAAUUGCUGAGAGGGGAAAAACAUCGACAAGAUCAAAUAUUUAAACUUGUAUGUUCUAUAUUAAAACAGUGAUUCACUGUUGUCUUUAUAUAUUCAAGAAUUUUCACUUUGGUUCUGCUGUUAUUCUUGAACACAGGCUGGUCUCAUAUUAUGUAGACUGAUCGAAACAUUCAAGGUUGUUUUCUUGCCUUACUUUGACGAGUUAUCAUUAUAUCUGAUUCCGAUGUGGGUAAGUUCAUUGACACUAUUGUAACAUGAUGUUAGUUUAUCAUUAUUCAUAUCUAGUAUAUCUUAUUGUUUCCGAUUUUUGUUAAGGACAAAGAAAUGACAAUUCAAGAGAGAUGUACAUCACUUUAUAUCUUUGAUGGUCUUGUGAAGCAUUGCUCUGAAGCAGCUCUAAAGUGAGUUUAAUUUAUCUGUAUGAGUUUUCUUAAAUUAUUGGGGUGUCACCAUUUUGAUAAAUCACUUACUUCCUAUGCCAACUAGGUACUGUGAUGUAUUUCUACCUUUGCUUCUGAAAUCAAGCAACGACGAAAACCCAGCAGUUAGACAGGUUUGGAUCAUCGUGAUUGCUUACAUUCCUGUUACUCAAGUUGGUUGCUCACAGUAUGGUUUAACCAAAACACCAAUGACUUCAUGUUCAGAAUGCUCUAUAUGGACUUGGGCUUUAUGCAGAAUAUCAUGGUUCUGUUUUCAAACCUUUUGUUAGAGGUAUUAAUAUUAUUGAAUGUGAUACUUCUAAUCAAGCAAGUGUUUUUGUUAACUUACGCGUUUAUGUUCAGAGGCUAUGUCACGGAUCAAUGUAGUGAUAAUGCAUUUACGUGCUCGUGAACCUGAGAAUGAACUUGCAUAUGAUAAUGCUGUUUCUACCCUUGGUAAAAUAUUUCAGUUUCAUCGAGAACUUAUCGACUCAGCCCAGGUUUGUCCUUCUCAGAAUCCCUAAUGUUAAGUCUUGUUAUAAUUUCUGAUUCUGAAUCCUUGUGUAGGUCAUUCCCAUUUGGUUGAAUUGCCUGCCUAUAAAAGGUGACCUUCCUGAAGCCAAAUAUGUUCAUGGUCAACUAUGUUCCAUGGUUGAAAGGUAUUGGAUUUGUUUGCAAACUCUAAUAUGUCAUAUCUUCAUAGUCUUUAAAAUGUUUUAUAUCAAAUUUUUUCACUUGCAGGUCAGACAGAGAACUUUUAGGUCCCAAAUAUGAACACUUUCCAAAAAUUAUGUCAGUUUUUGCAGAGGUUAGUUCCAUAUCAGACUCUACAGAUGCCAGUUUGAGUUGUUCAUUUGUUCCUGAUAGAUAUUUAAGGAGAGAAGUAUUGGAAAUAUUCCUAAACUAGGUGUGAAUUAUUAGUUUUAUCUUCGAACUAUUGACAACCUUAAAAACACUUAUUUACUUGACUAACACCCAUGAUCUUGCAAUAUGAGUGAAAUACACUCCUAAAUUCUCUCAAGUUUAUGGGUGCUUUGAACACUUCUCUCGACUUUUUAUUAAGAGUUUCAUGUCUUUACAAGAGUGUAUGCAAUGUGGCAGAUCAGAUAUGUAUCUAAGUUUAAGCUAGUCAAGUAGAUGGGUGUUUUUAAAACUGUCACUAAUUUGGAGACGAAACUAAUAAUUUGUGCCAAGUUUAAGGAUGUUUUCAACACUUGUCUCGUAUUUAAUCAAUCAUGAGACAUUUUUGGACCAAACUAUUGACCUAAAGAUAUUUUUAUUCGAUGUUGUAUAGUUAAUUUAGUUUUGCUUUUUAAGGUUUUACGUGGUGGAAAACAUCUUGCUACAGAAGAAACAGCAAAGUGUAUGAUUAAUCUGUUGAGGAAACUUGAGAAAGAAGUAGCACCAGACACCUUGAUAUCUGCAUGGUCAUUACUAUUGCCUAAGCAGGAGAUGGAACUGAAAUCCAUUCUAUUUCCUGGCAUACUUAUAAACCACAAAACAUUUUUUGUGCUUGGCAGUAAUUUCUCAAUUGUCAAAUUUCUUGAGGAAGAACUCCAGAAAAAUAUUACUAAUGUUCGACGAAUGUGACUUAUAAACCGUGUAUUGUAUCUUUAAUUUAGUUUUGUUACAGAAUAAUGUAUAGAUGAUACUAUAGUUGAUUUGUGGGAAUUUGAAUAUUUAAUUACCAUAAUUAGACUAUUCUCACUUAUUUAUAUCUUUGUAUUCUUUGAGUAGUACUCCCUCCAUUUCUAUUUAUAUGUCGUCCUUUUCUAAGGAUAGAUAAUAUUUAAUAUUUGACAUUUCACAAAACCAAUACAUAAAUAAAACGAUUCUUUCUAUUUUUACCUUUAAAAGCUAUUAGCCUUGAAAGUAUGAAUUUGACCAAUAUAGGAAAACUAAAUGAUUAGAUCAUUUUCAUUGAUCAAUUUAAUUAAUCAAAAUAAAUUAAUUUAUAUUCAUUUGUUGAAACUUGACUUCAAGAGAUCACUAAAUAAGGAUACACCAGUCAAUUCACCUAGACGUGAAAUCUAAAAUUGUGGCAUAUAAAUAGAAGUGAGGGGGUAGAUAAGAAAUUUUAUGUAACUUCUCUUGUUUUCGUGGUAUCAGAGCCUAAGGGCUCAAAUCUUUAGAUUCUCUAAAACAAAAUUUCAAUAAGGGGUCUACAGUAUAAAUAAAAUUUUAAUAUUCAAACAUUUCAAUAUUAUUUAAAUUAAUUUACCUUAGAGAUUGACAUAAUUCGAAAACCAAAUACCGAAUAAAUAAUUCAUAAAACUGAAAUUAUCAUCGCCGGACCAGUGACCACUAGUACCUCCAAACAACUCAAAAACAAACUACCACCCGAUCACACCAAAUCGGUCGUUACAUGAAAUGAGACAUUUCAUGGUAACGAUGGAUCUAAAUGAUACAAUACAAUAAAAUUUAAGUAACAAUCAACAUAAGUAUUGUAUUUAAACUAACUAUACAAUAUAAUGGGUAACAACCAUCCAAACAAGGUGUUAAUGUAAAAGCAUACAGAAUAUCAUAUAAUAAAGUUCAUAUAUCAAUGCAAUGGAUCCAUUGAAAGAAAGUAUUUUGAAGUACACACAAAACUCAAAAACAAGAAAAUUAUCCAUCUAGAUGGAUAUGAUUAUGCAUAAUGAACAGAGGAAACAGCUUAAGAGAAAAACUGGUCCAUUAGAUCCCCUCUUUCAAUCGCGAUCUUCUAUUUCUGCACAGCAAAGAAACACUUCUCAAAUAUAUUUUACGAAAGAUUUAACAGGUAAAAGUGUACAAGCUCAAAAUAUGAUGCAAUUAAUCUUGAGUCAGUUACCUGUUAAACCAGUGUUGCAGUUUUUUAUAUGCAAGGGGUAAAUAAGGACCUUGAGCUCUGCAUUUCCAUAUUCUUCUUGCACUUCUUGAAUGUCCUUGACUGACUUUUCAAGAGACUCACCACAUCGUUUCACUUCAACUAUCUUUAGAGUAGGAAUAUCUCCAAUCAUAGAAGGAAUUUCUUGAAGAUUAAAGCAGUUUUCUACCAGAAGCUGUUUGAGGUUAAGCAAGGACUCAUUUGAGGCAUUCCAUGUUGUUAUUUUAAGGGAACUUAAUUUAAGAACCUUGAGGUUCAGAAACUCUUCAUCUUCGAUCUCCCAUUUGUCCUGCUGAAAUGCUCUAUGUUCCAACUUGAGAACCACUAAAUUUGGUAAUCUUCCGAUAUUAGACAGUUCACUUUGUGGCAACAAAACAUCUGAUAGAGUUAGCUUUGUUAGUGUCGCGGGCAAGGUGAAAUUCAAAAUCUUACCAUUUACACUGAGUGUUUCAAGUUGAAGAGCAUCUAAUUUGAGUUUGAGAGGCUCUUUACAGUGGCAUUUGAGCUUUCGCAGUCUGCUUGCCUUCUUGACCAUGUAGUCUACUAGCUCAUUAGUGAGAGACACUGUGGCCAAAGUCUCUAUGUUUGUCGAUGUCUGAGGAAUGCGUCCAUCAAAAGAUGCAACAGGUUCAACAUGUACAUGCUUUAGCCUUGGCAUAUUCCAGAUGGUCAUCGGUAAAAUUGUGCCACUGCCUACUGUUAUUACAAGCAAUACCUCUAGGUUUGAAAGGUUCGAUAUCCAUAAUGGCAUAGAUACCAUAUAGCCUUUGAUUCCUAAGUACUUCAAAUGGAUCAGCUCUUUUGAUCUCUGGAAUGAACUGUCUGACAUAGGACAUUCCAUUUGUAGUACUUUUAAUAGUUUAAAGUUCUCGAGAUCAAGAAAUUCCUGGCAGCCAGAUUUCGGGGGUCUGAAGAAUGCAGAUCGAACUUGCAUGUUUCCAAUCUUCCCUGCCCAAUAAAGGCUAUGAUGAAUGCAAAGCCUCCGGUGCUCAUAAAAGGAACUAGACAAAUCAGUCUUCCCGGUGCUUGUUAGUUGCAUAAACUUCUCUUCCUUAGACUUUGUCAUGCAAAAAUCAUGUAACAUAUCAUGAAUGUGGCAUGUUCUGACUCCUCCAGUGGACUUUCUCUUGCUCACCAUUAUCAAGCUUCUACCAAUGAGAUCAUUCAGUAAACUUUCUACAGCAAGGUGUAUACUUUCUACCUCUAUGUUUGGCACCAAUCCCUCAAUAGUCCAUAACCACUCCAAGUUCGAGAGUGGAAUUUCUUCAUCCUUUUGAAAUGAUGCAAAAUAUAGAAGGCAGGGUUUGAGAUGAUCAGGCAAGUGCUUGUAGCUCAGUUCUAUAACCUCCAUGCACUCUUUUGCACUAGUAACAGUAUCUAACUUUAUACUUUCUGCGAUUCUUCUCUAAUUUUCCUCAUUUUUGCUUAUCCCAGACAAAACUCCAGCAACCAAAAUCACAAGGAGAGGUAGUCCUUUACACUUACUCGCGAUGUUUGCUCCACUUUUGAUAGGUCUGGUGGGCAAGUUUGUUCCUUGAACAGCUUGAUUCUCAUUAGUUCCCAACUUUCAUUUUCGUCAAGGAAACGAAGGUGAAGAGGUUCUCUAUCAGGGUUAAUUUCUGAAGCCACAUCGCUGAGUCUGCUAGUUAAUAAAAUCCUGCUUCCGUUAUUAUCAUCCGGGAAGCAUCCUCUCAAGUCAUCCCAUGUGUCAACACUCCAAAUGUCAUCAAUGUAGAGAAGGUACCUCUUCUUUUUUAAGAAUUUCUGCAAAGCAUCUGCUGGAUUUGACUCAUUCUGUUGAUUGGAACUUUUAACUUGAUUCAAAAUUUCAAGCAGCAACUUUCUCCUGUCAUAAGCUUGGGAAACACAACACUUAGCUUUGACAUCGAAAUGACGCCGCAUUUUCUCAUCAUGAAAAACUUUCUUUGCUAGUGUAGUUUUUCCAAGACCAGGCAUCCCUACGAUAGACACAACAUCCAAGUACUUUGGUCCUCUAGUGAGCCAGUUGAUUAGCAAGUCAAUCUCGUCCUUAAAACCCACCAUUACCUCAUCAAGUUGUGUAGUCUCAACUACUUGUCUGACAGGAUUUGGUGUUUGUUCUUCAAUAGGGACUUCAACUUCUCGCGUAAUCGUAGCAUGGAACUCUUUCAAAUGAUUCCUUACAACCUUAGUUUCUGUUGUGAUCUUACAUAACAAAUGUAGAUACCAAACAGGAUAAUCUCCGGUAACCAGGCAAUCAAUUAUGCAUUCUGCCUGGUAUGCUAGAGAUAUGACUUCUGUCCAUAGAUCAUGUUUCUUCACCUCCUCAAACUCAUGUUUUUUCUUCUCAACUUCCUUCAAGAAGUCUCGUACGAGACAUAACUCUUCCUGAGCUUCUUCAAUAAGAUGCUUGACAACAGAAUCACACUUUCCGUCUUGCAGCAGCUCUUCCAGAUAGCGUAAGAGGGAAUCGAUAAACCCCAAUCCAUUUGUCCUAGGAAAAUUACAUUUUGAUGACACUACAUCUUUCAGAAUCACAUCUUUUAGAUCUUCCAUGACAUGUUCAAUCUUUUUAACAAGUCACUGAAUACCGAGUUAACUUCUGCUGCUUUGUCAACGGAGAAAGAGAAAGCAGCAGAUACUACCUCAGCAAUCAGACCUUCAAUGCAAGUAAGUUUGUCACUCAUUUUUUCCUGGAUAACAUAUAAAUCUUCUGGUGGACAAAUGAGCAAAGUUACCAAUUGCUUUGAUGCUUCGGCAAGGCUUUUGAUUUGAUCCUUUUUAAGAGGAAGCAUCAAAGAACAUGCCUCACCGUCUGAUAACUCCAACAAAUCCUUGAAGAUGAAAUGAACAAAACCUUCAACAAAUUCUAUCACAUCCCGGCUGUAUUGGAUUUGCAAUUUAACUGAACCUCUUAGAGCUCCAGUAUAGAUUUCUGCAAUGUGCGGAUCAAUGGGCUUGAUAUCUUUCAAAACAUGAGAGAUUUGNNNNNNNNNNNNNNNNNNNNNNNNNNNNNNNNNNNNNNNNNNNNNNNNNNNNNNNNNNNNNNNNNNNNNNNNNNNNNNNNNNNNNNNNNNNNNNNNNNNNNNNNNNNNNNNNNNNNNNNNNNNNNNNNNNNNNNNNNNNNNNNNNNNNNNNNNNNNNNNNNNNNNNNNNNNNNNNNNNNNNNNNNNNNNNNNNNNNNNNNNNNNNNNNNNNNNNNNNNNNNNNNNNNNNNNNNNNNNNNNNNNNNNNNNNNNNNNNNNNNNNNNNNNNNNNNNNNNNNNNNNNNNNNNNNNNNNNNNNNNNNNNNNNNNNNNNNNNNNNNNNNNNNNNNNNNNUGGGCUGCAUAAAUUUGGUAAAGGCCACCUCCCUGGAACCAAUGAAAGGAGAAACUCAUAACCUUCUUUGACUUCAGCAGAAGAUAAGUCUGCCCUUGGUCCCGAGACAGUGUCACCGACUUGCAUUCCAUGUCUGCACAAUCUCCCCUCCUUAAUCCUUCCUUUUUCAUUUGCCCAAUACAAGAAAGUACCAAAAAAUCUCCUCUCUAUUUCAGACAUUUGUUUUCCAGCAGAAUUUCCUCAGAGUGGAUAUAUGUCGACAGCUCUGCAAGCAAAGAGAUUAAAAGCAAAUCACAUUCUAGGACAAACAAUGCAUACUCCAACUCUACACCAGCAAAACUCUGGUACCAUAAUCUAGCUGCUCUUCAUAUUGCGUCAAAUCCGGUGUAUCAUGAAAAAACUAAACAUAUUGAGGUUGAUUGCCAUUUUAUUCGCGAGAAGAUUCCGGAAAACAUGAUUUCCACUGGCUACGUGAAGAGAGGAGGGCAACUAGCUGAUUCUGUUCACAAAAAUGUUGAAUGGAACUCGAGUUGAUUAUCUUUGUAACAAGCUACUAUAAAGCUAUAUGUUUUCUUGUAUAUAAUAUUCUAGCUGAUUUCUAGGGAUUCAGAUAUCUAGUUACCUUAGUUAGCCUUUUCUUUACGUGUACUUAAAUCAGUGUAUUCUUUGGAUAAUAUACAAAUACAAGCUAUACUCUUAAACUUCAUUCUUUGAUAUAUAACAAUAGCUGAUUGCAUUAUGUCUGCAUUCAAAAUUAUGUAGCAAAAGAUGCAAGAAUUAAUACAAAUUAAGUUUGUUAUAAAAGUCUAUCACAUACCUUUUUAACAACUUUGGCAGAGCAGAAAGCAGUGAUCUAGGGUUCAUCAAUUUGUUCCACAAUUUUAACCAAAAACAACUAAAGUGGACUUGCUUUUAUAUGUGUGUUAAUCAUGGAAUACUUUUGAGAUUACUUAAUAUAAAGUAUAAUGAAACUAAAAAUUACAGAUAAAUGAAGACUAUAAAAUGAUGCAGCUUGAUUGUUUCAUUCUGGCCACUGGUAAUGGAUAAGAAAUGAUUUGUUUUCCUCUGUUUCAAUUUGUUUGGCCUAUUUUGAUAUGACGUGAAGUUGUAGAAAGUGAAAAAGACUUUUGAAUCUUAUGGUCUUAAACAUGUCGUGUGGAAAGUUGAAGUUAAAGAGUCGCUAAAAAAAGAAAGGGUCGUUCUUUUUUAAACAGACUAAAAAAAAAAAAGUAGGUUAAACAUAUUAAAACGGAGGAAGUAAUUGAAAGUCUGAACCUACUAAAAAGAAAAGUAGGUCAUGAGUCGGUAUCAUAUUAAUUAGAUCAUUGAAAUAUCUCAUGAUUUACGGAAGAAAGUCCUCAUUUGCUGCUACCAAUUUCACCACUUUGUCAAACAUCAUUUAAUUGGCAAAGAAAAGUCAAAUAAGACAUUUGCAAGUUAGAUAUUAUUCUUGUCAUUGAUUUCACUCAUGAAAUUAUUCGUGUUAGAAAGCAGAAUGAGGUAUACCAUAUAGACUGUAUAAAAAAAUAGUCUGAUAAAAAAAAUAGAGCGUUAGCGAUCAUCUCUUAUCGGAAAAGGUCGGAAUCUAAGUCAAUGAUGAAGCAGAAGGAUCCUAACUCAUUAGCUCUUAAGCUAGCCAAGUCUCUUGGCUCUGAUCAGCUAGCUGCUGCACUUCAUCCUGACAACAAUUGGCCUAAAUUAUUACUCCCUCCGUCCCAUUUUAUGUGGCAACAUUUGACCGGGCACGGAGUUUAAUAAAUAGAUAAAGACUUUGAAAUGUUUAUCAAAUUGCCCUUCAAAAAAAUAGAUAUAUUUUUCUCUCUCCUAAUAAAUGUAUUGGAGUACUCUUUUCAAGAUUAAGUGGGACCAACAAGGGUAAAAGAGAAAUUAUACCUUUAAAUACUUACCAAAUAAGGAAAUGUGACAUUCUUUUUGAGACUGACCAAAAAGGAAAUGUUGCCACAUAAAAUGGGACGGAGGGAGUACCAAUCUUUUAUAGGUGUUUCAGUACUCACUACAAGAAAAUGUACAUACGACAUUAAUUUAGUGACAUUUGAAAUAAAUGUUGGAAAAUAAAGAAUUUUACGAUAUUUAGGAACAAAAUGUCAUAAAACAAUGACAUUUGAUGUCAAAUGUCGUAAAAAUAAUGACAUUUGGUAUCAAAUAUCAUAAAAAUAAUAACAUUUGGUCCAAAAUGUACUAUGAUAAUGACAUUUAUUGCAAAAUAUCGUUGUUUUUAGCGACAUUUAGCAAAAAUGUCAUUUAAAUGAUGACAUUUGCUACAAAUGUCGAAUAUAAUAUGACAUUUAUUACAAAAUGUCAUUGGUUUUAGUGACAUUUAGAAAAAAUAUCGCUUAAAUAGUGACAUUUAAUAUAAAUGUCGAAUAUAUUAUGACAUUUACUGCAAAAGGUCAUUGAUUUUUAGUGACAUUUAGAAAAAAUGUCACUAAAAUAGUGACAUUUGUUGUAAAAUGUCAUUGAUUUUAGCGACUUUUAGCAAAAGUGUUGCUAAAGAAGCGACAUUUAAUACAAAUGUUGAAUAUAUUACACUAGUAGAAUUUCGUUUGCAAAAUUGUUGCUAAAAUAGUGACAUUUCAUACAAUUAUCGAAUAUAUUAUGACAUUUAUUGCAAAAUGUCAUUGAUUCGAUCGACAUAUAGUGAAAAUUUCGCUAAAACAGUGACAUUUUUAUACAAAUAUCGAAUAUAUUAUGUCAUAUGUUGAAAAAUGUCAUUGAUUUUUAUGACAUAUGAUGAAAAGUACUGUUAAACGACUACAACAUUUUAUGUCUACAACCACCCUAGAAAAGUGUAGCCUUUGAUAAAAGGCCACACUUUUUGACUUUAAGCCACGCUUUUCCAGGGGUGGCCGAAAGAAGCAUAACCUUAGAGUUUAGGCGACACUUUUCAAGUGUUGCCUUAACAGCUACGCUUAAAAGCAUAGCCUAAAAGGCAGAAAGGCCACGCUUUGCAGUACCUCAUAUAGCUUAACAUUUCUAUCUCAUACAACUACACUUUCAAGGGUGGCCUUUGCUUCCUUAUUGCCCACGAUUUUAAAGUGUUGCCUUUUCUAUCUUAUGUAUGACAACACUUUGAAGUGUAGUCCUUGCUCAUGUGCAUACCACAAUUUACAGUUAUUUGGCUGCACUUUUAAGUAUGGUAAUAUUAUUUUUACUAUAAAAUAUUUAUAUGCCACAAUUUCUAAUUAAAAAACAUCAAUAUUAUUUUGCAAUAAAUAAUCUCAAACACUAAAUUAGCUAAUAAGUAAUUCAAAUAUAUAGAUUUGUAAUAAACUUCAAAAGAUAGUAUGUCUUGUGUACAUACACAUACUUGUUUGACAGAGAAUUUAAACUAGUUUGUUGAAUUAAUCCAACACAUUGACACUGAAGCAAUAGUCCAUUACAUUGAUAUAUUACACCCUAUAUUCCUAAACACGUUGAAUGGUUCCCUGUAUCUAGACGUGAAAAUAUCCAUUAUGAUGUAUUCAAAUUGUCUCAUUGAACUAACUACAUAUCUGAAGCUGUCUCACUGCCAGCAAAAUGUGUACCUUGUACUCUUUGCUUCAAGUAGUAUGAACCAUGUCUAUUUGACCCUAUAAGUAAUAUGAACUAUGUCUAUUUGUAUAAUUUUCACUCGAACCCUAAAGUACUUAGGUCCAAUAAACACAUUCAUCCUAUGUGGUGUCCUGUAUGAUAAUUUUGUGUCCUAUGUGACGUCCUACAUGUAUUAUGUUGUAGGACGUAUGAGUCAACUUGUUCAAUUUUAUACAAGUUGAAGUGUCUAUUUGUGCAUGCCAAAAAUUGAAGGACAUAUAUGUCAGAUGAAUUCAAAUUUAAAAACAUAUUUAUGUAUUAUGUCAAAUAUUAAUCUAAAGACAUCACAAAUAUGGCCGUGUAAGAUGGUAAUCGAUCCGUUAUACCAACACCAAAUGAACAGAAGGACAAAUUUAGAUGUGCAUGAAAUACUUUUAAUUAAUGGUGAAAGAUAUAUACAAGUGAGUAAGCAUACAUGUGAUCUACACUCUAACCAAAAAGAGCAAUUAUUUUUUGUUGUUGUCAAAAUUAAUCCUCCAAUAAUUCCUUUCAUCUUCAAAAAUUACUUUCACUUUGCAAUUUUUUUCUUGUCUUCAAAGCAUACUGCUUAAAAAUAUAGAGAGAAGAGCUAGUAUUGAUCACUUUGCUAUAGUCUGUCUAUAGUUUCUUUCAAUUGAGUACUAAACAAUGACUAAAUGUUCUUCUCUUCAUUUUUAAUUGCACUUAAUAGGUACUAUUUCCUAAUUAUUUGGCCACAUUUCCUUUUUUAAUUAUCCCUAAUUAUUUGUUCAUUUUGAUAAAUCAAGAAAUGACAAUUUUUUACCUAUUAUACCCUCAAUUAAUUACAUUGAAAAAUGUAGAACUUUUUGAAAAUCUUAAGUUUUUAUUCAUCAACUUCAUAAUUAAUAAGGGUAAAAUGGUAAACUCACUAUAUCAAUUAUUGUUUUCGUAAUAGACGUGUCAAUUCAAAAGUGGACAAGUAAUUAGGAACAUAGUACUCCUUCCGUCCGAAUUUAGUUGUCCAUAUUUCUUCUUUUAGUUGUCCCUAUUUAGUUGUCCAUUUUGACAAAUCAAAAAAGGAUAACAAAUUUUUUCCUAUUAUACCCUUAUUUAAAUGAAGUUGUCAUAAAUAAAGUAAAUAAACUUAUGAACUUCCCAACAUUGAUUAGUUAUCUUGAGUGAAUUUAUUUUGAAAUUGUAAAUUGUACUAUAAGGGUAAAAUUGUAACUUCACUAUGCUAAUCAUUGUUGCCUUAAUCUGUGUGUCAUUUCUAAAGUGGACAACUAAAUAGGGACGAGUAAUAAACGAUGACCAAGAAAGAAUAAUUAAUUAUUUUUCUUGUUUUUUCCUCUAAUGGAGGACAGAUGGAAGAUUAAUAAAAUAUUAUUUAUCUUCUUAAAGUUUAGAGGCCCACUUAAUAAUUGCUACAAAACAAAGAUGCUAAUCAGCUAAAGGAUAUAUUGUAGAAUAAUAAUUUAUACUCCCUUUGUUCGCUUUUAUUUGUCCUAAUUUUACUUGACACACCCAUUAAAAAAAUAAUUAUUAAUAUAGGUAUUUUAUUAAAUUGUCCCUAUUAAACGAUGUUUAGUAUUAAGUAUUGGAAAGUGACUUGGAAAUAGAGUAUUUAAUAUUGAGGGUAAAAUAUGGAAAAAUAUAAUUGUCUUUUUAUGAUAUGUCAAAAGUAACAAAUAAAAUGAAAAUUUAUUUUAGGAAUAAGUGAAAGUGAACGAGAGUAUUAAUUUUAUCUACCCGAGUUAAGAGGUUCAAAUCAAUGAUUUCUUUAUCUUGUCUUUUUAGCAUUGCAAUUAGGGGUGUAUAAAAUCGAACCGAAAAUCGAAUCAAGCCGUAAAUCAAAAAAAAAACCUGACUAGUGGUUUGGUUUGACUUGGUUUGGUAUUGGAAAAAAAAAUCCGACUAUAUUUGGGUUGGGUUGGGUUGGUUUUAACUUAAAAAAAACCAACCCGAGACCAAACCAACCCGACAUUAUAUAUGUAAUUUUAAAAUUUUAUUUUAUACAUAAAAAUAUUUACUUUGAUAUAAUUUUAAAAUAUUUCUUAUACUAUUUCAUAGUUUUUAUCUUUUAAUAUAUUAUUUCAAGUUUAAAACUUAGAAUUCGGAAUGGUCCAAUAAAGAUUAUAGUUCAUAGAUGUUGAUAAUUAUAAUUAAAUUUAAAUCAAAAUCAAAUUAAUACUAAUGCAAAAAGAAAAUCAAUUCAACACUAAGAAUGACAAUAAUAUUGAAUAUUUGUUCUUUAGUUUUACAUUGGUUUAGACAAUUAAAAUACAUAAUCUAAUUUUAAUUUUCCUUAAAUAUUUAGUAAUGUAACUAAUACUUAUUAAACUUAUUUUAGCAUGAUUUAGUACUUUUAAAUUAUGAUCAUUUUCAUUAUGACUUUGCAAUAUUUAUUUUAUAUAAUGAUUUCAUUAUUAUUUAUUAUUGAAUAUUUUUGUUCACCAGUACUCAUCUCAUAUUUUGUGUUAUUUUUUUUUUAAGAAAUACCUUAGAUAAUUGUAUUUUGGUUGGACUAAAGAAAUAUUUGGAGCACAAGUUAAUUAUGAAAUAUGUCUAUUUGUAUAACAGAUGAAUGAAGAAUAUAAAAUGAUGCAACUUCAUUGUUUCAUUAUGGCCACUGGUAAUGGCUAAGAAAUGAUUUUUUCCCCCUUUGUUUCAAUUUGUUUGACCUACUUUGACUUGACAUGAAAUUUAAGAAAAUAAAAAAGAUUUUUAAAUCUUGUGGUCUUAAACAUGUCGUGUGAAAAGUUGAAGUUAAAGAGUUGCUAAAAAAAGAUAGGGUCAUUCUUUUUUAAACAGAUUAAAAAGAAAAGUAAGUCAAAUAAAUUAAACGGAGGAAGUAAUUGAAAGUCUAAACCUACUAAAAAGAAAAUUAGGUCAAGAGUCGGUGUCAUACUAAUUAGAUCAUUGAAAUAUCUCAUGAUUUACAGAAGAAAGUCCUCAUUUGCUGCUACCAAUUUCACCACUUUGUCAAACAUCAUUUAAUUGGCAAAGAAAAGUCAAAUAAGACAAAGUUAAACAUUAUUCUUGUCAUUGAUUUCACUCAUGAUAUUAUUCGUAUUAGAAAGCAGAAUGAUGUAUAUCAUAGGCUGUAUAAAAAAUAGUUUGGUAAGAAAAAUAGAUUUUUAGCGAUCAUCUGUUAUCGGAACUAGCAAUAUGGAUCCUAACUCAUUAGCUCUUAAGCUAGCCAACUUGUAUAGGUGUUUCAGUACUAAUUCCCAUUUGACAGAGAAUUUAAACUUGUUUGUUGAAUUAAUCCAACAUAUUGACGCUGAAGCAAUAGUCCAUUACAUUGAUAUAUUACACCCUAUGUUCCUAAACACGUUGAAUGAUUCCCUGGCUAAUCUAGACGUGAAGAUCACUGCCCUGACGGCGAUGAGUAACUUCAUUCAACAGGUGGGGAGUUCAAAAGAUAGGGAGAGGUUUCAGGAUCUGUUGCCUGCGAUGAUGGACAUGCUGAAUAAGGCAUUGGAAGAAAAUUGUGAGGCAUCAGCUCAGUCUGAGUUGGAGAUUUUGAUUGAGUUGGCCAAGAAUGAGCCUAGCUUCUUCAGGAUGCAGCUUGUGGUUGUGGUGGGUUCCAUGUUUGAUAUAGCUGAAUGCGAGAGUUAUGAAAAGAAAACGAGACGUUUGGCGGUUGAAUUCGUGAUGACAUUGGUUGAGGCCAGGGAGAAGACCCCUGGCAUGAUCAAGAAGUAUCCAUUGUUUACUGAAAAAUAUUUUGCAAUUUUAUUGAAUUUGUUAGAGGAUGAGGUUUAUGACCCUCUCUUGCCUGAUCCUUAUGAUAAAUGGGAUAACAAUUAUGAUUUCCUUUUUCUUAAGAUGUGUUUAAGGCGGUUGUCCAAUGCGCUGGGUGGUAAGACUGUUGUUCCUGUUGCCUUUGAGCAGCUCCGUGCUCACUUGGCUGACGACUCGUGGCAGAAGCCAUGCGCAGCACUCUAUGCACUUGCUCAGAUUGUUGAAGGCUGCUCAGAGGUGUGUAUUUAUUGAUACACUACUAAGAAUUGCAUUUAAACUGAUUAGUUAACGAUCUUGGGAUAGCAGAAGGUCACCUUGAUUAUACUUUCUUCUGUUAUUCUCUAGACUAAGUACUUUGCUUGCUCUCAUCUCUUCUUCAUUAUAAUAGGUGAUGAUUAAGAAUAUGAAUCUAGUGGUGACAAUGGUUCUGGAUUGUAUGGGACAUCCUCAUCCUGGAGUUAGAUUCGCCUCCAUGGAAGCAAUUCGCGAGUUUUUGAGUUUCAUGCGUCCCCAUUUUCAAGAACAAUGUCAUCACCAAGUAGUGCCGGCAUUAAUUAAAGCUAUGGAUGAUGAGAGUGUACAAGUGCAGGUCUGUAUGUCCUACGAUGAUAUGAACUCCUUUGGAUGCUAGUAUCAUAUGUCCCAAAUUACAGUUGCGAAAUUUUCUUACUGAACCUUCUCAAUGGGCUUAACUUUAACUUUAUUAGAUUUAAUCCCUGCUCUAACUUUACUAUCUUCAUAUUUUCCUAGGUCAGUGUCAUACGCACGGUCUGGCACUUCCUUCACGUUCGCACGCCUGAAUAUUUGACACUUUACAUCCAUGGAUUACACAAUAAAUUGCUUCAACUGUCGUCACAUACUGUUGCGGUGGUACGUAUUGUAGACUAAGUGCAAGAGAAAUCAGAUCAUUUUCUUGAACAAUGAACAGACAAUAUUACGAAUACAUUAAGGGAAACAACCAUAAUUUCCAAGUUCCCAAUAUAAUUAUCCCGCCCUCCUUUAUAAAUUCAAAGUUUGUUACUCCCUUGAAUGUCCUUGAGGUCUCUACUUGCCUGAUUUAUUUUUGUUUUUGACAUGAAAGGUCCAAAAAUCAGCGUCAACUGUACUCAAUUGUUUGGGUGAGCAUUUUGAGGUAUUACCUAGUAAUUCUGCUUCAACUUUUAUUAAGAGUAUGUUGUAUUAAGCUGGUUUUAUAUUUCUAUUAAUAUUAACAUUACUUCAACAGGAGUUCUAUGGGAACAACUACGAAUCUAAUAAACCACUUUUGAAAGCUUCACUGGUAGAAGCAAAUUUUCCAAGUAAAGAUGUAGAGAUGAUCAUGUCAGUGUACGAACCUGGCAGUUCGGUACUUCCAAAACAGGUCUUCCACCAGUUAUACCAAAUGGAUUCUAUACAUCUCACUGAACUUAGAGCUUAUUGUUUAUUCGUUUUCUAUUUUUCUGUUGUUGACAUAAUGUCACUAUAAGAUUAUGGAAGCAGUUAUGUCAUUACAAGGAUCACAAGAGGAUGAUGAGGAUACAAAUACCAUCUACAAGCUAAUGGUAUGUGUUGUUGAGAAUAUCGUUAACUAAUAAAAUGGUGUUCUCUCUAAUAGCUUAAGCUUUUAGAUGAGAUGGUCACACACUUCAACAUGUUAUCAGAACAGGCAGAGGCCCUGGGAUCAAAUCUCUUCGCCACCCAAAUUAAAAAGAAUUUCCACGUGCUAAUCAGUCAGAAAUUCUUUCAAGAUUGGUCUUUCUAUAUUUCUUGAUCUCAUUCCAGGUUGUCACACUUGGACUUCUCUCUUUUUCUUUCUUUCUACCCGUGAUUUUGAUCGCGAACUGAAAAUUUAACAAGUGGUUUCAAUGGCCUAAUGCUUGAUAAAUGAUACAGACUGCUUCAAUUUUAUUUCCACUUUUGAAAUUCCAUUUCAAAGGGGUCAGGUUCCAUACAGUUUGAAGGUGAGAUUUCUCAGGAUUUCACAUAGUUAAUUUCUACCGUCUUUUAUAACUAUCUGAUCAACUCCAAGACUUUUUAAUUUGUAAUGUUUAUAGCGAUGAAGCACAUUUUGCAAUCUGCUAAACUGGCUGAUGAGAAAGGGAUUGCUCCAGGUGAAAGCCAUUCGGAUUUCAAGCAGUUUUCAGACAGUAUAAUACUGAAUUUGGUGGAAGCUUUGCAUGAGGUUUACUUUUAACAUUAAGCUUCUUCUUUUUGGAUAAUGAGAAAGUAACACUUUGAUUUCUAUAUAAUGCAGGAGCUUGAAACAGAGAUAUAUGUACAUAUGUUGAAUACAUUACGACUGUGCCUUCAGGUUCGUGAUCUUUAAACACUGCUUAUUUGUUUUUGAUCCAAAGUUUUCAGUGUUUCACUAUGAGCUAGGUAUGAAGUUUUUUGGAACUGUUGCCUUUAAGUCUGUUGCUUAAAAUGUUCCAUUAGUAUCAUCAAAGUGAGAAAAUAGCAAUGGUGACAAGUCGAGUUAGAAUGGCAAAACAGGAUUUUUCAGGUUGUAUAUGGUCCUUGUGUUUCUUCUUUCAGAUAUGUGGUCCACUUCUCAAUAAAGACCAGCUUCGUCCGGUCGUGGAUGAGAUAAAGCAUGUCAUUACAGAAAAUUUAAAUAGCCAAGGAAAACUCAGAGAGAGAGAAAAAACAGAAGACUUUGAUGCUGAGGAAGCUGAAUUGCUGAGAGGGGAAAAACAGCGACAAGAUCAAAUAAUUUUCCUUGUAUGUUCUAUUUUAAAACAGGAACUAAAGUGAUACACUGUUGUCUAUAUAUUCAAGCAUUUUCGCUUUGUUUAUGCUGUUAUUCUUGAACAGGCUGGUCACAUAUUACGUAGACUUAUCGAAUCAUUCAAGGUUGUUUUCUUGCCUUACUUUGACGAGCUAUCAUUAUAUCUGAUUCCGAUGUGGGUAAGUUCAUUGACAUUAUUCUGACAUGACGUUAGUUUAUUUACUAUUAUUCAUAUCUAGGAUAUCUUACUGUUUCCGAUUUUGUUAAGGGAAAAGAAAUGACAAUUCAAGAGAAAUCUACAUCACUUUAUAUCUUUGAUAGUCUUGUGAAGGAGUGCUCUGAAGCAGCUCUAAAGUGAGUUUAAUUUGUCUGUAUGAGUUUCUGGUGUAUCACCAUUUUUAUAAAUUACUUACUUCUUAUGCCAACUUAGGUACUGUGAUGUAUUUCUACCUUUGCUUCUGAAAGCAAGCAAUGACGACAACCCGACAGUUAGACAGGUUUGGAUCAUAGUGAUUGUUUACAUUCCUGUUACUCAAGUUGGUUGCUCACAAUGACUUUAUGUUCAGAAAGCUUUAUAUGGACUUGGGCUUUAUGCAGAAUAUGAUGGUUCUGUUUUCCAACCUUAUGUUAGAGGUAUUAAUAUUGUUGAAUGUGAUACCUUCUAAUCAAGCAAGUGUUUUUGUUAACUUACGCGUUUAUGUUCAGAGGCUAUGUCACGGAUCAAUGUAGUGAUAAUGCAUUUACGUGCUCGUGAACCUGAGAAUGAACUUGCAUAUGAUAAUGCUGUUUCUACCCUUGGUAAAAUAUUUCAGUUUCAUCGAGAACUUAUCGACUCAGCCCAGGUUUGUCCUUCUCAGAAUCCCUAAUGUUAAGUCUUGUUAUAAUUUCUGAUUCUGAAUCCUUGUGUAGGUCAUUCCCAUUUGGUUGAAUUGCCUGCCUAUAAAAGGUGACCUUGCUGAAGCCAAAUAUGUUCAUGGUCAACUAUGUUCCAUGGUUGAAAGGUAUUGGAUUUGUUUGGAAACUCUAAUAUGUUAUAACUUUCAUAAAAUGCAGGAUUAUUUUAUCCAACGUUUUGUUGGAAAUAUUAUAUUAUCAUAAGACUAUUUAUUCCACCAUUUAUACCUUAAAAUGUGAUAAGUUAUUUCAUCCCGAAAUAGUUGAUGUCAGGAUAACUUAUUCCGAACCAAACCAUCCCUUAAUGAUUUAUCAAAUUUUCUCAAUUGCAGGUCAGAUAGAGAACUUUUGGGUACCAAUUAUGAACACUUCCCAAAAAUUAUGUCAGUUUUUGCAGAGGUUAGUUCCAUAUCAGAAUCUAUAGAUGCCAGUUUGAGUUGUUUAUUUGCUCAUGUUACAUAUUAAAUGAGAUAAAUAUUGAAAACAUAAUUAUUAAUUUCAUAAUCAAACUAUUAACAAUCUUAAAAACACUCAUUUCUUUGACUAACUAAACUUAAAUACACUCCCGAUCUUGCAACAUGACCAAAAUACAUCCCUAAUUUAAGGGUGCUUUCAACACUCCUCUAUGUAAUGUGGCAGAUCAGAGAUGUAUUUAAGUUUAAUCUGGUCAAGUAGAUAUGUGUUUUUAAGACUAUCAAUAAUUCAAGAACGAAACGAACAAUUUGUGUCAAGUUUAAGAGUGUUUUUGAAUCAAACUAAAGACAUUUUUUAUUCCAUUUUUAAGGUUAUAUGUGGUGGAAAACAUCUUGCUACAGAAGAAACAACAAAGUGUAUGAUUAAUCUGUUGAGGAAUCUUCUUAAAGAACUACCACCAGACACUUUGACAUCAGCAUGGUCAUUGAUAUUGCCUCAGCAAGAAAUGGAACUAAAAGCCAUUUUAUUUCCUGGAAUACUUCAUGUGGUACGUUUUCACAACAAAACAUUUUGUAUGCUUGACACUGAUACCAAUGAAAGCUCUCCCCCUUACUCUUUACCAUCCAAAAUUGUCAAACUUCUUGAGGAAGAACACCAGAAAAAUAGUAUUAUUGUUCCACAAAUGUAACUUAUAAACCAUAAAUUGUAUCUUUAAUUAAGUUUUGUAUCAUUUAAGUAUACAAGAUGAUACUAUAGUUGAUUUGUGGGGAAUUGAAUAUGUAAUUAUCAUUAAACUAUCUAUUUUAUAUCUUUUUUACGAUUUAUCUAUCCAUUUGGAAUUUCUUUAUUUUUAAUUUUUCAUAAGUUGAAAUUCAUAUUGUGGCAUAUAAUUUAAAUAAUUAUUUAUUCAAAUUAAACAAGUCAAACCUUAAGGACCUAAAAUCUAAACCUGACGGCAUAAACCAUAAACCUUGAGGGGUCGUUUGGUGUGAAAGAUAACUUUAAAUAGUCCUGCGAUUAAAUUAUAAUGUCACUAAAUUUGUUGUUUGAUUGGCAAUUUGGUGAUAAGUUAUCUCGUGAUUAAUAAUUAAUACAAGGAUAAAUUAUCCCUUCCCUUGGGUGGUACAAUAAUCCCGAGAAAACUUAUCACGAGAUAAAAUGACUAAAUGACAAAAAUAUCCCUUCAAACACUUUUUAUACAUUACUUUUCAUAUUCAUGAACGGUAUUUUUCUAAGCAUCAUAACUUGAAUUCAAACCAAACGACUGCACCUUAGAGCCCAAAAAAUAAACUCAAAAUCAUAAACUCUAAACCUUAAACCUUAGGCCUCAACCUUAAAAUCUAAACCAUAAACCCAAAACUCAAAAGCUUGGGGCCUAAAACCUAAGAUCUACGAUUUAUGGUUUAGGAUUUAGGAUUUAGACUCUAAAAUUUAUAUUCUAGGGGUUGUAGUUUAUCGUUUUGACUAUAAGAUUUAGGAUUUAAGAUUUAUAAUUUUAAGAGUUUAGGCCUUAUGGUUAAGUGUUUAGAGAUAAGAUUUAUAAUUCAUGUAUAAAUUAAAAUAUAGGGUUUAGGCCCAAGGUUCAUAUGGUUUUAUGAUUUAUCAAAAGCCAAUUUGAGGUCAAUUUUUAAGCACAAUUGAACCAAACCCAUUUGAACCCAAAAUAAAUUUGAACGGAUUGAUCAACUUCGUGUAUUUUUUUCUACACUUUUGACUCUUCAUCACCUUUCUACAAUUACAAUUGUUUCACAAAUCCUUUUUUUAAAAUCUUUCAAACAUAAUUAUAAAAAAUAUCUUAGUAAAUCCAUUCUAUUUCCUAAUCCCUUUCAUAAAACAAAUAAUCAAAAUAGCCUCAGAAGGAAGGCAGUAGUAUAGUCAUAAUCAUUAUUUUGACCAUUAACGCAAAACUACUCAUCAUCGGACAAAAAAAUAAUAAAUUAAAAGAAACAAAAAACAAUUAUUAUUGUAAUGCUUGAAAGUUUUGCAAUUUUCCUAAUUCAAAAUUAUUGACUAUCGAUUUUGAUAAUGUAUUUCCCAAAAUUGUUGUGUGAAAUACACGAGUAAAAUACAUCUGAACUCAAAAUUCAAAAUACAUUUCAAAACUCAAAAUUAAGAGUCAAAUUUGUGCAUAAAAUUUAGGACUUGAAAUCUAAACUCAAAAUUUGAAACCAUAUACCUUAGGGCAUAGAUCCUAAACCUUAAGAGCCUAAACUUUAAACAUUAUGUCCAAAAUUAUGAACCCUAAAUCUUGAACCUUAAAUCCCAAGUCAUAAACCCUAAAAUCUUAGAACUUAAACCCAAAACUCUAAACCUUAAAGCCUAAACCUUAAACCUUAAACCUUAAACCUUGAAAGCCUAAAUCUUAAUGUUUAGGAUUUAUGAUUUAUGGUUUUUGAUUUUAAAAUUUAAGAUUUAGAGUUCAGACAAUAUGGUUAAGAGUUUUAAGUUUUAUGAUAUAAGAUUUAGGCCUUAAAAUUUGAAGUUUAGAUUUUAACAAUUAGGCUCUAAAAACUUUAAGAUUAAAAAUACAGCAUUUGAACAUUAUAAUAAAUAAUUAUGUAGUACCCCAACGACCAAAUACACCACAAAAAUUAGAUGCAAAGGAUAGCGAGGGGAACAUUAUUAUAGCUUCACUUGCUAAAGUAUCACACUACAAAAAGUGAAAUCCACAAAAUAUAAUUAGCAAAAGCAUAGUACAAUUAACAACAUAUCCAAUAAAAUCACAGUAAAUUUAUGCAAAUCUUAUCAUUAUCUCGUAAAAAUAAAAAUAAAAUAUGAAAACUACUUAGUCCCUUAGAUGUUCAAUUAAUUGCGAUCAUCUUCGCAAAUCAUUACAGGUCUGUAACUGUAAAAAAUUAAUCAUCACUGUUGUUUCCAUUGAAUAAAAUAUAUAAAAAAAAUUUUGAUGAACAAACUCAGUCCCUUAGAUGUUCAAUUUGUUGCGAUCAUUUUCGCAUAUCAUUACAGGUCUGUAACUGUAAAAUAUUACUCAUCAUUGUUUAUUCAUCAAAAAAAUAUUCUGAAUUUUUUUUUUUUUAAAAAAAAGUUGUAGCUGCUCCAAUUGUUCUCCACAGAUUAAAUUAAAUGAGGAGAAAGAUGAAAAAGGAACAACACACUUAUAAUGCUUCAAGGGAACGAGUUGGUCAAAAAUAAAUUAUUUCUUGCCAACCAGAUUAAAGAAGCAUAUAACUCAAAAUAUAUACACAAAAAUAAUAAAUUUAUUUAGAGUUUAGAAGAUAUAUCACCAUUGUUGAAGAUUUCAAUCGGCAGCUGCAGAAGAGAGAAAUUGUUGUGUUUUGAAGUACACGCAAAACUCAAAAACAAGAAAAUUAUCCAUCUAGCUGGAUAUGAUUAUUAUGCAUAAUGAAUAAAGGAAACAGCUUAAGAGAAAAACUGGUCCGUUAGAUCUCCUCUUUCAAUCGCAAUCUUCUAUUUCUGCACAGCAAAGAAACACUUCUCAAAUAUAUUUUACGAAAGAUUUAACAGGUAAAAGUGUACAAGCUCAAAAUAUGAUGCAAUUAAUCUUGAGUCAGUUACCUGUUAAACCAGUGUUGCCGCUUUUUAUAUGCAAGGGGUAAAUAAGGACCUUGGGCUCUGCAUUUCCAUAUCCUUCUUGCACUUCUUUAAAGUCCUUAACUGAUUUUUCAAGAGACUCACCACAUCGUUUUACUUCAACCAUCUUUAGAUAAUGCAUAUGUCCAACCAUGGAAGGAAUUUCUCGAAGAUUAAAGCAGUUUUCUAUAAGAAUGUGUUCGAGGUUGGGAAAGGACUCAUCUGAUGCAUUCCAUGUUGUUAUUGUAAGGGAUCUUAAUUUAAGAACCUUGAGGUUCAGAAACUCUUCAUCUUCGAUCUCCCAUUUGUCCUGCUGAAAUACUCUAUGUUCCAACUUCAGAACCACUAAAUUUGGUAAUCUUCCGAUAUUAGACAGUUCACUUUGUGGCAACAAAACAUCUGAUAGAGUUAGCUUUGUUAGUGUCGCGGGCAAGGUGAAAUUCAAAAUCAUACCGUUUACACUGAGUGUUUCAAGUUGAAGAGCAUUUAAUUUGAGUUUGAGAGGCUCUUUACAGUGGCAUUUGAGUUUUCGCAGUCUGCUUUCUGUUUUAUUUAAGAAAUACUCCCUCCGUCCCAUUUUAUAUGAUGUACUUUGAUACCGUUUACACUGAGUGUUUCAAGUUGAAGAGCAUUUAAUUUGAGUUUGAGAGGCUCUUUACAGUGGCAUUUGAGUUUUCGCAGUCUGCUUUUCUGUUUUAUUUAAGAAAUACUCCCUCCGUCCCAUUUUAUAUGAUGUACUUUGAUUUGGCACAAACUUUAAGAAAAAUGGAAAGACUUUUAAAACUUGUGGUCCAAAAUGAAUGAUAGAAAUUUGUGUGGUUGUAAAUCAUUUCAUUAAGGGUAAAAAAGACAUUUUAUAGGCAAAUUGUUACUUAAAAUAGAAAUGUGUCAUUCUUUUUGGGACUGACUAAAAAGGAAAGUAAGUCAUAUAAAUUGGGACAGAGGGAGUAUUAUUUAAGACUGGUUUAAGAGUCGCCACUUAAUUUUUAAGAAAAAUCAAGAAAAACUGAUUUUCAAUAGAUUAAAACAGUGAAUCAAUUGAAAAUACUAAAGGGGGUUCGGGGGUUCUUAUAAAUAUUCUAGGAAGGUUUUUAAGGCACCUAGAAUAUCCACUAAUGUGGUUAUCCGACGAUUAACUACUUGGCUAAAAUAAUUGAACUUAAUUUGAUUUGAGCAAUUUUUAUUGUUAGAACCAUAUUAAAGGGAAAUACUUAAAUAUUAUCUAAGUGAGCUAAUUUUUAAAACUUAUUCUUUAAGUCUUGUUGAGUGAUGACUGAUUCAGUUAAAUUGUUAAAUCAAAAUAGGCGUCUUUCGGGGAUUUGAAUUUUUCAACCUUAAGGUUAGCGACAAAUAUUAACAAGCACACAAAUAUAAUAAAAUAAAGAGGGAAAGAGAUUUGGGCCCAAGUUUGGUUUUACUGUCCGCCUGGACCAAUACUUGGGCCCACUUUCGUUUUGGGGUUUUCGGCCCAUUUAAAUAAUCGGUACCUGUCCUAGUCUAACAAGAUAAUAACAAGGGCUUAGGCCCCCAAAAUAACAAAAAUACAAUUCCCGAAACUAAGAGUGGGCCUUUGGGUCCAUUUUCCUUCUUUCGUAUACACUAGAUGUCUACUAGUGUACACAAUCCCAUAUGUCUGCUUCGAAGACCUGUACGCUGAAUUCAUGGAAUUGCUCUUCAAUUCUAUUGGCUGGCCGACUCAAUGAAGGAUUUGAGCAUUUAUGGCUCUCUCGAAGUGAGGGGGAAGGAGAUAGGAGUUCAUAGUGAACUCGGACAUAUUUCACAAGCAAAACGAUAAAUAAGUAACAAAAUUAGCAUCUUCGGGAAGGAAAUGAAGUGAUAAGAUAAAAUAAAUAGAUAAGUAAAAUAACAUGCCAGUCAAUCAUUAACAACACAACGCCUAAACAAUAAUUUAAAAGGAAGACUGAUGAAGACUUGUUCAUUUUUACGUAUCAUGAAUGAGGAGCAGUGAUCAAGUACCAAGCAUUAGAACAAAGGUCAUAUGAGAUGUAAACUAAUAAGCUCUUAAUAAAGAUUAUUACUUAUUACAAGAUUAAAAUAACUACUAUGCAGGUUCAAAACAGAGAAGAAAGAAAUUUUAAUUAUAUAUAUAAUAUAAAAGAGAUAGUGAGCAAAUGUGGCAUCUACUAAAUGUGACUAUUGAAUGUUUAUCUCAAAGCACAAGAAUUGUUAGCUAAGCAAGCCUACAAUCAGUAGUUUAAGUAAAAGGAAAGAAACAUUCAAGUCACCUUUUGAACUUUUAAAAACAAUAUUAUAAACAAGUUAAGGUAGGUAGGAUUUAGUCAAAAUAUUAUUUUUUACAUAAGUGAGCUUUCUAAACAAAUAUAACAAUAAAAAAAAAAUUAGUCAAUGACUCAAAUUUUGCACAAGGGUAUAGCCUAAUACCGACAUUAUUUGGACAACUUUCUUAUUACUGAUUCUAACAUUUACGACACCGAAUUAAGCUAUGUAGAGAAGAAAAAAGGCCGGUGAUCACCAAAGCAAGUAAAAAUAUAUAGCAUCCUUAGCAACUGUUGAGACAUGCUGAAAUUAAAGAAGAAUAAAAGCCAAAAGUAUGGAUGUACAUUCACAGUUUUAUGUAUUCCCAAACUUAUCGAAAUUUGUUAAAAAUAUACAUGAGGCUCACGGAGAUAUCAAAUAGCAAAGUGGGCUGAUCCAUUUAUCCUAAAUGAGUAAACAUACAAAAUGAAUGAACAAAUACGGACUAUGACAUAUUUUACGCAUCCCGUAACCAAGAAAAAGUAGCACGAACUUACUUAAGGCAUGUCAAACUAAUCAAGAUCAAAAUUGUAUACCAUUUGGAACCAAACAACAAAAACAAUUCCCAUAAUUCUGGAAAAAUAAAAAAAAACACAUUCAAACUAGACCUGGACAACAUCUAAAUAAUUAGAGACAAAAUCAGAUAAACAAAAAUGAAAGAAUUAAUCAUACCACAAGACAACCAUAACAAAGUUUAAGCUAUACUAAUCCGGACAAGACUAUUGAUCUAAACUCAAAAAUAAGUGCAGGAAGAGCUAGAUCCUACAAGACUGGUCUAAUGUAAUUUAUGAGGGUCUAUAACAGUGAAUAAAAAAUAAAGAGAAGACAACCAAGACCACAAAUGACCAAUAGAGAAGCAGAACGAGUCAAAAAUUAAGCUACAAAGGGAAUAAUUUAAAGACUCAUAUUUAAACUAACACAUGCUUCCAUACAUGAGUAAUUUAAUCAAAAUAAGUUAGAACAAAAUGAAACCAAAGAAACUCCGCAGCAACAAGUUUAUCACACAACAUUUAAAACAUAAACAAAGCGCGGAAGAGGGAAGAGAUAUUACCUUUUCCGGGCAGCGAAACUGAGACAAGAACGAGCUUGGAGCGACUUCAACACAACCUUGAACUCGAGCACCAGACCAAAGAAAAGAUCGAGUCGACCUCGAACGAGAACUUCUCGUAUCCUUAAGACUAGGGAACCGUCUAAGACUUCUCAAGUGUAAAUUUAUUCCAAGAAAUCCAACCCCCAAAUCCCUUCCUUUUUUUUUUUUUUUAACAUAUGAAAAAAGAGCCACCUUUAUAGGUAAAAACUCCAGCAGAAAAUGGGGGGAAACGGAUGAAAAAAACGGGCAGAGAUCCCCCAUCCCCAAUUCAAACUUCAAAAUUUAUUCACAAACUUAGAGAGACAACAUUUUUUCAAAAUUUCGCCCCAUUCCCAAAGAGGAAAAAGGGAGAAACGCGUGCUGCUGCGACAUUAAUGUGGAUAGGGACGUCUGAAGAAGAAGCCAAAUCUGUAGUGUACGUCUCUCUGCUCCUCGCUACUUUUCGUCUGAUCGCUCUGUAUUUUUUGUUAUGAACGUUGGGGCUGCUGGGUUUGUAUUGUGAAGGAAAAGGGGAGGUGGGCCGGGUUAAAGGGGGGAAUUGUGGGUUGAGGCGGUAGGGUGAGAAAUAAAAGAAAGGAAAAGGGAAUUGGGGAAAUUACGGUCGGUCAGGUAUUGUUGUUGUUGUCAAGUUGUAUUGUAUGUAGUGUUACAUGUGGGUGGGUUUUGGUAUUAAAUUUGGGCUGGGAAUUAUGGAAUUGCUGAUGGGUUUAAAGAAGGGAUGGAUUGUUGGUAUUAUAUUCUGGGAAUGGGUAUUUGGAAUCAGAUAAAUACAAUGGGUUAUGGGAGUUGGCAAAAUGGCCUGAUUUGGUCUAAAAGAAAAGAGUUCUAUCGGAUUUAACAAUUAGCCAACUUUGAUAAACUAGUGAAUUCGACUAAAAAUUAAAUAAGACGAAUUAAUAUAAUUAACUAACGAGCUUCUUAAUCUUAACGAAAUAAAAUAAUCAACUUAAUUAUUAGUCAAUUUGAAUAACUCAAAAUUAUGACUAUAAAUACUACCAAACUAUAUUAAUAAAAUAUUCAUUUUAACAAAGUAGAAAUCUUUUGAAUAUGAUUUUUAAAUAUUAUAAAAUGUACUAAUCAUAUAUGUAAUUAUAUGAAAUAUAUUUAUCAUUCAAAAUGCUAUAAAAGUCGAUUGAAAUUAUUCAACUAACCUUGAAAUUAUUUAAAUUUUGUAAAGCUAAUUAUUCUAAAUCAUUUAGAAUUUAAGAAGCUCGAUGAUUAAUUUAUAUUGUGGAGGUCCAAAAAUUGGGUGUCAACACUUGCCUUCUUGACCAUGUAGUCUACUAGCUCAUUAGUGAGAGACACUGUGGCCAAGGUCUCGAUGCAACAUAUGUUUGUCGAUGUCUGAGGAAUGCGUCCAUCAAAAGAUGCAACAGGUUCAACAUGUACAUGCUUUAGCCUUGGCAUAUUCCAGAUGGUCAUCGGUAAAAUUGUGCCACUGCCUACUGUUAUUACAAGCAAUACCUCUAGGUUUGAAAGGUUCGAUAUCCAUAAUGGCAUAGAUACCAUAUAGCCUUUGAUUCCUAAGUACUUCAAAUGGAUCAGCUCUUUUGAUCUCUGGAAUGAACUCUCCGACAUAGUACAUUCCAUUUGUAGUACUCUUAAUAGUUUAAAGUUCUCAAGAUCAAGAAAUUCCUGGCAGCCAGAUUUCGGGGGUCUGAAGAAUGCAGAUCGAACUUGCAUGUUUCCAAUCUUCCCUGCCCAAUAAAGGCUAUGAUGAAUGCAAAGCCUCCGGUGCUCAUAAAAGGAACUAGACAAAUCAGUCUUCCCGGUGCUUGUUAGUUGCAUAAACUUCUCUUCCUUAGACUUUGUCACGCAAAAAUCAUGUAACAUAUCAUGAAUGCGGCAUGUUCUGACUCCUCCAGUGGACUUUCUCUUGCUCACCAUUAUCAAGCUUCUACCGAUGAGAUCAUUCAGUAAAAUUUUUGCAUCGAGCCCUAUGUUUGGCACCAAUCCCUCGAUAGUCCAUAACCAUGCCAAGUUUGAGAGUGGAAUUUCUUCAUCCUCCUGAAAUGAUGCAAAAUAUAGAAAGCAGGGUUUGAGAUGAUCUGGCAUGUGCUUGUAGCUCAGUUCUAUAACCUCCAUGCACUCUUUUGCACUAGUAACAGUAUCUAACUUUAUACUUUCUGCGAUUCUUCUCCAACUUUCCUCAUUUUCGCUUAUCCCAGACAAAACUCCAGCAACCAAAAUCACAAGGAGAGGUAGUCCUUUACACUUACUUGCGAUGUUUGCUCCUACUUUUGAUAGGUCAGGCGGGCAAGUUUGUUCCUUGAACAGCUUGAUUCUCAUUAGUUCCCAACUUUCAUUUUCGUCAAGGAAACGAAGGUGAAGAGGUGCUCUAUCAGGUUUAAUUUUUGAAGCCACAUCGCUGAGUCUGCUAGUUAAUAAAAUCCUGCUUCCGUUAUUAUCAUCCGGUAAGCAUCUUCUCAAGUAUUUCCAUGUCUCAACACUCCAUAUGUCAUCAAUGUAGAGAAGGUACUUCUUUCUUAACAGAAAUUUCCGCAAAGCAUCUUCUGGAUUUUUCUCAUUCUGUUGGUUAGAGCCUUUGACUUGAUUCAAAAUUCCGAGCGGCAACUUUCUUCUGUCAUAAGUUUGGGAAACACAACACAUAGCUUGGAUGUCAAAAUGACGCUGCAUUUUCUCAUCAUGAAAAACUUUCUUUGCUAGUGUAGUUUUUCCAAGACCAGGCAUCCCUACGAUAGACACAACAUCCAAGUUCUUUGGUCCUAUAGUGAGCUGUUCGAUUAGCAAGUCAGUCUCAUCCUUAAAACCCACCAUUACCUCAUCAAGUUGUGUAGUCUCAACUACUUGUCUGACAGGAUUUGGUGUUUGUUCUUCAAUAGGGCCUUCAACUUCUUGCGUAAUCGUAGCAUGGAACUCUUUCAAAUGAUCCCUUACAACCUUAGUUUCUGUUGUGAUCUUACAUAACAAAUGUAGAUACCAAACAGGAUAAUCUCCGGUAACCAGGCAAUCAAUUAUGCAUUCUGCCUGGUAUGCUAGAGAUAUGACUUCUGUCCAUAGAUCAUGUUUCUUCACCUCCUCAAACUCAUGUUUUUUCUUCUCAACUUCCUUCAAGAAGUAUCUUAAGAGAUAUAACUCUUCCCGAGCUUCUUCAAUAUGAUGCUUGACAACAGAAUCACACUUUCCGUCUUGCAGCAGCUCUUUNNNNNNNNNNNNNNNNNNNNNNNNNNNNNNNNNNNNNNNNNNNNNNNNNNNNNNNNNNNNNNNNNNNNNNNNNNNNNNNNNNNNNNNNNNNNNNNNNNNNNNNNNNNNNNNNNNNNNNNNNNNNNNNNNNNNNNNNNNNNNNNNNNNNNNNNNNNNNNNNNNNNNNNNNNNNNNNNNNNNNNNNNNNNNNNNNNNNNNNNNNNNNNNNNNNNNNNNNNNNNNNNNNNNNNNNNNNNNNNNNNNNNNNNNNNNNNNNNNNNNNNNNNNNNNNNNNNNNNNNNNNNNNNNNNNNNNNNNNNNNNNNNNNNNNNNNNNNNNNNNNNNNNNNNNNNNNNNNNNNNNNNNNNNNNNNNNNNNNNNNNNNNNNNNNNNNNNNNNNNNNNNNNNNNNNNNNNNNNNNNNNNNNNNNNNNNNNNNNNNNNNNNNNNNNNNNNNNNNNNNNNNNNNNNNNNNNNNNNNNNNNNNNNNNNNNNNNNNNNNNNNNNNNNNNNNNNNNNNNNNNNGCAUUUUCUCAUCAUGAAAAACUUUCUUUGCUAGUGUAGUUUUUCCAAGACCAGGCAUCCCUACGAUAGACACAACAUCCAAGUUCUUUGGUCCUAUAGUGAGCUGUUCGAUUAGCAAGUCAGUCUCAUCCUUAAAACCCACCAUUACCUCAUCAAGUUGUGUAGUCUCAACUACUUGUCUGACAGGAUUUGGUGUUUGUUCUUCAAUAGGGCCUUCAACUUCUUGCGUAAUCGUAGCAUGGAACUCUUUCAAAUGAUCCCUUACAACCUUAGUUUCUGUUGUGAUCUUACAUAACAAAUGUAGAUACCAAACAGGAUAAUCUCCGGUAACCAGGCAAUCAAUUAUGCAUUCUGCCUGGUAUGCUAGAGAUAUGACUUCUGUCCAUAGAUCAUGUUUCUUCACCUCCUCAAACUCAUGUUUUUUCUUCUCAACUUCCUUCAAGAAGUAUCUUAAGAGAUAUAACUCUUCCCGAGCUUCUUCAAUAUGAUGCUUGACAACAGAAUCACACUUUCCGUCUUGCAGCAGCUCUUUUAGAUAGCGUAAGAGGGAAUCGAUGAACCCCAAUCCAUUUGUCCUAGGAAAAUUACAUUUUGAUGACACUACAUCUUUCAAAAUCACAUCUUUUAGAUCUUCCAUGACAUGCUCAAUCUUUUUUAACAAGUCACUGAAUACCGAGUUAACUUCUGCUGCUUUGUCAACGGAGAAAGAGAAAGCAGCAGAUACUACCUCAGCAAUCAGACCUUCAAUGCAAGUAAGUUUGUCACUCAUUUUUUCCUGGAUAACAUAUAAAUCUUCAGGUGGAGAAAUGAGCAAAGUUAUCAAUUGCUUUGAUGCUUCGGCAAGGCUUUUGAUUUGAUCCUUUUUAAGAGGAAGCAUCAAAGAACAUGCCUCACCGUCUGAUAACUCCAACAAAUCCUUGAAGAUGAAAUGAACAAAACCUUCAACAAAUUCUAUCACAUCCCGGCUGUAUUGGAUUUGCAAUUUAACUGAACCUCUUAGAGCUCCAGUAUAGAUUUCUGCAACGUCCGGAUCAAUGGGCUUGAUAUCUUUCAAAACAUGAGAGAUUUGUAGUGUCAACACAGAUGCUGAAUCUCCAUCCAUUUCUUCCACAUAACAAAGGUAACAUAUGUAUGCAGCAUUCACUGUGAUGCCCUCUAUAUGAUUAAAAAGAAUGUUGGAUUUCUCUAGCUCCAUGCUUGCAUCUUUUAUGAAAUUGAGGAAGGUUUUUAGAUAUUUUAGACUUUCUUCAAGGACUUGAAACUCUUUCUUCAGAAGUACAAACUUGUCGAAAUCUUUCUUGUUGAUGAGAAGAUCCUUCACAUUCUGAAGGAUGUGCUCAAUGAAUUUCUGAAACACUGGGCUGCAUAAAUUUGGUAAAGGCCACCUCCCUGGAACCAAUGAAAGGAGAAACUCAUAACCUUCUUUGACUUCAGCAGAAGAUAAGUCUGCCCUUGGUCCCGAGACAGUGUCACCGACUUGCAUUCCAUGUCCGCGCAAUCUCCCCUCCUUAAUCCUUCCUUUUUGAGUUGCCCAAAACAAAAAAGUACCAAGAAAUCUCCUCUCUAUUUCAGACAUUUGUUUUCCAGCAGAAUUUCCUCAGAGUGGAUAUAUGUCGACAGCUCUGCAAGCAAAGAGAUUAAAAGCAAAUCACAUUCUAGGACAAACAAGAAAUUAACACAAAAUUCCUUUAUAUGUUGAUUGCACUCUUCCUCUUGUAUCAGAACAUUAUGCUUGAUUGUAACUAACAAACAGAUAAUAUUUAAGAAAAAGAUGUGUGUGAUCACAAAUAACAAAAACUGUUUGGUUGCACUAAAUGUUUUCUGGAAAAUGUGAAGUUAUAUCUGAAAGUCACAAUGCAUACUCUUAACUCUACACAACUAGGGGAAUGGGGAAAAAAGUCACCAGGAAAAACAAUAACAGAAAAAGAACUGGUUCCAAAGAGUUCUGAUUGUCUACUACUUACUUUUGCCUAAACUAGUUACCCUUUGUUAAUCCAAGCAAGUGAAAUUGUACUGAUACUAGGGUCAACCUUCAAUAUUUCCUAGCGAAUUGUCACGAUUUGUUUUUUUGAUGCUCAGGACAAAAUAAUGACUUCAUAUAUCAAUGCUACUUAUGUGAUUUUGAUUGUCAGGAAGUUUGCUUCAAAAUAGUUAUUACUAUAUAAAUAUUGUCUUUUUGUUUUUCUUAUUUACUAUUUCUUAAUAUUUUCAGUAUUUUAGACGAAGAAAGGUUCAUAUGACUUGUAAUAACGCUAGUUGUAAGUUUGUAUUAGUUUAAUACUUAUUAUUUAUUUAAUAGCUAAUUUUUAUGCUAUAAAUAUUUUUAUUAAUGCAAAUCUCUCUCUCUCUCUCUAAAUAUAUAUAUAUAUAUAUAUUUGGGUAGAUAUUUGUAUUUAAAUUAAUGUAUUAUAUAUGUCACGACUCACAAAUGUAUUAUCAAGUUAACAAAAUCUUCUAACUUCAAUAUAUAUUAUUUUAAAAUGUUCCGAGUUCUUUUUUUAAAAAAAAAAACUCACAACAAAUGUGAAAAUAUGUGAACAUAUAUGAAUCAUUUAAAAUUUAUCAUUUACAAAGUACAUUUUUUAUUCAGUAAUAUGGAAUAAACAUUUUCAUUUUUCCCUACACUAAAUUAAAAUCUAAUAACUAUAAAAAAAUAGUAACAUUAAUUAAAAUCCUAUUUAUUUAUGUAAGUAUAUAAUCUAUUAGAAAUUCAGCUAUUGCACAUUAAUUCUUUAGUUAUAACAUUAUAAAUUCUCUUCGUUAUUACCAAUUAUUGCAAACGUUAUUCACACUCUUUUACAUUCUUUAGUUAUAGUAUUGUGAAUUCUCAUAGUUAUUACAUUAAUUAUUUCUAUCUUUCAUCUUUCCUUAUAUUAACUGUUGACCAAUAAUUUUUUAUAUUAUUAUACAACCCCUAUAUAUGUGAUAACACGGUGUUAUUUUUCCUUGGAUGAAUUAUGCUUAGUUGAAUAAAUUGAAAAUCGUUUACAAGUAUAUGAACUAUAUCUUUGUUGGGUGUAAGAUAAACAUGUGAUUAUAUAUAUGAUUUCACAGAUAGAAUAUAUUCUUUAAUUUUAAUUUUUAGUUUUACCGGUAAAAAAAAGGAAACUUUUCUCAGUUAACUAUGGACAGUCAGAUAACUAUCUUUGAUUUAUGUACACAAUCAAUCGAGAAGUCAAAUAUGAGAACCAACAACAAGAACGUCAGCUAUUAUGCUAUAACUUAUAAAAUAAAAAUUAAUAUACAAAAAUAGUUCUAAAAAAUAAAAUUUUGUUGUUUUCUUCACAUGUUCAUAUGACAUCUAAACAGUUUAACAUGGAAUACAUGUGCAAAACACAUCUAGUUUGACAAGAAAAUACACAACAAAUAUCGUUUAUAAGGUAAUAUUAGUGAGAUACGACUAAUUACAUGAUUAAACCUCAUCAAAUUAAAAUAAAUAUAUACAUUAUUGCAUUUAACAAGUUAGUCAGAAAUAGCUCUAAGGUCACGACUCGGUAUCAUAUUAGAUCAUUGACAUCCCACAUUACCUUUUCAUUACUACUAAAUACCAACUGCCUAUAUAGAAAAUUAGUUCACAGCCCUGCUUUUCGCCAACUUCAGAAUUUUGGAAAUAGAAAGGAGAGUUGACCUUACCUUAAUCAACGGAGUAUAUAAUAUUGAUCUUGGAGAAGUGUCUACGAAAUUUACCUUUUCGUAUGGUAGGAAAGAUGGUUUUUCUAUAUAUAUGUUCAUUUUUUCUUACACAACUCCAUAGCAGCCGUUUCUCUCUCUAAUUAGAUCAUUGAAAUAUCUCAUGAUUUACGGAAGAAAGUCCUCAUUUGCUGCUACCAAUUUCACCACUUUGUCAAACAUCAGUUAAUUGGCAAAGAAAAGUCAAAUAAGACAAAGUUAAACAUUAUUCUUGUCAUUGAUUUCACUCAUGAUAUUAUUAGUAUAGAAAGCAGAAUGAGGUAUACCAGUCGUAUAAAAAAAUAGUCUGGUAAGAAAAAUAGAGCGUUAGCGAUCAUCUGUUAUCGGAACUAGCAAUAUGGAUCCUAACUCAUUAGCUCUUAAGCUAGCCAACUUGUAUAGGUGUUUCAGUACUAAUUCCCAUUUGACAGAGAAUUUAAACUUGUUUGUUGAAUUAAUCCAACAUAUUGACGCUGAAGCAAUAGUCCAUUACAUUGAUAUAUUACACCCUAUGUUCCUAAACACGUUGAAUGAUUCCCUGGUUAAUCUAGACGUGAAGAUCACUGCCCUGACGGCGAUGAGUAACUUCAUUCAACGGGUGGGGAGUUCAAAAGAUAGGGAGAGGUUUCAGGAUCUGUUGCCUGCGAUGAUGGACUUGCUGAAUGAGGCAUUGGAUAAAAAAUGUGAGGCAUCAGCGCAGUCUGAGUUCGAGAUUUUGAUCGAGUUGGCCAAGAAUGAGCCUAGCUUCUUCAGGAUGCAGCUUGUGGUUGUGGUGGGCUCCAUGUUUGAUAUAGCUGAAUGUGAGAGUUAUGAAAAGAAAACGAGACAUUUGGCGGUUGAAUUCGUGAUGACUUUGGUUGAGGCCAGGGAGAAGACCCCUGGCAUGAUCAAGAAGUAUCCAUUGUUUACUGAAAAAUAUUUUGCAAUUUUAUUGAAUUUGUUAGAGGAUGAGGUUUAUGACCCUCUCUUGCCUGAUCCUUAUGAUAUAUGGGAUAGAAAUGAUGAUUUCGUUUUUCUUAAGAUGUGUUUACGGCGGUUGUCCAAUGCGCUGGGUGGUAAGACUGUUGGUCCUGUUGCCUUUGAGCAGCUCCGUGCUCACUUGGCUGACGACUCGUGGCAGAAGCCAUGCGCAGCACUCUAUGCACUUGCUCAGAUUGUUGAAGGCUGCUCAGAGGUGUGUAUUUAUUGAUACACUACUAAGAAUUGCAUUUAAACUGAUUAGUUAACGAUCUUGGGAUAGCAGAAGGUCACCUUGAUUAUACUUUCUUCUGUUAUUCUCUAGACUAAGUACUUUGCUUGCUCUCAUCUCUUCUUCAUUAUAAUAGGUGAUGAUUAAGAAUAUGAAUCUAGUGGUGACAAUGGUUCUGGAUUGUAUGGGACAUCCUCAUCCUGGAGUCAGAUUCACCUCCAUGGAAGCAGUUCGCGAGUUUUUGAGUUUCAUGUGUCCCCAUUUUCAAGAACACUAUCAUCAGCAAGUAGUGCCGGCAUUAAUUAAAGCUAUGGAUGAUGACAGUGUACAAGUGCAGGUCUGUUUGUCCUACGAUGAUAUGAAUUCCUUUGGAUGCUAGUAUCAUUUGUCCCAAAUUACAGUUGCAAAAUUUUCUUACUGAACCUUCUCAAUGGCCUUAACUUUAACUUUAUUAGAUAUAAUCCCUGCUCUAACUUUACUAUCUUCAUAUUUUCCUUCACGUUGGCAUGACUGAAUAUUUGACACUUUACAUCCAUGGAUUACACAAUAAAUUGCUUCAACUGUCGUCACAUACUGUUGAGAAGGUACGUAUUGUAGACUAAGUGCAAGAGAAAUCAGAUCAUUUUCUUGAACAAUGAACAGACAAUAUUACGAAUACAUUAAGGGAAACAACCAUAAUUUCCAAGUUCCCAAUAUAAUUAUCCCGCCGUCCUUUAUAAAUUCAAAGUUUGUUACUCCCUUGAAUGUCCUUGAGGUCUUUACUUGCCUGAUAUAUUUUUGUUUUUGACAUGAAAGGUCCAAUUAUCAGCGUCAGCUGCACUCGAACUUUUGGCUAAGCAUUUUAAGGUAUUACCUAGUAAUUCUGCUUCAACUUUUAUUAAGAGUAUGUUGUAUUUAAGCCUGGUUUUUAUAUAUAUAUUAAUAUUAACAUUACUUCAACAGGAGUUCUAUGGGAACAACUACGAAUCUAAUAAACCACUUUGGAAAGCUUCCCUGGUAGAAGCAAAUUUUCCAAGUAAAGAUGUAGAGAUGAUCAUGUCAGUGCACGAACCUGGCAGUUCGGUACUUCCGAAACAGGUCUUCCACCAGUUAUACCAAAUGGAUUCUAUACAUCUCACUCAACUUAGAGCUUAUUGUUUAUUCGUUUUCUAUUUUUCUGUUGUUGACAUAAUGUCACUUUAAGAUUAUGGAAGCAAUUAUGUCAUUACAAGGAUCACAAGAGGAUGAUAAGGAUACAAGUACGAUCUACAAGCUAAAGGUAUGUGUUGUUGAGAAUAUCGUUAACUAAUAAAAUGGUGUUCUCUCUAAUAGCUUAAGCUUUUAGAUGAGAUGGUCACACACUUCANNNNNNNNNNNNNNNNNNNNNNNNNNNNNNNNNNNNNNNNNNNNNNNNNNNNNNNNNNNNNNNNNNNNNNNNNNNNNNNNNNNNNNNNNNNNNNNNNNNNNNNNNNNNNNNNNNNNNNNNNNNNNNNNNNNNNNNNNNNNNNNNNNNNNNNNNNNCAGGCAGAGGCCCUGGGAUCAAAUCUCUUCGCCACCCAAAUUAAAAAGAAUUUCCACGUGCUAAUCAGUCAGAAAUUCUUUCAAGAUUGGUCUUUCUAUAUUUCUUGAUCUCAUUCCAGGUUGUCACACUUGGACUUCUCUCUUUUUCUUUCUUUCUACCCGUGCUUUUGAUCGCGAACUGAAAAUUUAACAAGUGGUUUCAAUGGCCUAAUGCUUGAUAAAUGAUACAGACUGCUUCAAUUUUAUUUCCACUUUUGAAAUUCCAUUUCAAAGAGGUCAGGUUCCAUACAGUUGAAGGUGAGAUUUCUCAGGAUUUCACAUAGUUAAUUUCUCCGUCUUUUAUAACUAUCUGAUCACCGCCAAGACUUUUUAAUUUGUAAUGUUUAUAGCGAUGAAGCACCUUUUGCAAUCUGCUAAACUGGCUGAUGAGAAAGGGAUUGCUCCAGGUGAAAGCCAUUCGGAUUUCAAGCAGUUUUCGGACAGUAUAAUACUGAAUUUGGUGGAAGCUUUGCAUGAGGUUUACUUUUAACAUUAAGCUUCUUCUUUUUGGAUAAUGAGAAAGUAACACUUUGAUUUCUAUAUAAUGCAGGAGCUUGAAACAGAGAUAUAUGCACAUAUGUUGAAUACAUUACGACUGUGCCUUCAGGUUCGUGAUCUUUAAACACUGCUUAUUUGUUUUGAUCCAAAGUUUUCAGUGUUUCACUAUGAGCUAGGUAUGAAGUUUUUGGAACUGUUGCCUUUAAGUCUAUUGCUUAAAAUGUUCCAUUAGUAUCAUCAAAGUGAGAAACUAGCAAUGGUGACAAAAAUCGAGUUAGAAUGGCAAAAUAGGAUUUUUCAGGUUGUAUAUGGUCCUUGUGUUUCUUCUUUCAGAUAUGUGGACCACUUCUCAAUGAAGAUCAGCUUCGUCCAGUCGUGGAUGAGAUAAAGCAUGUCAUUACAGAAAAUUUAAAUAGCCAAGGAAAACUCACAGAGAGAGAAAAAACAGAAGACUUCGAUGCUGAGGAAGCUGAAUUGCUGAGAGGGGAAAAACAUCAACAAGAUCAAAUAUUUAAACUUGUAUGUUCUAUAUUAAAACAGGAACUAAAGUGAUACACUGUUGUCUUUAUAUAUUCAAGCAUUUUCGCUUUGGUUCUGCUGUUAUUCUUGAACAGGCUGGUGGCAUAUUAGGUAGACUAAUCGAAUCAUUCAAGGUUGUUUUCUUGCCUUACUUUGACGAGCUAUCAUUAUAUCUGAUUCCGAUGUGGGUAAGUUCAUUGACACUAUUGUAACAUGACGUUAGUUUAUCAUUAUUCAUAUCUAGCAUAUCUUAUUGUUUCCGAUUUUUGUUAAGGACAAAGAAAUGACAAGUCUAGAGAGAUGUACAUCACUUUAUAUCUUUGGUGGUCUUGUGAAGCAUUGCUCUGAAGCAGCUCUAAAGUGAGUUUAAUUUAUCUGUAUGAGUUUUUCUUAAAUUAUUGGGGUGUCACCAUUUUGAUAAAUCACUUACUUCCUAUGCCAACUAGGUACUGUAAUGAAUUUCUACCUUUGCUUCUGAAAUCAAGCAAUGACGAAAACCCAGCAGUUAGACAGGUUUGGAUCAUCGUGAUUGCUUACAUUCCUGUUACUCAAGUUGGUUGCUCACAGUAUGGUUUAACCAAAACACCAAUGACUUCAUGUUCAGAAUGCUCUACAUGGACUUGGGUUUUAUGCAGAAUAUCAUGGUUCUGUUUUCAAACCUUUUGUUAGAGGUAUUAAUAUUGUUGAAUGUGAUACUUCUAAUCAAGCAAGUGUUUUUGUUAACUUACGCGUUUAUGUUCAGAGGCUAUGUCACGGAUCAAUGUAGUGAUAAUGCAUUUACGUGCUCGUGAACCUGAGAAUGAACUUGCAUAUGAUAGUGCUGUUUUUACCCUUGGUAAAAUAUUUCAGUUUCAUCGAGAACUUAUCGACUCAGCCCAGGUUUGUCCUUCUCAGAAUCCCUAAUGUUAAGUCUUGUUAUAAUUUCUGAUUCUGAAUCCUUGUGUAGGUCAUUCCCAUUUGGUUGAAUUGCCUGCCUGUAAAAGGUGACUAUGUUCAUGGUCAACUAUGUUCCAUGGUUGAAAGGUAUUGGAUUUGUUUGCAAACUCUAAUAUAUAUCUUCAUAAAAUGCAGGAUUAUUUUAUCCCACGUUUAGUUGAAAGUAUUAUGUAAUCAUAAGACUAUUUAUCCCACCAUUUAUACCUUAGUGAUGUGAUAAGUUAUUUCAUUCCGAAAUAGUUGAUGUCAGGAUAACUUAUUCCAAACCAAAUGACCCAUUAAUGAUUUAUCAAAUUUUCUCAAUUUCAGGUCAGAUAGAGAACUUUUGGGUACCAAUUAUGAACACUUCCCAAAAAUUAUGUCAAUUUUUGCAGAGGUUAGUUCCAUAUCAGAAUCUAUAGAUGCCAGUUUGAGUUGUUUAUUUGCUCCUGAUAAAUAUUAAAUGAGAUAAGUAUUGAAAACAUUCCUAAAUUAGGUGUAAAUUAUUAAUUUCAUAAUCGAACUAUUGACAAUCUUAAAAACACUCAUUUCUUUGACUAACUAAACUUACACUUCUGAUCUUGCAACAUGACCGAAAUACAUCCCUAAUUUAGGGGUGCUUUCAACACUCCUCUAUGAAAUGUGGCAGAUCAAAGAUGUAUCUAAGUUUAAUCUAGUCAAGUAGAGAUGUGUUUUUAAGACUAUCAAUAAUUCAAGAACGAAACGAACAAUUUGUGUCAAGUUUAAGAGUGUUUUUGAAUCAAACUAAAGACUUUUUUUAUUCAAUUUCGUAUAGUUAAUUUAGUUUCACUUUUUAAGGUUAUAUGUGGUGGAAAACAUCUUGCUACAGAAGAAACAACAAAGUGUAUGAUUAAUCUGUUGAGGAAUCUUCUUAAAGAACUACCACCAGACACUUUGACAUCAGCAUGGUCAUUGAUAUUGCCUCAGCAAGAAAUGGAACUAAAAGCCAUUUUAUUUCCUGGAAUACUUCAUGUGGUACGUUUUCACAACAAAACAUUUUGUAUGCUUGACACUGAUACCAAUGAAAGCUCUCCCCCUUACUCUUUACCAUCCAAAAUUGUCAAACUUCUUGAGGAAGAACACCAGAAAAAUAGUAUUAUUGUUCCACAAAUGUAACUUAUAAACCAUAAAUUGUAUCUUUAAUUAAGUUUUGUAUCAUUUAAGUAUACAAGAUGAUACUAUAGUUGAUUUGUGGGGAAUUGAAUAUGUAAUUAUCAUUAGAUUAUCUAUUUUAUAUCUUUUUACGAUUUAUCUAUCCAUUAGGAAUUUCUUUAUUUUAAUUUUUCAUAAGUUGAAAUUCAUAUUGUGGCAUAUAAUAAUAAUUAUUUAUUCAAAUUAAACAAGUCAAACCUUAAGGACCUAAAAUCUAAACCUGACGGCAUAAACCAUAAACCUUGAGGGGUCGUUUGGUGUGAAAGAUAACUUUAAAUAGUCCUGCGAUUAAAUUAUAAUGUCACUAAAUUUGUUGUUUGAUUGGCAAUUUCGUGAUAACUUAUCUCGUGAUUAAUAAUUAAUACAAGGAUAAAUUAUCCCUUCCCUUGGAUGGUACAAUAAUCCCAAGACAAUUUAUCACGAGAUAAAAUGACUAAAUGACAAAAAUAUCCCUUUAAAUACUUUUUAUACAUUACUUUUCAUAUUCAUGAACUGUAUUUUUGUAAGCAUAUAUGUUGUUCUUAAGAUUUAUUAUUUUGAAUAUAACAAACCAAAAAUUCAAUAAAAAAUAAUAUCAAUAUAACUUAUCACAUCAUCACUAAUUCCAUCAUAACUUGAAUUCAAACCAAACGACUUCACCUUAGAGCCCAAAAAAUAAACUCAAAACUCAAAAUCAUAAACCCUAAACCUUAAACCUUAGGCCUCAACCUUAAAGUCUAAACCAUAAACCCAAAACUCAAAAGCUUGGGGCCUAAAACCUAAGAUUUAGGAUUUAUGGUUUAGGAUUUAGGAUUUAGACUCUAAAAUUUAUAUUUUAGGGGUUAUAGUUUAUAGUUUUGACUAUAAGAUUUAGGAUUUAAGAUUUAUAAUUUUAGAGUUUAGGCCUUAUGGUUAAGUGUUUAGAGAUUAAGAUUUAUAAUUCAUGUAUAAAUUAAACUAUAGGGUUUAGACCCAAGGUUCAUAUGGUUUUAUGAUUUGUCAAAAGCCAAUUUGAGGUCAAUCUCUAAGCACAAUUGAACCAAACCCAUUUGAACCCAAAAUAAAUUUGAAUGGAUUGAUCAACUUCGUGAUUUUUUUCUACACUUUUGACUCUUCAUCACCUUUCUACAAUUACAAUUGUUUCACAAAUCCUUUUUUUAAAAUCUUUCAAACAUAAUUAUAAAAAAUAUCCAUUCUAUUUCCUAAUCCCUUUCAUAAAACAAAUAAUCAAAAUAGCCUCAGAAGGAAGGCAGUAGUAUAGUCGUAAUCAUGAUUUUGAUCAUUAACGCAAAACUACUUCAUCAUCGGCAAAAAUUAAUAAUAAUUAAAAGAAACAAAUAAACAAUAAUCGUUGUAAUGCUUGAAAGUUUUGCAAUUUACUUUAUUCAAAAAAAUUUACUAUUGAUUUUGAUAAUGUAUUUCUCAAAAUUGUUGUGUGAAACAUAGGAGUAAAAUUUUGACCAACAAUAAUUUUGACAUAAGUAACAUACAUCUAAACUCUAAAUUAGAAAUAAAUGAAGUGAGCAUAAUCUUUAGGACUUAAAACCUAAAACCUUUUUAAGUCAUAAAUCCUAAAACUUGAUAACUUAAACCCAAAACUCUAAACCUUAAACUCUAAACCUUAAACCAUAAAACUUAAAUCAUAAAAACUUAAAUCCUAAAAUUUAUGAUUUAUGAUUUACUAUUUUAGAUUUAGAAUUUAAAAUUUAGAGUUUACAGAAUAUGGUUAAGUGUUUAAAGUUUUAUAGUAUAAGAUUUAGGCCUUAAAAUUUUAACAACUAGGCCCUAAAAUUUAAUAUUAAAAAUACUGCAUUUGAACAUAGUAAUAAAUAAUAAUGUAGUACCCCAACGUCCAAAUACACCACAAAAAUUAGAUGCAAAGGAUAGCGAGGGGAACAUUUUUUAUAGCUUCACUUGCUAAAGUAUCACACUAUAAAAGUGUAAUCCACAAAAUAUAAUUAGCAAAGCAUAGUAUAAUUAACAACAUAUUCAAUAAAAUCCUGCAAAUCUACGUAAACCUUAUCAUUAUCUCAUAAAAAAUAAAAUAAAAUAUGAAAACAACUCAGUCCCUUAGAUGUUCAAUUAAUUGCGAUCAUCUUCGCAAAUCAUUACAGGUCUGUAACUGUAAAAAAUUAAUCAUCAUUGUUGUUUUCAUAUACAAUGAUUAGAAUAAAAUAUAUAUAAAAAAUUUUGAUGAACAAACUCAGUCCCUUAGAUGUUCAAUUUUUUGCGAUCAUUUUCGCAAAUCAUUACAGGUCUGUAACUGUAAAAAAUUACUCAUCAUUGUUUAUUCAUCAAAAAAAUUUAAAAAAAAUUGUAGCUGCUCCAAUUGUUCUCCACAGAUUAAAUUAAAUGAAGAGAAAGAUGAAAAAGGAACAACACACUUACUAUUGCUUCAAGGGAACGAGUUGGUCAAAAAUAAAUUAUUUCUUGCCAACCAGAUUAAAGAAGCAUAUAACUCAAAAUAUAUACACAUACACACAAAAAUAAAUAAAAUAAAUUUGGAAUUUAGAAGAUAUCACCAUUGUUGAAGAUUUCAAUCUGCAGAUUCAGAGGAAGGGUAAUUGUUGUGUUAUAUUGCAGCUUAGUGGUUCUAUUUAUAUAGUUGAGUGAGAUGAAGCUAGGGUUUUGGGGAGUGGGCUUUUAACAUGGUCAUGAAGUCAUGGCCCAAACGUAUGAAGCCCAUUUAUUUUAAACCCUGUUGGGUUGUCUUUUAAGGGGUGGUUAGGUAGCUGGAUAAGAACUUCAUGUAUUAAUUUUCGUAUAAUUUAUAGGCAUAAUACAUAAACAUGAUUUUUAACUUGGUUUCAGCGGAUAACUAUGCCCUCCAACUUUGAGUAUGCACAAGUAGACACUUAAACUUGUAUAAAAUUGAAUAAGUAGACACACGUGUCUUACAUGGCAUAAUGUAUGUAGGAUGUCAUGUAGGACACAAAAUUUCCAUGUAGGGUGUCAUGUAGGAUAGAUGUGUUUAUUUGUUCAAUCUUAUACAAGUUUAAGUGUCUACUUAUGCACAUCCAAAGUUAAAGGUCAUAGUUACCGGCUGACGUCAAGUUAAGGGUCAUGUUUAUGUAUUAUGCCUAAUUUAUAUGAUGUUUUGUAGGUCGAUAACAAAUAUGUUAUUUAUGUAUGAAUAAAUACGACGUUUGGUUGACAAAAAUUUAAUAAACUACAUAACUAGUACAUGUAUAAGUUAUGAGGGAAUUUAUGUAUUGUUUUAUUCAGGAUAGAAGGUGAAAUAAUUAUUGUGUAUAACUAAUACAUCACUUACUAAUACUUGCAUAGAAUAUUAAAUUGAUUAACUCAUGAUUAAUCUCUACAUUACUAAUAACUGUAACUAGCUAUCAAACGACCCAAAUGUGAUAUUAUUUAGUACUUUGUUAGGUACAAAUUUUGAGGUUAUGUAUAAUUAACUAGCACUGCAUAUGGAGUAUUAUAGUAUGCAUAACUAAUACACUCCCAAGUUAGAUUGCUUGAAGUUCAUGGGGUGAAAAAUAUACAAAAUUCAUACACCAAAAAAAUAAAUUUGUAUAUUUUAAGAAAGGGAAAAUGGUUCGAAAUAUAUCUGAACUUUGACCGAGAUUGUUGUAACAAUCCCAAACUUUGGGUAGGACCUAUUACCCCUGAAUUAUUUAAUAAUAUAUUUUAAAAGAUAUAUAAGUGUUCACGUGGACAUCAUAAAUAUUGCAUCAUAAUAAAUAGUAACUUGUUCAGUUGGACACUUAUAUAUUUUUAAAAUACACUAUUAAAUAUUGCACGAGGAUAUUUGGUCCUGCCCAAAAUUUGGAAUUGUUACACUAAUUUCGGUCAAAGUUCAUAUACAAAAGUUUAAGACCAAACCUUAGAUACUUGGUCUAAGGGUUUCACAUAAGUUAAUUGGGAAUUUCAGACAUAUAAAAAAGAAUGCAACAUUAAGUCCACCAAUAAGGAAUCGCAACGUAUAUGUUGUCUUUACUUUUGGAAAUCGUUGUUGUCCUAAAUUUCAUUUGUUUUUCGUUGAAGAAGACAUGUUAUAUAAUAUAUACUAUAUCAACUUGACGUUAUAAAAGGUAAUCAUUCUUCUUGGUACUUAAAUUUAAAGGGUCAUUAACAUAAUAAUCCUAAAUUUUGGAUUUAUAUUUAUGUUUAGGCAUGUAAUACACCAUCUUAUAACUAGCAAGAUUUGUGAAUUGAUGUGACAUUUCUCCAUUUUAAGGCAUCUUUCAACUCAAAUAGAUCCCCAAUUUAGUACUAUAUAUUCCCAACUACUUUUCCUUUUGAGUCGAGCGUUUAACAAAUUCCAUUUAUACUUUGUAGUAUAAUUCCCAACUAACACAAAAGCUCCCAUGUUUUUCGUAUAUGUGGAGCUACAAUUUUGAGUUCAUAGGUUCUGAAUUAAAAAAAAAAAUUUAUUCAGUAAAUUUUUAAAUGUAAAUACAUAAUAUAAUUUGAAACUAUCGAAUUCUAAUAAACUUGUAGCCCUAGAUUAGAAACCUAGUAGGUUUAGUUGUUGUUGUUCAAGUUAUAAAAUGAAGCGUGCAACCAAAAGAUUCUAAUAUUGUACCUACUAUAGUCUCCAUGAAACUAACAUUAUACUUAUUGGAUGAUUUUUUAUUUUUUAUUUUGAAAUUUUUUUAGAAGUAUGAUAUGUAUCCAAAUGGCAGAUUUUAGAUAACCAAAUUAUUUAAGAAAAUGAUGAAAAAGUAAAAUAUAAAUAGCAGGCCAGGUUCGUGAUUGCAACUUAGUUUUAUGGUUGACACAUUACAAAGUUGUCCUAAUUAAUCUACCAAAUAUUAUGCUAUUUUUUGUCAAUAACUAGACCAUAUUUGACUUUUAUUUCUUUUAAUAGUAAUAAUAGUUAUUAUUAUAAUUAUACUAUACAUUUUGUACUUUGUGACAUGGUAUCUAGAAUCAUGUACUGCCUAGCAUGUCUCAAAUUUUUUAUGUUUCUCCCUUGUGAAAUCUUUAAAAUGAUAAUUUUAGAAGAUUUUAUGUAAUUUUUAUUAUUAAUUUUCAUCUUUAGUUGAGUGAGUCAAUCUUUUUUUUUUGUUUUGGAUAUUCAUAUUAAUAUUUUCUUGAAACGAAAGUAAAAAUUGAGACAUUAAAAAAGGUAUAGCCAUUUGAUAUUUGGUAUUUAUCACUCUAACUAAUUCAGAUUUACAUAUCGUUUAAGAUUCAUUAACGAGGAAAAUACUUGUAUUUAAUUAAAGACAAAAGAUAUUAUGUUCAUUUUAUUUUAUUUCUAUUCAUGUAUUCAACGAAAGGUAAGAUCACUCCUUGUCAAGAUAAACAUAGGAUAUCAAUAUGUGCUUUUUGCGGACAUCAAAAAUUAGUUUUAGCGACAAUUAUUAGUGACAAUAGCUUAAUUGUCAUUUUUAGCACUAACACUAUUUUUUAAAUGUCUCUACAAUCUAUAGCAAUAUUGAAUCCAAUGACAAUUAACUAAUGACGAUAAAGACUUUAACACUCGUUAAUGUGUAUAUUUAUUAUUGCUAAAGCUAUUUUUAUUCUAGUGUCAUGGUUUACAAAAUUGACAAAAUGUGCCUUUUAAGGAUAAUAAAUAGGACUUAAAUACAUACAAUGUCAUCAUGAGUUCAUGACUAGAACUUAAGAAAAAAGAAAAAAAAAUCCAUAUACCCUUUAUUAAUUAGACAUAUAGUAGUUGAUAUGUUAGGUAUUUUCAUAAUCCAAAAUAUUAAUUAUUAUUGUUAUUAUAUAUAUAAAAAGAAAAGAAUCUCUAUGAGAUAAAAUGCCAAAAACUAAGGCAUCAUUUCCCACCCCUUUUAACCAAAAAGACAAAGAACGUGCAUAAGUGUGAGACUUGGAGCAAAAAUAUAGCAAAUAUAACAAACUAACAAACACACACAACGAACAUUAAAAUAAUUUUAAACAAAUAUAAUUUGGUUUAAUCAUUCAUCUUAAACAAGUCAUUUUUCCUUCAUGACAUAACAUAUUCCCACAUCUUCUCUCCACAACACACAUUUUCUUUUUGCUUCCAUCCCGUGUUCGAUAUCUGUAUUAAAUCAUCCAUUAAUUCAGAUUCACGUUAAGUACAACUCAUCUAAGUAGAAAAUAAAAGACCCCUAUAAGUAUUUCCCCCCCUAUUUUCAGUGCUCGAACACGAAACUCCUGAUUAAUAGUAGAACGAUCUUAUUAUCCAUCCCAUCACAACACACAAUUUUUUUUUGUUUCCUUCGGUAUUGAUUCAGAUUCACACUAUAUAAAACUCAACGGAGAAACGUAGGAUCCGCAUAAGAUUUUUUUUCUUCUAUUUUCAGUGUUCGAACACAAAACUCCCAAUUAAUAUUAGAACGAUCUUAUCCAUCCCACCAGAACUCUAUGUGGUUCACGCACUUCGAAAUUUCAGUCAACUAAUAAAAGAACAAGAAAAUGAAGACAAGGCUCUCCAUAAACUCCAAAGACUUAUAUAAACAACCUUAACAUUGUCUCAUUUUGUUUAAACAUCUCUCUAUUUCCUCUCCUAUUAGUCCUUUUAACAUCUUUUCCCCCUUCUUAACUUCCAUAUGGAACAACAACAACUACAUAAUUCCAUCAAAAAAUGUAGUCCUAAAGUUCAAAAACAGAGAAAAUUUGUUGGUGUAAGACAAAGACCUUCUGGAAAAUGGGUUGCAGAGAUAAAAAACACAACACAAAAGAUCAGGAUGUGGCUUGGAACGUUUGAUUCUGCUGAAGAAGCUGCUCGCGCUUAUGAUGAGGCUGCUUGUCUUCUCCGAGGAUCAAAUGCUCGAACGAAUUUCCAUAAUCAUGCCCCUCCCAUUAAUCCUGCUGUUUCUAUGAAAAUUAGAAACCUCAUCAACCAUAAGAAAAGCCUCAACAAAAGUACUAGUAGUACCAGUACUAUUUCGACUUCAACAACUACUCAUCAAGAAACUGCAUUAUCUAAUGAUGAUGCAUAUAAGCCGGAUUUGAACUUCUAUAUGGCUGAAAUUGAUCGAGUAGGAUCUUCAAAUUUCGAUCAUACAUCAACAUUUACAAAUGAUUUUGAUACAAUUCUUCUAGAUGAUGAAAAUGUUGAUAACUUUCAUGACGUACCAAAGGAGAUUCUUGAAGAUCAUUCUCAGAUACCUGAAUUUGAAAAUAUGAAAGUUGAAAGACAAAUAUCAGCAUCACUAUAUGCUAUGAAUGGAGUGAAUGAAUAUUGGGACAAUUUUCAUGAUGGUAAUAAUAAUGAUGCUACUUAUUGGGAUCUCCCUAUGCUCUAUCAAAUGUUUUGUCCAAGUUAGAAAUUGCUCCGACUCUUUAAAGAUAUAUCGUUUGGUUGUAUGUUGGAUUUAUCAAAAGCUAUACAUAUUCAGAGGAUUCGAUACUUUCAGAAGGUCUAAGUUAGGAUUGUUUUAGGCCUUUCUCAAAUCUAUUAUCAAAUCAAGCUAUACUCAAUGAAUUUCAAAGUUAUUGAGCAUUUUUAAUAUAUAUUUUUUUGGGUACAUUAGAAAUAAUAUAAUAUUUCAUAAGCUAUGUUGUUUAAAUCUAUCGAGGAAAAAAAAAACUCCAUAUUUUUUAUCGUUCUUUCCCAUACUAACAAAGCUUUAUCAUGUAUGUGACCUUCGUUUUGCCAGAAAGGCAAUACGUUAGUUUGUCUCUUUAGGUGUGUACAAUAUUCAUAUUGUUAAACUUAAAUAAGUAUUUACAAUCUUCAAUAAUAACGAUAAGAAGGUGAUGUUUUAUAUAAAAUUAUCUGCACGUCAAUUAUUUUUAUUGAAGAGUUAUCUUGAUUAUUAGAAUUACUAAUAUUUAAUGCUCCUCCCAAAUAAAUAGAAUAAUUUUGUGUCUAGAAGUCUAAUGAUAAUGGACUACUUUACACUUAUUUUUUUUCUCCCAUUAACUUGGAAAAGAUUCAAAAGCCAACUUAAAUAAAAAAACAACAGCAAAAAUAAGUUAUAAAACUAGAAACCCAUAUAUCAAAUUAAAAAUUAUUUUAUUAUAAAGAAAAGAAAAAAGUAUUCCUAUAUACUCUUUAAGCCCCAAUUUUAUUUUAAAAAAAAAAAAUACACUUUUCACUAAAGUUUAAUAAUAGACCACAAGUAUUUUCCUUUAUUAGCCCAUCAAGAAAUAAAAGUUGUUCAAAUUUCCAAAAAAGCACCUAUAAUAAUUAACUAAACAUAACUAUCAAAUAAUUUGAUGCAGUGUAUGAGUCUGCUUCUUUCUUAAUCAGAAUUCUCAUAUUCAAGUUUUAGGUAUAAAAUAAAUUUGCGUAUAGUAGCGUUUCCACUGAAUGGAAUCCUACAUGACACGAAAUCCUACGUAAACGAAUUCAGAUUAGUCAGACUCUAAUGAGGGACAGGAAUCUAAUUAUUUUUUUUUACUACUAAAAGGGGAAAAAGAAAAAUAGAAAAUAAAUAAUAAGAGUGGAAUUACAGGAGGGAAAACCACCAAAGAGAGUCUCAUGUAAUGGCGAAAUAGCCACGUCAUCACUUGUUACCUUUCCCUUUCUUCAAUAAAAAGAAACUUCUUUUGAAUCAAAAUCCUUAUACAACUCUUGUUCUGCUUCUUUCAAUUCACUCAAAAGACUUCCAAUUGCAUAUAAUUGUGAAAAUUUACUCAAGUAGGUUGUUCUGCUUAAGUUAUUGUACUUAUUGUGUAGUUUGAUGUAUUUACAGUUUGGUUCUUGAUACUGUGUUUAUUCAAUUGAUUGCCGUUUGUUUUCUGCAGUUUAAUGCUUUUUGAUUUGUGGGGUUUAGUUUUCUUGAAGUUAUUUCGUUCUAUUUUGUUUAAAGUUUGGUUCUUGACAGUUGAUACUGUGUUUGUUCAAUUGAUUUCGGUUUGUUUGCUGCAGUUUAAUGCUUUCUGAUUUGUGGGGUUUAGUUAUCUGGAAGUUAUUUUGUUUAAAGUUUGGUUCUUGAUACUGUGUCUAUUCAAUUGAUUUCAGUUUGUUUUCUGCAGUUUAAUGCUUUCUGAUUUGUGUGGUUUUGUUUUGUUGAAGUUAUGUUAUUCUACUUUACUUAAAGUUUGUUUUUUGAUAGUUGAUACUGUAUUUGUUCAAUUGAUUUCAGUUUGUUUGCUGCAGUUUAAUGCUUUCUGAUUUGUGGGUUUAGUUUUCUUGAAGUUAUUUUGUUCUAUUUUGAUGUAUUUAAAGUUUGGUUCUUGAUAGUUGAUACUGUGUUUGUUCAAUUGAUUUCGGUUCGUUUUGUGCAGUUUACUGCUUUCUGAUUUGUGGGGUUUAGUUUUCUUGAAGUUAUUUUGUUCUAUUUUGUUUAAAGUUUGGUUCUUGAUAGUUGAUACUGUGUUUGUUCAAUUGAUUUCGGUUUGUUUGCUGCAGUGUAAUGCCUUUUGAUUUGUGGGGUUUAGUUUUCUUGAAGUUAUUUUGUUCUAUUCUGAUGUAUUAAUAGUUUGGUUUCGUGGUUGUAUUUUCUUCAAUUGAUUAUCAGUUUGUUUGUCAAGUUUAAUGCUUUCUUAUUUAUUGGGUUUCUGUUUUCUUUUAAAUUGUGAUGUAUAAGGUUCGAAUUGUUGAAUUAAGGUAGUAUGUAGUUCACCAUCCGAAGCAGAGCUGGGUAGUACCGAGGCCUUCGGCAAAUUACACUCGUUAUGGUUAAAAUUCUUUUUUUAUGUACAUAUAGUAGAUUUGCUUUCCAUUAGUACUUUCAUUUGCUUCACUUGAGCCGAGGGUCUUUCCGAAACAACCUCUCUACCUCCAAGAGGUAGGGGUAAGGUUUGUGUACACUCUACCCUCCCUAAACCCCACUUUGUGUGAUUUCACUGGGUAUAUUGUUGUAUAUACAGUAGAUAUUGAAUCCCUUUGGCCAAUUUGUGUGUUUACUUCUUCAUAUUUUGAACUCUCUUAGUGAAAAUCCUAGCUCCGUCACGAGUUUGCAUAUCAUCAUGGUAUGGUUUUAUAUGCGUGUGUGUUUUAUGUGUAAACAAAGGAGAAACAAAUUGUAGUAACUGGUUCUAUUAUUUUGAGGUUCUACUGAUUAGUAAGAUGUUAGUUGAGCUUCAUCUGGGUUUCCUAAAAACCUUGCUGGCAAUGAAGCCAGGCUGAAAUCCUCUCAUUCACUCCAUUUUUUAAUUUGUUGUUGUUGUACUUGUUAUCGUUUAAGCUCAUCACUACUUAUCCCCUGCAUAGACCCUCUUCCCCUUCUCAAUGACCUGUUGCUCCAGGGUUCAUCAGCUUGACUAGUUUCAAUUGCAUCUCUUUUCUGUCUUUCCAUAAGAAGUAGCACGAAAUUUCUGAAUAUUUACCCUAGGAGGUGAGUUCUGCAUCCUUUAUUUAUGUAUUUGCUAUCUUAAUGCCAUUUCAGUUUGGUUCUUGAAACUAUGUUUGCUCCAUUGAUUUCAGUUCGUUUUGUGCAGUUUAAUGCUUUCUGAUUACUUGUAUUUUUUUCCGUUUUCUUGAAGUUAUUUUGCUCUAUGUUGCUGUAUUUCAGUUUGGUUCGUGAUUGUAUUUUGUUCAAUUGAUAAUCAGUUUGUUUGUCCAAUUUAUUGCUCUUGAUAUUUCUGGGUUUCAUGUAUUCUUUGAGUGUCUCUUUUCAAUUGUGAUGAUCACAAUAUGUUGUUCGCAUAUAACUUCGGUGGGGUUUUAUAUAUGUUUGUUCUAUGUGUAAACAAAGGAAAAAACAAACUGUAAUAAACAAGUACUUAUUUCGAGUUUAUACUGACUAGUAAGAUGUUAGUUGAGCUUCUUCUGAGUUGCCUGAAAACCUCGCAAGAAAUGAGGACAUAGGCUGAAGAUCCUCUCAUAUCACUCCAACUUUUUAUUUCUUGUUGUUGUACUUGUUAGCAUUUAAGCUCAUCAUUUCUUUUAUCCUACAUAGCCACUAUUCCCUUUAUGACCUGUUGCUCUAGUGCUCAUCAAUUUGACUGCUUUGGUGAAUUUUGUCAGUCCCUGCAUCCUCGUUUAAAUUUCUCUUGUUGAGUAUGCGGUUUGCUAAUCUGAGCUCAUUUUUCAAUGAAGCUGGAUAAUAGGUAUAAGCGACUACCUUUUUGAAUCAUACUCAUUGAUGGUGCAUGUAAGCUGGGGUGUACAUUUCUACUGAAAAAUUGGUACAGAGCUUUAUUGCAAUAGUUCGAAGUUGGGGCCUUAAAAAUGUCGAGCGGAGAUGGCCCUAAAGUCUCUUGUGAAGAAAUACAAAUGGUAUGCUUUCAAUCUUUUUUAGAUGAGUUGUGAUCUUCCACAUGUUACUUUAUCUUUGGUUAGCUUUGUGCUCAUUUAUUAAUCAUUCUUCAAGAAACACAAUUAUCACUUCUCUAAAACACCAAGAAUUUGUACUCGGUCCUCUUCCCCAUUGCAUGGAAAAAUGUUUUACUGGCUCAUUGAUGAUAAUAUUCAACAAAUAAAAUCCUUGGACUUUGUCUCCUUAGAGCAUCUCUUUGGUUUUUUUUACAUCAAAGAAAUGGUUUUAUUUUAUGUUUAUAUUUCAGUGAACCUUUAUAGAAUGUUAUCACUAAUAACAUGGAAUUCAACCAAUACCAAAAAAAAAGAAGCUUGGUUAUCCUACUUAGAUGAUCACCAGCUGUUCCAAAUUGAAUGAUCACGAGAUCUGCACAUAGAUGUGUGAAAAGAUGAUGCUUGUUUUGAAUUUCAGGUGCAAAAUCGGAUUGAGUACUGUCUUCGGCAAUACAUGAGUCGGAAAGAAGUUGUGAACACUCUCUUCAUCCAGGACAACAUAGAGCCUACAUUUACUGAACUCGGUAUGUUAUAUAUUUUCAAGGCAUACACUUACUUCCUCCAUGUAAUGUGGAGUGAGGACUUAACUUGGCAAUUCCUGCAACACAGGUUUCAAAAGAGAUUCAAAUAAGGAUCACAAAGCUUUUAAUGGUUAAUAAUGGCUGCCAAUAUUUCUCACACUUCCUGAAAAUAGCAGAUACAUUAUCAAACAAUUGAAUGUACAUAGAAAGUUCCAAUCAUAAAUUAUCAAAAAGAGUUUCUUUUGCCCAUGAGUUUUAGCUCUCUAUCACACAGCCGAUGCUCUCUGCCAAAUAAUUAAAAAAAAAAAUCUGACUGCCCUUCUCUGUUUGUGUGCCGUUUUUUAGCUGUCACUGUUGUCUCCUUUCUAUCUCUAACUUUUACAGUAGAAUGCUUCUUUUGCUGAUGAAUAAUUGUAUGAAUGCAUAUGUAAAUAUUCUUGAACAGUUGUAUCUACUCUCUAACACUUAGUUAUCGGUGAUCGGUGAGGGUUCUAUUCCCUUUGUAAUCCCCUCCCCCAUUUCCCCUUUAAUAUAACGACUAAUAAAAACACAUAUAUCAAAUUAGAGGAAAGUUAGUGGCCAUACUAAUCUUUUUUCAGUUUUUAAGAUAAGUCUAUUUCACAAAUAUUGCUAUACUUUUUUCAAUUUUGAAGAUCAUUCUUUUCACAAAUAUUGCUAUUAACAGCUUCCUAAGCUUAACACUAUUUUGAAGUAUCAAGGAUUCGAAGAAAUUAAUUUUCACAAAUUCAGAUUGCUAUUAAUAGCUUUACUAACAUAUUUUUGACUUUUUGUGUUAGAUGUAUAUGUAUGCUAGUGAGGCCAUUUAAAACACAUAAUCAGUGGAAUGUUAAUCUGUGUCCAUCCAAAUAACUGCUGAUGAAUAAUUGUAUGAAUGCAUAUGUGAAUACAGUGAGUCAUUGCUUCUGUCUACCUUAGUUAUGGAUUCAUUCUUUAAAGGGAAAAAGGUCAAAUUUUUCCUGUAUUAUCUGAAAUUGAGCAACUUUGUCCUUUACUUAAUUUUGGUCUAAUAUUAUCCUUGUCGGUAGGAACAAGUCUUCAAUUUCUUCUUUCUCGUUAAAAAAAAGACUUUUUCGAGAUGGUAGCAAGUUUGUAAUAAAUUCAUAAAAAGGCUGUGAAACCACAGUUACAGAUAAAAGAAAGCAAAAACUGCUAAACUAGAAGAAAGUAUCUACUGAAAACUGCUGAAAAAGACUAUAGAGACUCGUAAGACUUGUAGAAGAAUCUCAGUGUCUUCUAUGUAUUCUUUUUAAAACCAAAAAUGAGAAAACAAAAUAUAACUUAGGUUUCAUCUUUUGGACUGGGUUGCUUAAAUUUGGUUUUCUGGUCUAGGAUGCUAUUUUGCAUCUGUUGAACUUUCCAGAACAGUAAUAAGAGUUUGAAGUAAUAUUUCAGAAUUGGAUCUUUCCUACAUUUAAAAAGUACUUCUAUAAAGUUCAGCUCAGAACUUUUGACUUCCUUUGAACUUGACAUUUCUGUAAAUUUGAUCACUUCUAAUUAUCUGAACUCAUCAGUGGGAGUAAUGCUGCUACCUUUGCCAGAUACCUGUGUCAUUCUAGAAGCAAUUGAAGUUAUUUUUUACUAUCCGUUUUGUUCCUCUGCUUAUGAAUGUACUCAUGAGCAUUUGCAGCUCUAGUAGGUAUAUUAUCAUGAAACUGAUUUGAGGAAAGAUGAUAUUAAUACUAAUGUGAAGCGAAUAGUGCUUCUAAUGAGCUGUUUUGUAUAACAUGUAAAUAUACUGUAUGUUCUCUCUUCUGUUUUAUUUUGUCCUUGUUUCCAGUAUUGCCUACAGGCGAGUAGCAAUUUACAGCUUUUAUGUGGUUCUGGUUUCCCAACUCUUUUAACAUUAUGAUGUUCUCGCUGUUUUUCAGUUUGGCAGAAACUAGAAGAAGAAAAUCAGGAAUUUUUCCAAGCAUAUUACCUGAAGCUGAUGGUGAAAGAGCAAAUAAUUGAAUUCAACAGGUUGCUUUCGGAACAGGUGAAGAUGACGCAGCAAGUUCCAAGUGCAAUUGCUUCUCUACCUAUGUCUAAUGGGUGUAAUAUUAUGCCAAGUAAGAUGGAUACUUAGUGAACCUUUUUGCAUUUAGGUCUCAUGCAUCAAUCAGUAUCUUGUCACUGAGUAGCUACAAAAAGCACUUGUGUAAUUGGGUAGUUCAUGUUCAGUUUGUGCAUAUACUAAGUAGCAUCCAACUUCUUAACUAGAUGACUUUACCUCAAAGUGUCGCGUACACCAGAACUGCACUUAAACCUAAUCGGUUGGCAGACUCUUCCAUUUGGUCUGCAAUCAAAUGCCUGCUUUGUCUCAGUAUAUCUGAUGCUGUUGAUGUGGUUGCAUUCAUUUACAUGUGGUUUAUGCUAAUUACGUGAGAUACAUCCAGAAGCCUCUAGUUUCAUCUUCUUUGUAUAGUUUUAAACUUCAUUGUCUUACUACGAGGAGUUCCCACCUGUCCUCAUUCCUUUCAGAUACUCUCUUUCAUUUGCCUCCACCGUACUUAAAAUUUUCAUUCCAGUACCUGAUGUUUCAUCUCUGCUACAUUGGAUGUUGUUUGCAGAUUUUUAAACUAUGCACAUCAUUGUAGAACAGUGACUUUUAACAUUUUGAUAAAUUUUUUUGCAUGUCAGUAUCUUCCUUUAUGUUCAUGUUUAUAUCAAGCAGACACAGUUAUCGUGAGGGUGGAAGUGGUUUCUGUACCAUUUUCCUUUUACUGUAACUUCUGAAGUUGAUUUGUCAUCCAUUAUUGAUAUGUUAAUGAGAGUCUUUGAUGCAUGUCUUUCCUGAUAUCACACUUGUCAUUUUUGCGUUAACAUGUCUAAUCUCUUUUCUGUAUAUCUGGCUUUAUGAUCUUCGAUGAUGCAAACACUUUUCCCUCUAGCAUUUGCACUUUACUUAAUUCCUACUAAGACAGUCUUAUACUUUUCUAUGCUGAAAGAUGCUUAAAGGGUUUUUUAUGGUUGAUUAUUUUCUAAUACCCAUUGGUGGUUAAUUUUUUCACCUUGAGGUUGUAUUGGGAAAGGUAUAAUCAUCUGUGAUAUUGGUAAAAAGCCAGCAAGCACAGUAUUUUUAUGCUUUACUGAAAGAAUUCAUGAGAAGAAUCAGCACUCUUCUCUUUAUUUUAGUCUGAGGUUCCAAAUAUGAAAUUGCCUACUCAUAUAGUGAUUCCUUUUAUUUUAGUUUAGGGGCAUGCGUGAUGCGCGUGUACACCAAUAUGAUUUUGUAUUACAUUGUAAAUACAUUUGACUUAUAAAAUAAAUUUAAAAUGAGAAAAAGUGUGAGUUUCAGAAGUUAUAAAAGUUGAUCUUGUUUAACUAACUCAAUAAAAAAAGCUCUAUCUCACAAAAGUCUUCUUAUUGUUAUUUCAAUACUACAUUAUAUGUGGUCAAUUUAGUAGCAUUGUAGUACUAUUUCAAAAAAAAAAAAAAACUAUUUCAAAAAAAUUUAGUAGCAUUGUAGUAGAAUGUAUUGACUUAUAGUUGCAUUACUCAUAAUUUUAUUUUGUCUUUUUAUUACAUAUAGACUUCUUUAGAAAACACAAUAGAAAGAUAAGCUGAAAUAGCUAGCUUGCACAAUUCAAACAAGAUGAAAUAAUAAAUUUAACAAUAGAAAGCUUCACAGACCUUAAGAGAAGAGUAUCAAUAACUUUCUUCAGGCAUUGAUUUUUUUUUCAACAUUGUAAAACUGCUUUUGAUGUUAUUUACUAAUUAUUUGUACCAAAUAAACUACAAAGGUAGUGUGAAAUCUACACCUUAAUUAUUUUUUUUUUGAAUCAAGAGUUUCAUUUUUAUGAGAAAACAACGUCCUGUGUAGGUGUCUUCAUCCUUCAUACAAUAUCUUCAAGCAUAUGUAACUUUACAAAGAAUUUUUAUUUCAUAAUCUAAUCCAAAUCUUCUCUAUUAAAGCACAAAAUUACAAAAGGAAAAACUUUUGACAAAUAAUUCAAAUAAUUGCAACCCAACAAAUCUAUUAUUAAAUACGAAGCUAGAAAAUAAAGCACAAAUAUAUACAAAAUAAAAAAGGUACUUUCAGCAAGAUGUAUGGAAUAUUAGUAAGAAGUAUAUAAAUCACAAAUAAUAUUACAAUCCAUCCUAAAAGAACUAUAAUCAUAUAAACCCAAAAUAUAACUAAGAAUAUCAAUACAAGAAUUAUGUGAUUACUGUCGGCGUAUUUAUGAUACCCAAAUAAAAGGCUCAUACCAUUAUCAAAACCAUAACGUGUUUUUCCCCCGACGUUUUCAUCAAAAAGCAAUAUAAUGCUUGAACUCAAAAUUCGAUAGUAUUCUGUAACUGAAACCCAAAAGGAGGAAAUAUAUAGGGAGUUGUACAAGUUGUGAAUGUAGAACUCAUGAAAAGCCUUUACAUUGAGUUUGAUAGACCGUGUGAUAAUGUGAUUGACUAUCAAUCUUUUUUAGUGCAAAUUUAUAGAAUAUUGUAAAGAAAAUGAAAAGGUGAUGUGAAAAGGUUAUUACUUUUUUUUUUUUUGAUAAGGUAAAGGUUUAUUGACUAAGUACCAAGAAGGUACCGAAACGGAACAUUAAGAUUGAAACAAUUGCAUGUAAUAACUAAGCAAUUGAAACAUGUAUUAAUUGUGGGAGUAUGAAACAAUUUUUUACAUUCAGAUUCAAUGUACACAGAAGACGUUUUAUGUUUAGAUUUUUUUUUUUUUAUGUGAUAGCAAAGUUGUUAUCAAUUAUUUAUGGGCAUUUUCGUAGUCAUGGAGGUUUCCUACUUUUAGUAUUGUAUGAUGAUGAUGAUUAUUAUUUUUUUUUUCUUGAAAAAGCUAUGUAUAUAGUUAUUUCGUCUCUAAUGUGUUCCACACGUGCAAGUGUUAAUUCUCCUACAACUCCCCUUACAAUGUUGUAUUCCGUUCUUAAGAAAAGAGAUUUUCACAUACUGCCAGUAUGAUACUGGGGCCAGUGUUAGUUGGGCGCUAAUGUAGGAGGAAUGCCAGAUGUAGUGUUCAUGGGUAUGGAACUAUGUAUUGUUAGAAUGUCAAGUGUUAGCUUUAGAAUAGUGUUAAAGAAUGAGAUGAUAAUUUUGUUGUCCAACGUCAAACAAGUACUAUGUAAGUCUUGGGUUUGACACCAAUAAGUUGGUGUCUUGUAUUCCAUUAUCGUUAAGUCUUCAAUGUCUUAUCUUCUAUUUUUAUUUUUCCACUUGGUACCAAGGCAGCACUAUGUUCCUAUGUUCCUUUCUGGCAACCAUUCUGGCAUCAGCUCACCUUUUUCUGAUGAAUGUUCUGGUGAUACCACACCUCUUUAUGGUGACUGUUCUAGUAGUGCCAUGCCUUUCUGGGUGACCGUUUCAAGGACGCUGCGUCUCUUGUGCUGACGAUUUCUAGUAUUUGCAUCUUUCUGGCCAUUGUUUUGAGCAACAUCUUUUCUGCUGAGUUAACGGAGACCAGAGCUGUUCAGCCAGAUUUUCUGGUCAAAAGAUUUAGCUGUACCUGUAUAAGACGGAAGAGAAGACGUAGCACAUGAGAUGUUGCUCCUCUUAUGUCGAGAGAAGAAUACUGAAUUUUUGAUUGAGUAGAGAAGGAUUUUGCAUUUAAGGAAUAACCUCUUACCCCUUACUUCUUUGGUGCAUCCAUGAGGUUCCCCACUUGUAUAGAAGUUUGGGUGCCUUUCGGAGAAAGCCAUAUCAUCACUGUUUAGUUUACCUCUUGUAUAAGGGCAAUUGUUGUUCUUGUUCUUUUGAAUGAGAUUUAUUACAUUAUCAAAAAGAUUUAGCUUAGUUUGUCUGAUCUUUUCUGCAACAAGCAUGACGAGCAUCGUUUUCAGUAUGGAGCCUGCCACUAAGCUUUUGUCUAGACUUAUCCUUAUCUUCAUUGCCUUCUAUUUGCUUGUUACCUGUGUUCUUGCUAGAACCUGCAUUUGAGAAGCUGUGUUGUUGUCUCUAGUUAAUGUUAAGUUUUCUUGCCUUACUGCAGUGCAUCAAAGUUCAACUUGUGGUGCUGCGGAAAAUGUUGGAACUGCUGCAAAGCCUAAUGGCAUGCACGAACCUGUACAUGCUGAUAGACCCAAUGCAUUCAGUAACAGCAGCUCAUCUGUUCUCUCUUGCAUGCAAACAACAAUUGAUAUUCCUUCUCAAAGCAGGAAAAUUGAUGGUCCUCCUAGUAUGUUUUUGGGCCAGCCCUCUAACAUGGGGAUGAGACAAACAAUGGAUGGGAGGAUUAUUAAGACAGAACCUAUCUAUGGUGGCAAUUCUCCGUUUGCCUUUGGUCCUCAUGGCACUUACUUGGAGUCACGUUCUGCAAUGGGCGAUGCAUCUGUUUCAUCGUUUAGUAGUGUGGAGUCGAACACACAACCUCUUAAUGAACCUCUUCUGGAUGCUGACACUUCUUCGUUUGGAUAUCUAGGGGAUAUACCUCAAAAUUUUGGUUUCUCAGACUUGACUGUUGAUUUCACUAAUAGUUCUGGUAUGUGUCUUCCUCUCCCUAUUUUCUCCGUAAUUUCACCAAGCAUCUCUGGAUUCGUCUUUUUCACUUUCAACGUUUCAGGUAUUAAAAUGAGCUGGUAUUGAUGCUAAUCAGGCAUACUUUAUAUUCGUUUUGACCAUGUUCAGAUAUAUUAGGGAGCUACUCUAGGACUCCCUUUCUAGCAACAGAUACUGGCAACUUGCUCGAUUCAAAUGGUAGGUGGAUAUUCCCAAAGUAAGACUUCUGUACUUUUUUGUCAUUCUCUUUGGAUAACCAAUAUCAUGUCUUUGACUUUCAGGAGGCAUUGAGAGGUUAACCAAUCCAUCAGAGAAAUUGAGAUACACUAAUUUCAGUGGAGAUUGAUUGUGUAUAGGUAACUUUCUCCAUCUUAUAAGAUUCAUCAGAGUUGUAAUACUUACUUUUGGUUCCAUUUUGAUGACGAUUUUGAGUGGACAUAAUGUUUAAGAUAUUAAUUUUGUUUUAUGGUGCUAGUAGCACAUGCAUCGGUUCAUAGGUGCAACAUGAUGAUUGAAGGUGUAAAAAGGAAUGAGAUAGACCAAUACUAUAUAGAAUAUUCAUUGUAGAGAACUCAUGUGCUUGGUUUUCCAACACACAUGUGAGAAUUAUGAUCUUCUUUCGUUCAUUCCUUCACGUCUCGUUGAAGGAGGACUUGGUAUAAGGAUGAAGUAGGUGUGGUUUUUGUGCCAAUUGAUGGAUGUUUCUUUCAGAAAUGACUCACUGUUGAUGUUUCUCACUGCAGAUUCGAUCAAAACACAUACACGACGAUAGCUUUUGUAUAUUGCUGGCUGCUCAAGUGGUUUAGAAUAAUUGGAUUUUCUGGUAUUGUAGGUUGAGGUUGUCAUCAUGGAGAAUAAUUCAAACAUGAAAGAUUUCAGUAGAGAUCUUUGUACAAAGAGUUAAAUGUGAUUUAGAACAUUGUUAUUUUAUCCACGUAUAGCAUACUGUCUGAUUUUUAGUGUAACUAUGAAACAGUAUUGAAGUUUUAGUGCAUAUCGGACCUGAAAAUUUCAGCAUUUAUUUUUAUUUUUUACCAUUUCGUAGAAGCUCCUUGACGAUUCGAACUCACAACCUUAGGGUCGGAGGUGGAGGGUGCUUAAAAUAUGAAAAAUAUUCCUCUUUCAUGGUUGUGAUUUCAUCUACUGACAAGUUAUCUCAUCUUGCAAGAUCCACACAAGUCAUUUAAAGAAAUAAUGUUCAUAUGUCAAUACAAUAGAUCCAUCCAAAGAGGUUCUUUUGAUGUACAACCACAACUUUUUAACAAAUAAAAAAAGGCAGCUCAGUGCACAAAGCAUCCCACGUUUACACAGGGUUCGGAAAGGGAUUCACUCCAAGGGGUGUGAUGUUGGCACCCUACCUUGAUGCAGCACCGCAAGGGGAUGUGUCUACACUGGUCAAACCCAUGAUCUAUAGUCACACAAAGACAACUUUACUAUUGCUCUAAGGCUGCCAUCGAAGUACAAAUGCAAAUCAAUAAAGAAAAAUGUCUUCAACUUCCUAGCUUCCAUCUAGCAGGAUAUGAACAAAUGAAACAGCUUAAGAGAAUCAUUGAGCUUUACAAGAUCAGCAAAUAAGCUUGAGUCAGUUAUACCUGUUGAACCAGUAUUGCAGUUUUUAUAUGCACAUCAGGUUGACGAAUCCAAGGGGUAAAUAAGGACCUUGAGCACUUCAUUUCCAUAUCCUUCUUG
RNAcentral lists this long non-coding RNA (91604 nucleotides) under Solanum tuberosum (potato). RNAcentral describes it as "long non-coding RNA (STUB_LNC001191)". The record is from RNAcentral. Lineage: Eukaryota; Viridiplantae; Streptophyta; Magnoliopsida; Solanales; Solanaceae.